UAUAUAUAUAUAUCUAUAUGAAGAAGCUUAAUUAACUUGUCUGUGCCAUCAUAAAUUUUCUUCACUUGGAUCCAUAUGCGGUUGUUCUUUAUUCCCCUUUAUUUUUUCCAACAUAGAUAUUCUCUUCCGUGGGAUCUGUAAAUUGUAGUAACUUGACAUGUUGUUAAUCCUUAGGCAGUACUGGUGCUUGCAUUUCGUGGUACUGCACACGCAUGGGUUCUGCACAAAAAGGGGCCUGUCUUUGUAGCCAUGUUUAAGCCAGUCGCGAUCGUCAUUGCAGUUGUCAUGGGGGUUACUUUUCUCGGGGAUGUUCUCCAUCUUGGCAGGUACAAUUCUUUAUCUUCAAUUCUAGGUGGGUGUAUAUAUAAUGGAAUUGGGGUUGAUAAGCAUGAAACCCUUCACUAAACACGUGGUCCGUCUUUGGAGAACCAGUGAUUGAAGUAUGAAGGUAUCUGAACUGAAAAGGCCAUGGUUUAAUUAAAAUGUGCUUUGCAGUGUAAUUGGAGCUGCCAUAAUAGCUUUUGGGUUUUAUACUGUGAUGUGGGGGAAAGCCAAAGAAGAGAUUGAAGACAUGACAACCAGUGGCAUUGACUCAUCCUCCCAUAAAGAUCCUCUUCUACAAAACAAGAGCACCCAAGUGUAGAGUUAUUAUUAGAAAGACAAAUCGAAACCAUCUUUGUAGUGGUAAAUUUUUAUUUAAAUUAGUUUUUGUUGGAAGGUGUCCAAAUUUUUAAUUAGUGUAGUAGAUAAUAUUGUACAUAAUACUUUUUAAGUUGAUAUAUUAUUGUAAUAUUAGAUUUACUUAUAAAAUAAGAAAAGUUAUUGCAAAUAUCUUAUUAAAUAUUUUAGGUUAUAAAAGGAAGAAGUUAUGAGAUGAAGGUUUGUUUGUACAUACUAUUUGGUGGACAAACAUGUGAAGAAGAACGAGAGACAUCCUAUGGAGUGAGGGGUUCAUGGUUCAAGGUGUAGGGAAUCAUGAAAUAUUUUGGAAAUCUAAUAGUUAGUUGUAAUUGGUUCAAAAUGUAAAAAAAGAAAAAAAAGAAAUUAGAGAGAAAAAUAGAAGAAAAGAAAAAAUAAAAAAAUAGGUUUAAAUUUAAUAAAUUAUUUUUAUAUAUUUCUUCAAACUCAUUUUACUUAUUUAUUUAUAUUAUAGCAAGAUUAAAUAAUUUUAAAAUAUAUAAAUUUCAAAGUAAUUUUAAUUAUAUUUGAUUUUUUUAAUUUUAUAUAGUGAAACCAAAUAUGAAAAAAUCAUUUUCCUUAAUAUUUUUUUUCUUUCUCAAAUACUUUCUGGAAACUAAAUAUAACCUACUUUUUAUUUCACACAUUUAAUUAUAUAUUCACUUUCAAGCAACUCAGGAUGUAUUGUGUGCAAUACAACAACAUCAUACUAUUAGCACAAUAAAAUGUCAAUUAGCAUACCUCAACACAAUAAAACAGUCUCAAUCAAAAUGUCACUAAUAAGCAAUAACGAUAUAAAAAUUUUAUACACAAAUUUAAUAAUUAUUUUUACAUUUUAACUCAAUCUUUAUAGUAUAUAAUUUAUACAAAUUAUAUCCAUUAACAAUAAUAAAUGUUAAAAAAAAUAUUUUGAGAAAUAAUUACAACAUCAAAAUAACCCACAAACAAUCACACUAUAUAUAUACAAACAAUAUUAAAUCAACAUGUAGAGUAGUUAAAAUACCAAAGAAAAAUUUAUUACAAUGAGAAUAUAUAUAAAACAUACUACUCUUCCCGAAGAAUUUAGAACAAAUUGCUGAAAAGGGAAAUUUUCUUUUUUUCUUUUUUAUUCAAAAAAAAGGCAAAUAAGAGAUUAUGUUCUAACUUAGAAAUGUCUAUUUGAAGAGUUGGAUUGAUUGUACUUUCUAAAAAUGCUUCUAGUAUACAAAAUACUUUUGAAGAAAUGAUUUGAUAAAAUUUAGAAAAUCCUUUUAAAAAAUUAAAAAAUCACUUAUAAUGUUUUUUGAAAAACGUAUAUUUUUUUUAUAAAAAAAAAAAGAAAAGAAAAAUUAUUUUCACUGAAUGAAAACAUUGUUAAAUGUAUUUAAAAUAGUUGGAAGAUUAAAAUAAAGACUAAAAAGGAUUAGUUAUGCUACAGAAAGUAUGACAUCCUUCAUUCCCAAAAGAUGGAGAUGAGACUCUGUUGGUCAUGUUGAAGGGACAUCAUGAGUGAUCAACUAAGACACUCUAGCUUGCCAUUUUUAUCUUUUUAUUUUAUUUUAUUUUUUAUUUUUUAUCUUGCGGUACCUACCCACAUUUGACCCCACUAAUAAGAUGUCAUGUGUAAAGUGCAUGUCAUUAAAAAAAUAAAAAUAAAAACUUAUCAAACCGAUAAAGGUAACCAAUUGGUGAGAAAGAAUCACAUGCAUCUCAUACAUAUUUAUAUAUUACAAUUUAUUAUUUAAUGAAAUACCUAACAUUUUUCUAGAAUAAGAAAAUCCUACCAAUUACCCUUAUACUCUCAUUAUUCAAAUAUACAAAAAGAGAUACCAAUGUAAUAUGAAAAUUAAAUAGCUUCAAUUACCAUAUUGAAAAACAUGUGGGAUGUAUUUUGAUAAAUCGAAUUUGAAGAUUAAGUUUGAAAUUUAUUGAGGAAGGAAAUAAAAUAAAUUUGUAUUUCAUAAAGAAGAUGAAGAAUUUCAAAUGAUUAUAAGUGCUAAAGAUACUAUUUGAUAUAUUUUUAUUUAAAUAUAAAUUUGUAGGUAGAAAUGUCAUGUUAAAUAACAUUUGAAUAUGUAAUGAUUUAUAAAAUUUAGAUUUUAGAAUUUUUUGUUAUCAAAUUGUUAUCAUUUUUUUUUUGUUCAUAGAUUAAAUUUGAAGAUUAAGUUUUAUGUCUUGAAUAAGGAAAACAAGAACUUUUGUUUCUUAAGAAGAUAUUAUAUAAAGGAUUUCAAGUGAUUACAAGUAAUAAAGGUAACAUUUGACCUUUUUAUUUAUUUAAAUGUAAAUUUUGUAGGUAGAAAUGUCAUGUUAAAUAAUAUUUGAAUAUGUAAUUAUUUAUAAGAUUUAGAUUUUAGAAUUUUUUUUAUGAGUUAUUAUUAAUCAAAUUGAGAUAGUUUAGUCAUUUGUUAUGAAAUUGGUAUCAAUAUUUGUAUAUCAUUUUUUUUGUGUGUUCAUAGAUCAAAUUUGAAGAUGAAGUUUUAUACGUCUUGAAGAAGGAAAACAAGAAUUUUCGUUUCUUAAGAAGAUAUUAUAUAAAGGAUUUCAAGUGAUUAAAAGUGUUAAAGGUAUUAUUUUAUUUUAUUUAUUUAAAUAUAAAUUUUUUAGGUAGAAAUGUCAUGUUAAAUAGUAUUUGAAUAUGUAAUGAUUUAUGUAUAAGAUUUGGAUUUUAGAAUUUUUUUUAUGGCUUGUUAUUAAUGAAAUUUAGAUAAUUUAGUCAUUUGUUAUCAAAUAGUUUUCAACAUGUGAGAGAAGGUACAAAUAAUGUGAAAGAGGGUAUGCAAAAUGUGAAAAAGUGUACAAAUAAUGUGAGAUGCGGUAUGAACAAUGUGAAAUGGAAUAGAAAGACAUUAUCAAAUACAGUUCAAACUAAUUCAUCAUAUAAUAAUCCAUACAAACCAUUCACAAUUUUUAAAUGAUAAGUCUAAACCAUCUAAUAGAUUUUUUUCUUUCUAAAAUAAACAACAGACUACAAUGUCCUCCUCCAUUAAACAUUUGAAUUGCUAAAUUUCUUCUCUAAGCACUUCAUUGAUCUGAUGGUUCAAUUAUAGCUAUUGGUUCACCUACAACUUGGUGGUCUUGCACAUCAAACUCUUGUUCCAAUGGGUUCACAAACAUCUCUCUUUUUAUGAGAUUAUGAAGAAGACAACAAGCAAGAAUGAGUUUACAUUGUAUCUUCACUGGAUAGAAACGAGCACUCCUAAGUAUAGCCCAACGUAGUUUGAGCACACCAAAACAUCUCUCAAUAACAUUUCUUGCUACAAAAUGUUUUAUGUUGAAAAACUCUUCAUGGGUUGUUGGCAUGUGUCCUUCUCUCCAAUCGUUGAGAUGAUAUCUUUUCCCUCUAUAUGGGGCAAGAAAUCUCUCUCAAUUUGUGUAGCUAUCAUCAACAAGAUAGUAAUAACCUAAAAUGAAUAUUCCAAAAUAUAUUUUGAAAGAAUAAAUCAUAUAUUAAAAAAUUUAAUAAUUUAUAAGAAACACAUAGUAACCAUGUGGCACUGUUAGUCCAUUUCCCCUAGUAACUGCAUCUUGAAGCACUCGGGAAUCAAAGGUUGAUCCUUCCUAACCUAGUAAUAUAUAUAAAUAAACUGCAUAUCCUAAGAACAAACUCCUAUGACAUUUGUUGCAAUUUCAAUCUUCCUUAUUCGAUAUCUAGGCUUGUCUCUAUCAAGUACAUUCACUUGAAUGUAUGUUCCAUCUAAAACUCUUAGACAAUUCUAUUCAAAUAAAAGAAUUAGUAUUGCUAUAUUAUGAAUUAAUUAAAUCUACAUAAACUAAAAUUAUAUCUUAUAUUCUUUAAACCAUUUCCAUCUCUCAUAUGUUGAGCUUUUAGAGACCGGUUCUUAACUUUUUACUAAUACUCUUUGUAAGGGAAUAACCACAUUCAAUACUACAUUGAAAUGCCUACUAAUAGAUUCUCGAUCUAAACCUUAAGAAUCGAAAUUUUAUAACUCAAUUCUUUACAUGAUGUGCAAGAAUAUGUAAAAAUAAUGCAACCAUUUCUUCUACAUCAACAUAUCUUCAAUCCUUUAAUUUACCAAUAGGAGAAGCAUAGAACAUAACAUGAUGAAAAUAUCUCUAUCCAUUCUAAGUUGCUUCAUACAUGCUAUAUCACUCUCAUAAAUUAAUCGAUUAACAUUUUCAACUCGCAAAAACACUUUAUUUGCAUGUCUUUCCAUCAAUGUCCAUUUUUUAUAACACUUCCUUAUAGUAGUACAAAGUUUAGUAAACAUACUAAGCAUAUUCACUAUGACAUAUUGAAUCAGGGUAAGUUGUUUUCUCCUUUCCAUUUUAAUAAGGUUCAUAGCUAUGCAAGAUUCAUAAUCACAAGGGUGAAAAAAAAACCAUUUUAUGUUUUUAAUAAUAAUAAUAAUAAUAAUAAAUCAAAAUAGCUUAACACUUCCUUGAGAAGAGUGGUAAACAAGAGAGGUUCCCAUCCAAAAUCAAAAUAAUAAAUAAAAAUAUUAGAAAAUUCAAAAACCUAUUCUUCUAUCCCUUUCUUCGUAGUUUCAAAAACCAAGGCAAAAAUCCUAGCCAAUUUGUACUGAAGAUCAAUAACACAAAUGUAAAUACAAAUUGAAGGAAAGUUAAAAAUGAUGAACAAAUUAUCGUAAUUCAACUAGAAUUAGACCAGAAGAUAAAAAGUGAUUAAAAUGGAUAACAAAUGUAAAAUAGUUGUAUUUCUGAAGAGAAAAUACAAGUAAUAGUGAAGGAAAACUGAAAAUCCAAGAAAGUACCAACAUUUACAAAAAUGCAAAGAAAAUUUGAUGGAGAAAAGUUUCAAAGCUCUGCAAAGUGCUAGCCUUUAUGCUAUGUCAGAAGGUAACAAAAAUUAAAACAAGGGUUCAACACUCUGUUUAUGAUAGAAAGUGCUGAGAAAGUGAACUAUUGGAGCUCAACCCCAAAAUUCCACUUCAUCAACAAUGGUCAAAGUCAUCAUUAGACAAUAAAAUGUUGCCUGCAACUUUCUACCACUAAAGUUAAUAAAAAAAUAAAUCAAUACUCAAGUACCAACAAUAAAGUAAAAGGAUCAUGAUAUAGCAAACAUCAAGUUAGGUUCUAUGCUAGAUAGAAGAUACGCCCUGGUAGGGCAAACUGGCCUCCAAGGCCCCACAAGUUCCCCUUCUAGCUAAAAAACCAACCAUAUCAUUAUUGAUAGAGAUAAUUCUGGUAAUAGCAGUAACAACAUUUCCAAAAGAUAUUAUUCUGAUGCACCCAAUAAGGGAGAUUCCAAAGAAAAUUUUGGUAAAAUAAGAAUUCGUCAAAUCAAGGCUUGAUCAUUGUAUAUAUUCUUUGUAAUUACUGUAGACUAGAAUUUUCUAUAGCAACAUUUUUUAUUAUUGCUAUAUACAUCAAGUCAACACUCAUGUAUAUUUAAACAUAGUAUCAAUAAGAAUUUUCAAUGUGUGCUUUCUCAUUUAUCCCUGUAGCCAUUUGCCUUUCUUCUUCUUAUGGUAUCAAAGUCUUCUUGUAACACACCAAAAACCAUGACUAGCUGGUUCAUUAGUUUCUUCUCCUAUCAAUUCAACAACUUCUCUCCCCUUUGAUUCUUAAAAUCAAAUCAUCACCAUUAAUGUUGCUUCUCAAACCCCCCUGAAACUUACAUCCAACAACUAUACUACUUGGAGAGCACAAUUAAACUUGUUGCUUGUUGGUCUUAAUCUCAAAGGUUAUAUUGAUGGAUCAACCCCUUGUCCAUCGAAAACCAUAACUGAGAAUAAUACUGAAAUUCCUAACCCUGCUUAUCUAUUUUUGAUUCGUCAAGACCAACUCAUUUUUAAUGCAAUUUUGGGUUUUGUUUCUGAAAAUAUUUCUCUUUUCAUUACAUUGUCCGCAUAAUCUCAAGCAGCUUGGAAGAAACUUGCCACUACAUAUGCCAAGCCAUCCUAUACCCGAAUCCAUCAUCUAAAGGAAAAUCUUACUCAUCUUUCACAUGACACUCUCACUAUUUCUUGGUACAUGCAACAAUCAAAAGGUUAUGAUGAUGCUCUAGCACUUGUUGAUGCCCCAAUUGGUGAAACCUUCCUCAUUAUACACAUUCUUAAUGGUCUCAAUAGUGAAUUCAAGGAGAUUGUUGUUGUUGUGAGAGCAUGUGAGACCCUUAUUACCUUUAAGGAACUUCAUGACAAACUUCUUGCUCAUGAUGGUUAUCUCAAAAGAGAAGGCUUGAAACAAAAUAACAACAAUAUCACUGCAAAUAUGGCAACUAAACAUAAUCCCAAUAAUCAAAACAACUACAACACCUAUAAGCAAGGUAAAUUUUACAACACUAGUGGUAAUAGCAGUACUAAAUAAAUUCAAAAUCCAAAUAGAAACUCUAACGCAAAGCGUUAUAAAAAGUAUUUUUAGCUAUGUGAUGAAUAGGGCCAUAUAGCUAAGCGUUGCUUGAGGUUUUGUCUCUCCAUUGUCAUUGUAGCCGUAAUUGCAAUAAUUUUUUCAACAGUUUUCACGACCUCUACUCAACUAUCAACCACCUUUCUUUUCUUCCCAACUAAGAGCUCACUUUGUAGCACAAUUAAAUGGCUCUAAUACAGGUUGGUUGAUGGAUUAUAGUGCGUCUAAUCAUGUCACUUAUAACUUGAAAAACUUAUCUCUUCACUCAGAAUAUGAUGGUAGGGACGACAUAGUGAUCGGUAAUGGUACUGGUUUGCUCAUAAGUCACACUGGUUUUGCCACACUUUCCUCCCCAUCUUCUCAUUUCUAAAAAUAAAAAAUAAAAAGUAAGUGGCGACUCCAAACAAAACCGUUUCUCACUAGGACAAAUUUUUCAAAACUUGAAAACCAGCUUUCCAUUUUACCUUUUAAAAUAGUGAGUCACGCUGGUCGAUAGAUUGGGUGAGGGUCCACACCUAUUCAUAGCACUUAAAGCCCUGAGCUCACGACCUAGAGGAGCUCAUGUCAUUCAUAACCUUGAGUUGUUUAUAACAUCUAGAGCCCUAAGCUCACAACCUAGAAUAGCUCAUGUCAUUCAUAACCCUAAACUGUUCAUAGCAUCAAGAGCCCUGAGCUCAUGACCUGUAGUAUUUUAUGCCAUCAAUAACCCUAAGCUAUUCAUAGCUUCAAGUGCCUUCAGCUCACGACCCAAAGUCAUUCAUGUCAAGAUCGGCUAAGAGCUGUUGAUUGCAUGUAGUGUCCUAAGCUCACGAACAAGAGUAGCUCAUGUCAUCCAUAACCCUGAGCUGUUAAUAGCAUCUAGAGUCGUGAGCUCAUCACCUUGAGUUAUUUAUAUCAACCACAACCUAGCAUAUAGAGCCCUAAGAUUAAGACCAAGAGUGGCUCAUGUCAUUGAUAGCUUUGAGUUGUUCAUAAAAUCUAAAGCCCUAAGUGCACGACCCAAAGUCAUUCAUGUCAACCACAACCCUGAGGUGUUCAUAGUAUCUAUAGCCCUUAGCUCAAAACCUCGAGCCAUUUAUGUCAUCCACAACUCUAAACUCAUGACCCAAAGUCUUUCAUGUCAUCAACAACCCUGAGUUGUUCAUAGCAUAUAAAGUUCGGAGCUCACAACUCAGAGUUGUUCAUGUCAAUCACAACCUGGAGUUGCUCAUAACAUCUAGAGCCUUGACCUAAAGACCCAGAGUCAUUCAUAUCAACUACAACCCAGAGCUGUUCAUAGUAUAUAGGGCCUUUAUCUCACGAUAUAGACUCAUUCGUGUCAACCACAACCUAAAGCUAUUCAUAGCAUCUAGAGCCUUUAGCUCAUGACUCAGACUAGCGCAUGUUAUUUGUAGCCUUGAGAAAUUCAUAGCAUCUAGAGCCCUAAGCUCAUGACCAAGAGUUGUUCACGUCAACCAUAGCCUUGAGCUAUUCAUAGUGUCUAGAGUCUUAAGCUCACAACCCAGAGUCGUUCAUGUGAACCACAAUCUAGCACUAUCGAUAGCAUUUAGAGUCUUGAGCUCAUGACCCAUAGUAACCCAUGUUAUCCACAUCCUUAAGCCAUUCUUUACAUCUAGAGUCCUCAACUCAUGAUAUAGAGUUGUUCAUGUCAACCACACCCUAGAUUUAUUUCUAGCAUCUAGAGCCCUGACCUUAUGACUUAGAGUCUUUCAUGUCAUCCAUAUCUUUGAGCAAUUCAUAGUAUCUAGAGCUCGAAGCUCAUGACAUAGAGACAUUCAUGUUAAUCAUAACCUAGUACUAUUCAUAGCAUAUAGAGCCCUAAGCUGACGACCCAGAGUAGCCCAUGUUAUCCACAAUCUCAACUAUUCAUUGCAACUAGUGUCCUAAUCUCAUGACCUAGGGUAGUUCAUGUCAACCACAACUUUGAGUUGUUCAUAGUAUCUAGAGCCUUGAGCUCAUGCCUAUAGUCUUUCAUGUCAUUGAUAACUCUAAUUUGUUCAUAGCAUUAGGAGCCUUAAGCUCAUGACUGGGAGUCGUUCAUGUAAACCACCACCUAGAGUUGUUCAUUGAAUCUAGAGCCCUGAGCUCACAACCUAGAGUAGCUCAUGUUAGCGACAACCCUAAGCUGUUAAUAGCAUCUAGAGCCCUAAGCUCAUGACUUGGAGUCGUUUAUGUUAACCAUAACCUAGAGUUAUUCAUAGCAUCUAGAGCCUUGAGCUCAAGACGUAGAGUGGCUUAUUCAUCCAUAACCCUAACCUGUUCAUACGAUCUAGAGCUUUAAGCUCCUAAUCCAAAGUUUUUCAUGUCAACCACAACCUAGAGUUGUUCAUUACAUCUAAGGCCUUGAGCUCAUGACCUAGUGUCAUACAUGUCCUCAAUACCUCUAAGUUAUUCGUAGAAUCUAGAGCCUAAGCUCAUAACCCGGAGUUUUUCAUGUCAUUAACAGCCUUGAGUUGUUCAUAUUGUCUAGAGCUUUAAGCUCAAAACCCAAAGUUAUUCAUGUCAACCGCAAACCAACGUUGUUCAUAGCAUUUAGUGCCCUGAGAUCACGAUCUAGAGUAGCCCAUGUUAUUUAUAGCUCUGAGCCGUUCUUAGCAUAUAGAGCCUUAAGCUCACGACUCGGAGUCAUUCAUCUCAACCAUAGUCUAGAGUUAUUCAUUGAAUCUAAAGGCUUUACCUCAUAACCCAAAGUCAUUCAUGUCAUCCAUAUUCUUAACUUGUUCAUAGCAUCAAGAGCCUUGAGCUCACAACAUGAACUCGUUCAUGUCAACCACAACCCAAUGUUUUUCAUAGUACUUAAAGCCCUAAGCUUAUGACCCAAAUUAGCCCAUGCUAUCCACAACCCUUAGUUGUCAAUAUCAACUAGAGCGUUGAGGUCAUGACCUAGAGUAGUUCAUGUCAACCAUAACCUUAAGUAGUUCAUAGUAUUUACAGUCCUGAGCUCAUGACCCGUAGUCUUUCAUGUCAUUGACAGCUUUGAGUUGUUCAUAUCAACAGGAGCCCUAAGGGAACAACUUAAAGUCAUUCUUGUCAACCAUAGCCCAAAGAUGUUCAUUGCAUCUAGAGCCUUGAGCUCAUGACCUAGAGUACCUCAUGUCAUCCAAUACCUUGAGCUAUUAAUAACAUCUAAAGCCCUGAGCUCACAACCCGGAGUCAUUCAUGUUAACCAUAGCCUAGAGCUAUUCAUAGAAUUUAGAGCCAUGAGCUCACGGCUCAAAGUCUUUCAUGUCAACCACAACCCUGAGCUGUUCAUUGCAUCUAAAGCCUUGAGCACACAACUGAGAGUUGUUCAUGUCAUCCAUGACCCCGACUUAUUCAUAGAAUCUAGAGCCCUAUGCUCACAUCCCCAAGUCUUUCAUGUCAUAAAAACCUUAAGUUGUUCAUAGCAUCUAAAGUCGUGAGCUCAUGACUAGGAGACAUUCAUGUCAACCAUAGCCUAGAGCUUUUCAUAGUAUCUAAAGCCUUAAGCUCACAACCUAGAGUGGUUCAUGUCGUGGAUAAACUUGAGUUGUUCAUAGUAUUUAGAGCCAUGAGCUCACAAUUAGAGUCUUUCAUAUAAACCAUAACGUAGAGUUGUUCACUGCAUCUUGGGCUUAGAACUCAUGAUCGAGAUUCAUUCAUGUCAUCCACAACCCUAACUUGUUCAUAGAAUCUAGAGCUCUGAGCUCACAACCCAAAGUCUUUCAUGUCAUCGACAAUCUUGAGCUAUUCAUAUCAUCUAGAGCCUUGAGCUCACGACCCGGAGUCAUUCAUGUCAACCACAACUGAAAGCUUUUCAUAGCAUCUAAAGCCUUCAGUUCAUGACCUAGAGUGGUUUAUGUCAUUGAGAACCCUAAGCUAUUCAUACCAUCUAAAUCCCUUAGCUCAAUACCCGGAGUCAUUAAUGUCAACCACAACCUAGAUCUGUUCAUUGUAUAUAAGGCCCUAAGCUCCCGACCUAGAGUCGUUCAUGUCAUCCAUAACCUUAUGUUGCUAAUAGAAUCUAAAGCCUUGAGCUCAUGACUUGGAAUCUUUCAUGUAAUUAGGAACCUUGAGUUGCUCAUAUCACUUAAAACCCUGAGCUCACCCUCUAGAUUCAUUCAUGUCAACCACAUCCCAAAGCAGUUCAUAGCAACUAAAGCCUUGAUCUCAUGACCCAAAGUGGUACAUGUUAUCGACAGUCUUGAGCUGUUCAUAGCAUCUAAAUCCCUAAGCUCAUGACCUAGAGUCAUUCAUGUGAACCAUAACCUUCAUGUGAACCAUAACCCUAAGAUGUUCGUAGUAUAUAUUACCUUUAGUUCACAACCCUAAGUCAUUCAUGUCAUCCACAAUCCUAACCUGCUCAUUGUAUUUAGAGACCUCAACUCAUGACCAAGAGAAACUCAUGUCAUCCACAGGCCUGAGCUGUUCAUAGCAUUUAGAGCCUUGAGUUCAUGACCUAAAGUCGCUCAUGUCAUCCAUAACCCUAAGUUGUUCAUAGCACAAAGAGCCUUGAGCUCACGACCUGUAGUCUUUUAUGUCAUUCACAACCAUGAGCUAUUCAUAACAUCAAGAGUCCUUGGCUCAUGACCUAGAUUCAUUCAUGUCAACUACAACCAAGAUUUGUUGAUAACAUCCAGUGCCUUAAGCUUACGAAUAAGAGUAGCUCAUGUCAUCCAUAGCCUUGAGCUUUUAAUAGCAUCCAGAGUCGUGAGCUCAUGACUUGGAGUCAUUUAUAUUAACCACAACCUAGUGUUACUCAUAGCAUCUAGAGUCGUAAGCUCAAGACCUAGAGUGGCUCAUAUCAUUAACAACCUUGAGUUGUUCAUAGCAAUCUAAAGCCCUGAAUGCAUGACCUAAAGUUUUUCAUAUCAACCACAACCUUAAGAUGUUAUCGUAUCUAUAGCCCUUAGCUUAAAACCCUGAGUCAUUCAUGUCAUCCACAACCCUAAGCUCAUGAUUCAGAGUCUUUCAUGUCAUUAAUAGCCCUGAGUUGCUUAUAACAUCUAAAGUACAGAGCUCACAACCUAGACUUAUUCAUGUCAACCAUUACCCAAAGCUAUUUAUAGCAUAUAGAGCCUCGAUCUGACGACUUAGAGCCAUUCAUGUAAACCACUGCCCAGAGCUGUUCAUAGUAUCUAGGGUUCUUAGCUCACGAAAUAGAUUCGUUCAUGUCAAGUCUACCCCAAUGUUAUUCAUAGCAUCUAGAGUCCUCAUCUCCUUACAUGGAGUCAUUCAUGUCAACCACGGCCCAGACUUAUUCAUGGCAUCUAGAGCCCUGACUUUAUGACCUAAAGUCUUUCGUGUCAUUAAUAGCCCUAACUUGUUCAUAACAUUUAGAGCCCUGAGCUCAUGACAUAGAGUAUUUCAAAUCAACCAUAACCCAACAUUGUUCAUUACAUCUAGAGCCCUAAGCUCACGACCCAGAGUAGCCCAUGUUAUCCACAACCUUUAAUUGUUUAUAGCAACUAAUCCCUUAAGUUAACGACCAAGUGUCAUUCAUGUCAACAACAACAACUUUGAGCUUUGAGCUCAUGACCUAUAGUCUUUAAUGUCAUCAAAAACCCUGAGUUGUUCAUAGCAUCAAGAGCCUUGAGCUCAUGACUCGGAGUUGUUCAUGUCAACCACAACUUAGAGCUGUUAAUAGCACCUUAAGCCCAGAGCUCACAAGAAAGAAAAGCUCACUUCAUCCAUAACCUUGAGUUGUUAAUAGCAUUUAAAGCCUUGAGCUCAUGAACUAGAGUCAUUCAUGUCAACCACAACCCAGAGUCGUUCAUAGCAUCUAGAGCCUUGAGCACAAGACUUAGAAUGAUAGAUGUCAUCAACAACCCUGAUUAUUCAUAGAAUUUAGAGCCUUGAGCUCUUGACCCAGAGUCUUUCAUGUCAUCGACAACCCUUAGAUAUUCACAACAUCUAAAGCUCUAAGCUCAUAACUUGGAGUCGUUCAUGACAACCACAACCUAAAGUUGUUCAUAGCAUCUAGAGCCUUGAGCUCACGACCUAGAGUACCUCAUGUCUUCCACAACCCUGAGCUAUUAAUAGCAUCUAGAGCCUGGAGUUCAUGAAUUGGAGUCUUUCAUGUCAACUACAACCUAGAGUUAUUCAUAGCAUUUAGAGCCCUGAGCUCAAGACCUAGAGUGGCUAAUAUCAUUCAUAACCCUAAGAUGUUCAUAGCGUCAAGAGCCAUGAGGUCACAACUCGGAGUCUUUCAUACCAACCAUAGCCUAGAGUUGUUCAUUGCAUCUAGGGCCCUGAGCUCAUCACCUAGAGUUGUUCAUGUCAUCCACAACUUUGAGUUGUUCAUAGAAUCUUGAGCCCUGAGCUCAUCACCUAGAGUUGUUCAUGUCAUCCACAACUCUGAGUUGUUCAUAGAAUCUUGAGCCUUGAGCUCAUGACCCGAAGUCGUUCAUGUCAACCAUACCGUAAAGUUCUUCAUAACAUCUAAAGCCCUGAGCUUAUGAGCCACAUUUGUUCAUGUCAACCACUGCCCAAUGUUAUUCAUAGCAUUUAGAGCCUUGAGCUCACAACCUAGAGUAUCCCUUGUUUUCCGUAGCCCUUAACUAUUUUUAGCAACUAGUGCCCUGAACUCACCACCAAGAGUCAUUCAUGUCAACCACAACUCUGAGUUAUUCAUAGUAUCAAGAGCCCUUAGCUUAUGACCCAUUGUCUUUCAUGUCAUCGAAAACCCUGAGUUGUUCAUAGAAUCAAGAGCCCUAAGCCAAUGACCUGGAGUUGUUCAUGUUAACCACAACCUAGAGUUGUUCAUCGCAUCUAAAGCCUUGAGUUCAUAACCUAGAGUAGCUCAUGUCAUCCAUAACCUUAAGUUGUUAAUAGCAUCUAGUCCCUGAGCUCUCUAACUGAAGUCAUUCAUGUUAACCACAAGCUAAGGUAGUUCAUAGCAUCUAGAGCCUUGAGCUCAACACCCAAAGUGGUUGAUGUCAUCUACAACCCUAAGUUGUUUAUAGAAUCUAGUGUCGUGAGCUCAUGACCCGAAGUCUUUCAUGUCAACCCCAACCUAGAGUUGUUCAUUGCAUCUAGGGCCCUAAGCUCAUGACUCAAAGUCAUUCAUGUUAUCCAUAACCCUAAGCAGUUCAUAGAAUCUAGAGUCCUGAGCUCACGACCUAGAGCAUUUCUUGUCAUCGAUAACCCUGAGCAAUUCAUAGCAUCUAGAGCCUUGAGCUCACGACCCGAAGUUGUUCAUGUCAACCAUAACCCAGUGUUGUGCAUAACAUCUAAAUCCUUGAACUCAUAGUCGAGAGUGGCUCAUGUCAUCAAUGGCCCUGAGUUGUUCAUAGCAUCUAGAGCUCUAAGCUCAUGACCUAGAGUCUUUCAUGUCAAGCACAAGUAAGAGAUAUUCAUUGCAUCUAGGGCCUUGAUCUCACGAUCAAGAGUCAUUCAUAUCAUCCACAACCUUAAGCUAUUCAUAGAAUCUAAGCCUUGAGCUCAUGAACCGAAGUCUUUCAUGUCAUCGACAACCUUGAGUUGUUCAUAGAAUCUUAAGCCCUAAGCUCACAACCUGAAGUCUUUGAUUUUAUUGAAAACCUUGAGCUAUUCAUAGCAUCUCGAGCCCUAAGCUCACAACCCGGAGUCGUUCAUGUCAACCAUAGCCCAAAGUUGUUCAUAACAUCUAAAGCCCCGAGUUCAUGACCCAAAGUGGGUAAUGUCAGUGACAUCCUUGAGCGGUUCAUAGCAUCUAAAGCCUAAAGCUUACAACCUAGAGUCGUUCAUGCUAGCCACAACCCAAAUCUAUUCAUAGCAUCUAAAGCCCUAAGCUUAAGACCUAAAGUGGUGCAUGUCAUCCACAAUCUUGAGCUGUUUAUGGCAUUUAGAUCCUUGAGCUCACGACCCAGAGUCAUUUAUGUCAACCACUGCCUAAAACUGUUCAUCUCAUCUAGCGGCCUUAACUCACGACCCAAAGUAGCUCAUGUCAUUUAUAGCCCUAAUCUUUUCAUAGCAUCUAUAGCCUUGAGCUAACAACCUAGAGUCGUUCUCAUCAACCACAACCUAAAGUUAUUCAUAGCAUCUAAAACCCUAAGCUUACGACUAAGAGAAGCCCAUGUCAUCCACAAACCUUAGUUGUUAAUAGCAUUUAGAGACAUGAGCUCACGACUUAGAGUAACUCUUAUCAUUCAAAGCCUUGAGCUGUUCAUAGGACCAAGAGUUUUGAUCUCACAACCCAUAGUCUUUCAUAUCAUCGAUAGCCCUAAGCUGUUUAUAGCAUGAAGAGUAAUGAGCACAUGACCUGUAGUCGUUCAUGUCAACCACAACCUAUAGUUGUUAUACAUCCUGAGCUCAUGACUUGGAGUAGCUCAUGUUAUCUAUAACCUUUAGUUCUUAAUAGUAUCUAGAGCCUUGAGCUCAUGACUUUGAGUUUUUUAGGUUAACCACAACCCAGAGCUAAUCAUAGCGUCUAGAGUCCUGAGUUGUUCAUACACAAAGUGGCUCAUGUCAUCCACAACACUGAGCUGUUCAUAGCAUUAAGAUCUCUAAGAUCAUGACCUAUAGUUUUUCAUGUCAUCGAUAGGCCUAAGUUGUUCAUAGGAUUAAGAGCCCUGAGCACACGACCUGGAGUCAUUAAUGUCAACCACAACCCAAAGUUAUUCAUAACAUCUAGAGCUCUCAGGUCACGACAUAGUGUUGCUCAUGUCAUCAAUAACCUGAGCUAUUAAUAGCAUCUAGAGGCUUGAGCUGAUGACCCAUAGUUAAUCAUGUUAAUCAUAGCCUAAAGCUACUCAUAACAUCUAGAGCUUUGAGCUCAAGACAAAGAGUGGUUCAUGUUGUCUGCAACACUGAGCUGUUCAUAAUAUCUAAAGCCUAGAGAUCAUGACCUGGAGUCUUUCAUGUUAACCAUUGCCUAGAGUCAUUCAUUGUAUCUAGGUACCUGAGCUCAUGACUCAAAGUGGUUCACGUUAUCCACAGCUUUGAGUAGCUCAUAGAAUCUAGAGUCCUAAGCUCAUGACUCGAAGUCUUUCAUGUCAUUGACAACCCUGAGUUGUUCAUAGCAUCUAAAUCCGUAAGGUAAUGACUCAGAUUCAUUCAUGUCAACCACAACCCAGACCUAUUAUAGCAUCUAGAGUCGUGAGCUCAAGACCAAGAGUGGCUUAAGUUAUCCAUAACCUUGAGCUGUUCAUAGCAUCUAGAGCUCUGAGCUCACAACCCAAAAUCUUUCAUGUCAACCCCAACCUAACAUUGUUCGUUGCAUCUAGGGCCCUGAGCUCACAACCCAGUGUCUUUCAUAUCUUUAAAGUCAUUGUCUAAGGAAAAUAAUCACAAAAAUAAUAAAUAAUACUUUAAUAUAAGAUGUAUAUAUUUUCUUCAAAAGGUCUGUCUAGACUUCCACAAUUUUCUUGGACCACUUACCAACUUCAAUUAAUUGAAGAAAGUAUCAUUAUUAUUAUUAUUAUUAUUAUUAUUAUUAUUAUUAUUAUUAUUAUUAUAAAGGGUUGAAAAAAUGCAUAACAAGUCUAUUUGGUAUUUAUUUAUUUUUGUCUAAAAUCUAAAUAAACCUAAAUUAUUAUAUUUUAUAAUUCUAAAAUUAAUAAUUUAAGAAAUAGUAAUUUAAUAUAUUUACAAAUAUGUCAAAAUUAUUAAUUUAUUACCAUAAUAAAAAAUUUCUAACAAUUAAUUAUGUAAUUAGUAGAAAAUUUAUAAUUAGAUAAUGAUUAGGAUUUUUAUUUAUGUUUGGUUGUUAAGAAACUAUUAGAAGUUUUCUAAGCUGAAACUUAUUUUUAUGUAAUGUAUUUUUCUGAUUUAUGAAUAUUGUUAACUUUUUAUUUUUAAUUUGAGAAAAAAAUAAAUAUUAAUUUUGAAAAUUAAACAAUGGAUCAUAUAAUGAUAGAAUAAUAUUUUCUCCAUUGUGUUUGUUUAAUAGGUAGAUUCACAAAAUAUUUCGGACUUGUAUUUGAGAUUUACCAAUUUUUUCAAAUGAUUGGAUUAAGGUUCAGUCAUGAUUGGAUCAUAUAUAUUAGAUACUAUUCUAUUGAUGAGUAAAUCAAAUGAAUGAUGUAAAUUACCAAGCAUUGCCAAAAGAAAAAAAAAAAAAAAAACCUUUUUUUUUUGUACACAUAGACUAAGGAAAGUCAAUAAUUAAGAUGUCAUAAAGUCCUUCAAGAAAUGUCCAAGGAAAUUUUAAAAAUCAUGAAAAAAGAGUUAUAAAUGGUGUUUUAAUGUAUUAUAUACAUAUGCAUUUUUAAACUCCUCUUAGAAUUUGCUAUUCCGACAUUCUUUUUCCUUUUUCUUAUCUCAAUUUAAAUAGGCUUUAAUUUAACUUAAAUAUAAAUAGUAUAAAAUUAAAUAGGCUUUAAUUUAACUUAAAUUUAAAUAGUAUAAAAUAUUAAGUGAUUUGUUUUCUUUUUUUUUUCUUUCACUUAAGUCUUAAAACAUAUUGUUUUAAUAUUUAAGUCAUUUUAAAUAUCGUUUUAUUUGUUUAACUUAUUAUUUUUUAAGACAAUUUUAUCUUAAUAGAAAAACUAAUUCAUUGUUUUUCUUUAAUCUUAAAUUUUAAAUUAACUUGUUUUAAGACUUAAGUUAAAAUUAAAAUUUUAAAUUUUAAAAAAACAAUAAACCCUUAAACUAUAUUUGUUUAUGAAAACAAACUAAGAAAAAUGAUUUUUUGAUUAAUGGUUUCAUUGUGGGAAUACAAAUAUAUAUAUUAAAAUUUUAUAGAUUUUAAAAUUAUUUAAAUUUUAUUUAAUAGAGAAAAAUAAAUUAAAUGGGUUAAAAAAAGAUAUUAAAAUAAUUUAUCUGAAAAUGGUCCACUGGAUAGGCACCUCCCACAAGAAAAUUAAUGAAAGCUAGAAAAAUGAAAAAAAUAAAAUUAAAAUUAAAGCUUCAUUUUUAUUUUUUUUUUUGCCCUAUAGACUAAGACUUUGUUUAGUCAAGAGUCAACAUGUCACAAAAUUCCUAAAGUCAUUGUCAAAGGAAAAUAAUAACAAAAUAAUAAAUAAUACUUUAAGGUAUGAUGUAUAUAUUUUCUACAAAAGACAUUUCUAGAGUUCUACAAUUUUCUCCGAUGGACCACUGACCAACUUCAAUUAAUUGAAAAAAGUUACGUGAAUGAAGGAACUUCCUACUCCAUGUUAAGUGAUAUGACAUAUAAAGGAAAAUAAAAUAUCAUGAAAAUUAUUAAAAAUUUUAUAUUUAUACAAUUCUUUAUUAUUAUUAUUAUACAUAAAGGGUUGGAAAAAUGCAUAACAUGACUAAGUGGUAGUUAUUAUUAUUAUUUUUUUGUCUAAAAUGUAAAUAAAUCUAAAUUAUUAUUUUUUAUUUUAAUUCUAAAAUUAAUAAUUUAAGAGAUAUUAAUUUAAUAAUUUACAAAUAUAUACAAAAAUUUAAAUUAUUACCAUAAUAAUUAUUUUCUAACAAUUAAUUAUGUAAUUAGCAGAAAAUUUAUAAUUAGAUAAUGAUUAGGAUUUUUAUUUAUGUUUGGUUGUUAAGAAACUAUUAGAAUUUUUCUAAGCUAAAACUUAUUUUUAUGAAAUGUAUUUUUUGAUUUAUGANNNNNNNNNNNNNNNNNNNNNNNNNNNNNNNNNNNNNNNNNNNNNNNNNNNNNNNNNNNNNNNNNNNNNNNNNNNNNNNNNNNNNNNNNNNNNNNNNNNNNNNNNNNNNNNNNNNNNNNNNNNNNNNNNNNNNNNNNNNNNNNNNNNNNNNNNNNNNNNNNNNNNNNNNNNNNNNNNNNNNNNNNNNNNNNNNNNNNNNNNNNNNNNNNNNNNNNNNNNNNNNNNNNNNNNNNNNNNNNNNNNNNNNNNNNNNNNNNNNNNNNNNNNNNNNNNNNNNNNNNNNNNNNNNNNNNNNNNNNNNNNNNNNNNNNNNNNNNNNNNNNNNNNNNUUACUUUAGUUAGUUUUGAUUAGAAAUUAUACUUUAAUUUAUGCUCUCAUUAUUAUNUAAAUCUAUUGAGGUAAAUAUCAACUAGCUAGAUAUUGGAUUUGUUAGAUAAGCUCAUUCAUGCAUUAAGCUCUCAAGUUUGACAUAUAAAAUGACCAUAGUACCCUUAACCUCUGUGACCAUAGUAUUAAACUUUUAAAAAACAUUUUAAACUUGAUGCAUUGGAACGGUAUGAUCAUUAUUAUUGAAUGAAUCUAUCAUUUUUUAUUGAAUGAAUAGGUUUUUUUUUUGCUUAAGUUAGAAUUUUUAUGAUUUUUGUUUUAGUUAGAACUUAUAAGCUAUGUUUGAUUCCUGGAAACUUUAAGGGAAAAUAUAAGGGAAUAAAAUAGAGAGGAAAAAUAUAAGGAAAAAAAAAUUUAAAUCACUUAUUUUAACUCAUAUAAAUAUUAAAUAAUUUUUAAAUGCAUAAAUUUUUAACUAUUUUUAAUUAUAUUUGAUUUUUAUUGAUAUUUUUUAUGAUAUAACCAUCCAUAAUAUAAUCAUUUUCUCUAUUAUUAUUUUUUAUUUUCUUGGCACUUUCAAGGAAACAAAAAUAAACACCUAGUAAAAUUAUGAUUUUAAAGGUAGCUUGGUUAACAUUAUGUGUACUUUUUGUUGAACUCUUUUCAAAGUGGAAUUUUUGUUAUAAAUUUAUCUAAAUACCUAAAAAAUCUCGUAAGCAACAACAAUUAUGUUUCUUUUACAUCUCAUUUAACAAUUAUUGUAAAGCUAUAAUGACUAGAUUGGGUUAGAUAGUUCACAAUUUGAACCUUUGGUUUCAAAAUUUAAUCAAAGAAAAUUUAGUAACCAAAUGUUUAAAAUUUAGGAAUGAUGAUGGACAAGUUUUGAAACUAUUUCAAAUUUUGAUACAACUAUAAAUCUAGAAGAAAUGAAGACCUUUUAGCAUAUAGAAAAGUUUCACCAAACUAAUAAUUAACAUAUAAAUAAGUAGGAUGAGUGUUUGAGACCGUUCUCUUUUUGUUGGAUUCGGUUCUAGUCCGACUCAAGGUUAAUAUAUUUUUAAUUUCCAUUUUGUUCAUUUAUGCAUUGAUUCAAAAAAACAUUUCAUGUACUGAUAUUUGAGAUUUACCAAUUUUUUUUAUAAGGAUUAGAUCAAGUUUCAAUCACAAUCAAAUCACAAAUUGCCUUUAUAUCCAUAAGUAAGUUAAUUCAAGAUAUUAAUUACCAAGUUUUUGAAACAUGAAGUCAUGGUCCAAAGAAAACGAAAUAAUAUUUUAUUUUUUAUUUCUAUUUCUCCAUUCUUUUGGUUAACUCACACGAAAUAGACUAAGGACUUUGUUUUAGUCAAGCAUCAAGAUGUCACAAUAAAAAAGAAAAGAAAUUCAAAUAAUGCUUUAAUGCAUGAUGUGUAUAUUUUUUCCAAAAAGCAUUUUAGACUCUUGUUAGAAUUUUCUCCUACGGAUUCUUUACUAACUUUAAUUAAUUGAAGAAAGCUAUAUGAAAUUUCCUACUCCAUGUUAAAUAUUAUAGCCUAUAAAGGAAAAUAAAAUAUCAUAAAAAUUAUUUAAAAAUUUAUAUAUAUUCAAAAUUUUUAUCAUAUAUAUAAAGGGUUGGAAAAAUGUAUAACAGGUUAAUGUGAUAUUUAUUUUUUGUCUAAAAUUUGAGUAGAUUUAAAUUAGACUUAAAUCUACUUAUUAGGUUGUUUACUUUUUAUCUGAGUAGAUUUAAAUUAGACUUAAAUCUACUUAUUAGGUUGUUUACUUUUUAUCAAUGUAUAAAUAUUGUUAAGUGUUAAAUUGCUUCUUUUAUUAAUGUCUACAGAGUUACACUUAUUUAUUUCUGUAUGUUAAAAAUAUCUAUGAAAUUAAUUAUUAUAUUUUUUCUUAUUUUAAUUUUAAAAUUAACAAUUUAAGAGAUAUUAAUUUAAUAUAUUUAUAAACAUAAAAAUAUUAUAAUCUAUUUUCAUAAUAAACAUUUUAUAAUGACUAAUUAUGCAAAGUGUAGAAAAAUAAUAAUUAGAUAAUUAUCAGGAUUUCUAAUUAUGCUUGGUUGUUAAAAAAUGUUAAAAAAUUUCUAUGUUAAAACUUAUUUUUAUGUAACUAUCUUCAAAUUUAUGAAUAUUGUUGAGAUUAAUUUAUUAAUUUUUAUUUUUAAAAUGGGAAAAAUGUAAAAAUCUAAAUUUUAUUUUUAAAUUAAUUGGAUUUUUUUUAUUCUAGUUAAUUACUAAAUGAGGGUAAAUUAGAAAUCUAAGUUCAAGGGCAUUAGCCAACCAAACUGACUCAAACCUAACCAAUCCAAUCUUAUUACUUCUUAUUUCCAUUUAAAGAUGUUUGUUCUAUUAAAAAAAAAAUGAUUACAUUGGUUCAUUGUUUAUGAACCAAUCAAAGCUAAACCAACCAAAUCUAUCUAUUAUAUAUAUAUAUAUAUAUAUAUAAACCAUUACAUUGGUUUGGUAUUCAUUUCAAAACAAUGAACCAAUAGAAACCGAAUCAAACCUAUAUAUUAUAUAUUAAACUUAAAAGAUGCAAAUUUUGAAUUUUCAAAAUUUGAAGUUGUUUUUUGAAGAGACUUCAUAUUUUGCUUCUCAUAAUUUACUAUAAAUUUAUGAAAUUAUUUUUUAGUUGUCAUAUUUUUUAAAAAUAUUUUAUUUUUUAAAAAUAAAUUCACUAAAUAUUGUCUCACAUGUAUUUGUGGUUCACUAAAUUUUUAAUAAUCAAAUCAAUAAAUUUGUAAAAGAAAAAUAUUAUAUUUUCUCCAUUUUGUUCACUUGAUAAACAAAUCUACAAAAAUGUCAAGCGAAUGUUUGAAAUUUACCUCUUUUUUUUUUUUUUGGUGGUUCUCUUUGGUUGAUUGUAUUUUUAAAAGCAUUAUAAAUCCCAAGAAAGUAAUAUUUUUUUCUUUACCAUUAUAGUUCCCAUAGUGUUUGAACAUAUCUUUGCCAUUUUUUUCUUCUUGAUCUAACUACAAACUUGACUGCACAAACUUGGUCAGCAAUGAGAAUAAAAGUGAGGAGGGUGAUGAAGUUCUCCCUAUACUCUCCUCUCUCUUUUUAACUUUCCACGUUUUAAUUGUAUAUCCCCCUCAACAGUAUAGUUUUAAGGUAUGUACACUUUAAUCCUGAUGGACUAAAGGCCCAUAAUUCAUCUCAAUGGGUCAACUAAAAUAUUAUGAGCAAGGUGAAGCCAUGGGCCUCUGCACCAUACAUUAAAUUGAUUAUGGCCCAAAACAAUACCCAUGCACAACCAAAUAUAGUUUACAAUAUACGUAGUCCACAAAAAACAUUUGACAUUAAUAGGUGAAUUUAGGUGAUUAUGCUACUCCAAUAACAUAUGAUUACAUUUUACUCUCUCCCUUUAAUGUUAAAUGACCAAUCAUGAAACAGUAAAAAGUUUUAUUUGAAAAUUUAUAUAUUUUCAAACUCUUGAUUCCUCUUUAUAAAUGUGGAUAAAGUUAGAGAUUGUCUUUUGAAGAAAUUUCCUAUUUUACUUUUCAUAAUUUCCAACAAAGUAAGAAAUUGUUUUUGAAUUGUCAUAUUUUAAAAAAUAUUAUAUUUUUUUUUCAAAAUCCCCAAGGAAUAGAUCCAUUGAAUAUUAUUUCACAUGUGUAUAUUGUUCACCAAAUUUUUAAUAAUCAAAUUAAUUAAUGUAAUGAAAAUUAUUGAAAUAUUACUUCUUGUUUUUUUUAGUCUAACAAGCACCUUAUGCGCAUAGGUUACGGUAGUUUUAAAGUCAAGUCUUUCCACACCAUUGCUUAAUCAAAAGCUAAGUACCGUAAAAAUAAAAAAAAUAAAAAAAAUUAGACUUUUGAUAUUUUUCUAAUAUUUUAAAAAUGAAUUUAUAAAAACUAGUAAUUGUAAAAAUAAUUUGGGAGGUAACGUAAUUAAAAAACUAAUUUUUAAAUUUAUAGAAGCUUAUAAAGUACUAAACAUAAAAUUACCUCUCGGUGAAAUAACUUCAAUAUAAUUACUUUACACUAAAUUACCCUUUGAAGAAACAAUUCUAAAUUUCGAAAUCUAAAAUAAAGUUAUCUCGAUAAAAAAUAAUAAUUCCUCACUUACCCCAAAGUUAAUAGUUUUCUGGUUAUUCUAUUAACAUUUUCUUUAAAACAAAUACUAUAUUUGGUCAAAAAAUAUUGAAAAUUUCAAAAAUAUCUUAUAUUCACUUGUAUGACAUAAAUUAAAGACUUUAUUAAACAUAACAUUAUUACAACUAAUGUCUAUGAAACAUUUUUUUCUAAGCCAAAAUUGAAGUACUUAGAAUAAUGACAACAUAUACAUAGCAAUGAUUUGACUUGUUUAGAGUAACGAAUCUAUUUCCCAUAAGGAAAUAAUUGAAUCUAAAAAUUACAUGUUUCUUGGUAUAGACAGUAGAUUUAAGUUAUGUGUUUCUCUAUUUUACUUUUAAAGUUUUGUUAUGUUAGGAGAAGAGUAUUUGAUGCUACUAGUCUUGAAAUUUAUUUUUUAAUAAAAACUAUUAUGGAAAUAAAGAAAAAGUUUCUAGUGAUGCUUAUCCUCCCUUCUUUUCUUUAAGUUAAAAGUGAUAAAUUAUUAGGAAUGACAAUGAAGACUUUUUUCAAGUACCUAUCUCACUCAUAAUAGGAAGGGUUUGAGAUAAAGAUAAAUGAGUUCGGGAUGAGUUUGAGAAUUUUUAAAAAACCUAGGAUGGGUUGGGACAGAUUCGGAUAUGACUUUAUCUUCUUGAUGCAAUUAUAUAUAAUUUUAAAUAAUAAAAAAUUAUUUUAAUUGAUUCAUUUUUAUUUUUGAACCUUUUAAACAUAACUAAAAUAUUAAUUUUCAUAAAAAUAAAUUAUAAAUAAUAUUUUUUAUUUAUAAACCAUAUUUAUUUUUAUUAAAAUUUAAAAAAUUUUAAAUAAAAAAUUGAAAAUUUUUAAACAGGGCAAGCGUCGGGCAGGAAUGGGAAUAGAUAUAAAUAAAUAAGACAGUUUGAGAUAGGGGCGACCUAUCUCAAACCCACCCGUUGCCACCCCUAUCAAUUAUGGAAUAGUAAAAAAGUUAUUGAAAAUUUAUAUAUUUCCAAACUCUCAAAAAAAAAGAGAAGAAUUACUAAAAUUCAUAGGUCAAAAAAAAAAAAAAACCUAUUAAAACUUAUUUAGCUUGAAGGUAAGUGAACUAAUUUGGAACAGGAGUAAAAGAAAAUAUUAUUAAUUUUGUUGUGCUCAAUCUUUAUUUUGUUUUAAGCUUCCUUUCCUCUUUUUAUUAUUUUUUAUUUUUUUUUUAUCACUUUAUCUUUUGUCCCUUAUAGUUUAGUUCAAAUUUAAAAGUAUGAAGAUGAAGCAGUUGUAGUAUAAAUCUGUGAAAGUUCAAGUCUUACUUCUAACUAGGGGUAGUUGUUUUAUGUCUAAAGACUGUUUACUAUUGGAGCGUUUGUCUCAGCAUAUAGAAGGAGCGGUGGUGCCCCGCCCUAACUAUUAUUAAGGUGCUACCCCUAACUAUUAUCAAGGUUCUAGUUGAUCACCCCUAUUUUCUAACAUUGCAAUUCAGAACAAGCCAUCAUUGAAACUAUCAUUGCAUAAUCAAUCUCGAAACUUGAGAGAUCACUUUAUUACAAUUUGUCCUUCCAAUAGAUGUUCAAUCAACCAAAUAAUUAGCUAUAAGAAUUUUCAUAUACCCAGAAAAAGAACACCCUUUUUGGUCCGGUUAAAUAGUUUAAAUUGCUUGUUUUCAUUUUGUAGUGUGUAAAAUGGUGGUUGUUUGCAAUUCAGGUGUUGCUUUCUAUUUGUUCUCUAUUGAUGGACUCGAACCCUAAUGAUCCCCUGGUGCCAGAGAUUGCUCACAUCUACAAGACGAUUGAAGCAAGCAUGAGACAACUGCAAGGAGCUGGACCCAAAAGUAGGCCAUGGGUCAAGUUUUGCAUUUUUAUGUGUGGGAGCAGGCCCUUUCUCUCUCUCUCUCUCUCUCUCUCUCUCUCUCUCUCUCUUCAAUCCUAAAAUGGACAAAAAAGAAAAGUCCAAAACAUGCUCUCAAUUGAAAAGAUGAAAUAUCUCUCUAUCUCUCCCUAUCUCUCUCUUCAAUCCUAAAAUGGACAAGAAAGAAAGGUUCAAAACAUGCCGGCCCUCAAUUGAAAAGAAAAAAAAAACAAAGACUCAAUUUUUGUAUUGUUUGAAUGCAAUCACACUCGUGGAUUUUCUAAUGUUUCGAUUCGAUCUAUUCUAACCGAGCACUUACCGGGCUUGCGAUAAUUAAAGAGAAGACAAAUUUUCCAUUAUAAAAGUUUAGGAGUGAAAGUGUGGACAAUUACCCAAGGUGUGCAUGGUUUGAUUAGUUCAAUUUUAAGUAUAAAAUCAAAUCAAAUUAGUCUCACUACUACAAAAAUAGUUUAUGGUGUCACUAUUUACGGUGUCACUUUUAAAAUAAUGACACCAUAGGGUUUAUAAUUAAUAAAGGUGACACAUCAUAUAAAAAAUCUUCAAUUGAGGUAGUUAGAUGAUAUUAAUUUUAUAUUUAUAGUGUCAUUUUUUGGGAAGUGACAUCAUAUAAAAUAAUUUUUUUUAAGUAUUAUAACUUAAUGAGCCCACUUUUAGAAUUAAUAAUGAUGGAUACUAUAUAAAAAUCCCAUUAUUUCCAUAUCUCACCCACAAUCCAAAAAAUCUCAAUAUAUAAAUCCUAUAUAUAAAAUCAUGAUCUUCUUCAACCUUUUCUCUCACCCAUCCAUAGUCAACACGCUCAAAACCGACAUUCUUCACUUUGUGGACUCUCAAGUAACCCAAAAUCUCUUGGAUCUAUCAUUUUUUUUCUUUUAUUAAUGCCAUUAUAUUAAUUGUUUCAACAUCUUUGUAUUAUGGUUUUUGUGAAUUGUGUUUUCUUGAGUUGUAGGGAAGAAAAAUUUAGGUUUAAUCUUCUAGUAUGGAAGAAAAAACUAUAGAUUAAUUGAUUUUUUUUAAUCUAAACCAAACACGUGAUCAAGUCCUUAAAAAAAAAGUGAAAAACAGGAAAAAAGUGAAUGAUUUUUAAUAUGUAUUUGUGUGAGUGUGACAGGUACAAUUUUUUUUUAAGAUAUACUAUCACAUAAUCUUCAUCCUUUCUAAAAAACGAGAGAGGAAAAAAAAAAGAAUGAUUUUUCUGUUUGUAUCUAAGUGGGAAUGAGAUAUAGAAUUUCAUUGAGAGUAUCCAACCCCAAAAUGACCAAUCCGGGAAGGCAUGUGUGGUAUUGAUGGGAGAUGAUAAGAUGGAAAUCAUAACCAUAGCCAUGUUCUCUCUGUGUCUUUCUAUCAUCUUCAAUUAAUUCAUGGGCAUAGAUAUUUUAUUUAGUUUAUUUAUAGCUUAUUUAGUUUCUAAAAUCCAAUUAGUUAGAUAUUUUAUUUGAUUUUGUUUUUAUAUUUAAGUAUUUGAGUUUUGGAAAGUUUUUAUAUUUUGUUAAUAGAAAUAGAAAUUUUUAUAUUUUUUAUUAUUAGGAAUUUCUAUUUUGUUAAAUUGUAAGUAUCUAUCUCAAUAAGAGAUUAUUAAUAUUCAAAUGAAAGUGAUGAAAGAGAGUAAAUAUUUUAAUGCUCAAUUAUAUUUUAAUGUUAUUUUUUUUUUUACAUAAGGGUUUAUUUAUGUUUUCAAUUUUGAAGUUCCCUUUCCAAGUCCAGCAACAAAAGUAGUGUCCAACCUUAAAAUGGGCAUGUGUGGUAUUGAUGGGAGAUGAUAAGAUAGAAAUCAUAAUCAUAGUCAUGUUCUCUCUGUGUCUUUCUAUCAUCUUCAAUUAAUUCAUGGGCAUAGAUAUUUUAUUUAGUUUUUAUAUUUAGUUUAUUUAUAGUUUAUUUAGUUUCUAAAAUCCAAUUAGCUAGAUAUUUUAUUUGAUUUUAUUUUUAUAUUUAAGUAGUUGAGUUUUGGAAAGUUUUUAUAUUUUGUUAAUAGAAAUAGAAAUUUUAUAUUUUUUAUUAUUAGGAAUUUCUAUUUUUUAAAAUUGUAAGUAUCUAUCUCAAUAAGAGAUUAUUAAUAUUCAAAUGAAAGUGAUGAAAGAGAGUAAAUAUUUUAAUGCUCAAUUAUAUUUUAAUGUUAUUUUUUUUUACAUAAGGGUUUAUUUAUGUUUUCAAUUUUGAAGUUCCCUUUCCAAGUCCAACAACAAAAGUAGUGUCCAACCUUAAAAUGGGCAUGUGUGGUAUUGACAGGAAAUGAUAAGAUGGAAAUCAUAACCAUAGCCAUGUUCUCUCUGUGUCUUUCUAUCCUCUUCAAUUAAUUCAUGGGCAUAGAUAUUUUAUUUAGUUUUUAUAUUUAGUUUAUUUAGUUUCUAAAAUCCAAUUAGCUAGAUAUUUUAUUUGAUUUUGUUUUUAUAUUUAAGUAGUUGAGUUUUGGAAAGUUUUUAUAUUUUGUUAAUAGAAAUAGAUAUGAGGACUUAAAGGGUUUAUAUUUAGGUAGUGCUUGAGCCAAGGAAAAUGAUAGUCCACUAUCUUGACCCUAUGCAUCACAAACUAUGUGAGGACUUAAAGGAUAUCGUAAACAUGUAAGUUCUUCUUAUUAAUUUUCAUAGUAUUAUUUUUAAAUAAAAAAAAUACAUUCACCUCAAACACAUUUGUUUUAUUAUUUAUAUAUAUUAAAACAUAUAACAUUUACCUAUUUUAAAAAUGUACCCAUUGAACUUAUUUACAUAGGGCUCUUCGAAUAUCUGCAAAGAAAACAUCUAAGAGGGAGCCAUCUUAGCAACUAGUGCAGAUGACAUCCAAAAAUUUUUCUUUACACAUUAGCUUAUGCAUUUGCACCAUUUAUAUAUGUAAGUACUAAUGUUAUUUUAUAAUUGAUCGAUUAGUGUCCAAGACAAGAAGGAGGGUUCGAAUGUGGCUACUUUGUUAUGAGAUUCAUUAAAGAGAUAAUUUUUUAUCCUACAAUUAUUGCUUCAAAGGUAUUACUUAUUUAAUGAAUUGUACAUAGUUUUAGGCUUCCAAAUGUUAUGCAUUUUAAUGUUAUUUUCUUAUUUGAUUUCAGUUUGGUAAUAAAAAAAACAUAUUCUCAAGUAGAAUUCGAUGAAAUUAGAGGAGAAUGGGCUACUUUUGUGCUACAACUAAUCAUGAAUCAUGUUGAUGCAUCAUGAUCACCAUGCAUGGUGAGUCCCUUAGCUACUACAUGAAUUUUUCCAUAGGUAUUGUAUAGUAAUGCUUAUUCUUUGAAUAAUGUUUCUAUUUGAAAAAAAAAAUUAAUUCUUAGAUUUGUUCAUUUAUGAUAACAUAGAUCCAUGUUUAUUUUCUUCAAUAAAAAUCUCUAAAACUUAUUAAAUUUUGAAAUGCAGGUAUACACUCUUGGGAUGGUGAAAUGGAGAAUAAAAAGAAAGAAGAAGGCAACAAGAUUUUGGGUUUUUAAAUGCAACUCUUAUGUCAUACGUUGUAGGACAUAAACGUUACUUUAAUUGCAACUGAGAAAUUUAGAUUUUUAGAUGGGACUUCUAUGUCAUUUUAUGGUUAGCCGGUUUUAUGCUUAUGAAAUGGAGGUAUACAUGAAUCUUGGGAUCUUUAACAUUUCUAAAUCAUGUUUUGGUAUGUAUUCACUCUUCUUUUUUAGUUUUGAUGGGUUUGAUAUGUUGGACGUACUAACCUUUUGUGAACAUUUGAUAUACAAAUAUUAUUAGAUGAUCAAUGUAUUAUGAGUUAUUCCAGAAACAUUAUAGAAAAAUGAGUUAAAUAUAAUAUGAUUGUUAUAUUUAUGGACAAAAUAUAAACAGGUUAAUCUUAUUAAUUCAUAAGCAUUACAAAAAUCAACAACUAAAACCAAUCAUAUAUUCCACAAUAAUUUACAAUGAUGUGAUACCAUAACUCAAAGGUGAUGCAUUUAAUGUGACAUCAUAACUCAAAGAUGAUGUAUUUAAUGUGACACCCUAUCAUCACUAGAAAUAUAUGGUGUCACUUCUGAAUGGGUCACCAUUUAUCUACUUUGGUGUUACUUCCAAAUACGUCACCAAUUGGUACCCUCUAUGGUGUCAGUGGAGAAGGUGACGCUAUGUUGUAGUGACACCUUAUGUUUAUGGUGACUCGUUAUAAAUGUCACCAUAUACCUUUUUCCUUGUAGUGUCUUAUGUGCUUUUACGUAUGAAGAAUUGAACUAAUUAGUUUGGUUUGGUGGAACUAGAUUUGGUUUAAUAACAAAACCAAGAUGUACAUUCUCUAUUAUAGCCCAAUGUUGAAAUUAAGAGGAUGAUCGAGUAUUGAGAAAUGUAAAUAUUAAAGUAAACAACUUGAACCUUAUUUAUUUUUCAUUUCAACCUAGUUUGAGGCUUUGUCUGAUUUGUAUAUAAAUUUUAGUUUAGUUGAUUUAUUACUAGUUAAUGAAUUGUUGAUCGAAAUGCAUUGAUUCCGUUUUAUAUUUUGAAAAUUGAAAUUGUUAAAAAAAAAAAGAAUUAAACUCUAUCCAUUUAGAAUGGUUUGAUUAUUUUCAUUGAAUGAAUUGACCAUCUGUUGUUUAGUGAAUUAGGUGUUUUUUUUUGUAAGAGAAGAAAAUAGAGAGAGAAAAUAAAGAAAAAUAAAAAUAGUGUAAACAUCAAAAUUUUUAGUGAAUUAAAUUAUCAUUAAAUUGAUCUUUAAAAUUGUUACUUCCCAGUUCAACAAAAUUUGUGUUUGAUGAGUGAUGGAUCACACAUACAUUUGACCUAUGACAUAUAUUAAAAAGGUGACGCGUGACAAAAUUUGGAAUGUUACAAAAUUUGGUCUUACAAUUAAAUUAUCACUAAAUUGAUCUUUAAAAUUGUGGCUUCCCGAUUCAAUAAAAUUUGUGUUCGACAAGUGAUGGAUCACACAUACAUUUGACAUAUGACAUAUAUUGAAAAUGCGACACGUGAAAAAAUUUGGAAUGUUAGAAAAUUUAAUCUUACAAAUAAAAUCAAAUUUUCCAAUUAAAGCUAAAAGAUAAUUAAAAAUAAAUAUUCUCUUAUUAGCAAAUUUAUUUAAUGAAAAAAGACAAGUCGUUAAAAUUAAGAAAACAAAUUCUUUGAAUUAAACAACUAAAUAUUGAAGAAUUAUAAAAUUUAAUUCCCUAAUUUCACCUAAAAAUAAGGUUAACUUCCUUUAACCAGGGGAUUGACAAAACAAUUCCAUAGGUAAAAAGGUUUCACAAAGAAGAAAAGAUUUUACACUUCAAAUAUUUAUUUAUUUGUUUAAAUAAAUAAAAUUGUAUAAUGGACUCUUUAAUUCAAAUAUAGUAAUUACCAAAUCUUUAAAGUUUUGGUCAUUGAGAAAAAAAAAAAAAUCCUUCUCUUGUCCACAUGUCAUGGACAAUUUGUUUAAACGAGGAAUCCAUAUGUCACCAAUUAAGCUCUAAGGUCACUCUCCCAAGGGAAAGGUUCCAAGAAAAGAAAAUGACAAAAAAUUCAAAUGGUGGUUUAAUAUAUAAUAUAUAAUAUAUUAUUACUAUUAUUAUUAUUAUUAUUAUUAUCAUUAUUUUAUUUUAAUCUAAGAGGUACUUCAGGCAACUGUAUUAGGCCAAUUUCUUCUUUUGUUAUAUCAUUUAUUUAUAAUAAGAUAGAUAUUUUAAAUAAAUAUACAUUCAUGCAUAAGAUAAUAAAUAUGAAAAUAAUAUAGGUAGAAAAAUACACUAAGAUAAUAAACAACCAUUGGAAGUAAAAUUAUAUUUUGCUUAUAUAUGAUAUAUCUUUUUAAUAAUAAAUAUUAUAAUAUAAUUAUUUAAUAUAAUUAGAAAUAUUAAUAUAUUUAUGUUUUAUUUUUAUUAUGAUUUAAUAUGGUAAAGAUAGAAAGGCAUUUUGAUUAUUUGUAUUUCUUAAUUUUAUGAUGAUUAAAUUAUAAUAUUAUAAUUUUUUUUUCUACUUUCGUGAAAUCAAAUAUAACAAAAGUACUCUUAGACAUUUCAAAGCUAUGAUUAUUGAUUUAAAACAAAAUAACAAACACUAAUAGUUUGUCAAAAUUCGUUAAUCUAUUUUUUAUUUGCAGCAUGAAGAUCCGAAAAAUUCUUACAUUUUAUUUUCAAACUUUUGAUUCCUCUUUAUAAAUGUGGAUAAGGUUUGAGAAGUAAUGAAAAGAAUUAUUAAAAUUUAUUAAUCUUGAAAAGAAGUAAAGAAAAUGGGAAAUUAAUAAAAGAUUUUAUUAAAAUUUGGUGAGGUUAACCUUUUUUAGUUCCUUUAUUUUAUUUUUUUUACUCUAGUUUUCUUCAAUGUUAUCUUUCCUAGUAAUAUAAAUGAAGAUUUGGAAGGUACACAUGCCGUGAUAUGACCCACAAAUGAUUGGUUAUAGAAUAGUAGAAAGAAUUCACAUACAUUUUUUUUCUCAAAGUUAAUAUAUUUUUACUAGUUGUUAUAUAUCUAUUCUGUUGAUGCCUUCAUGAACUACUUCACAAGCCUAUUUGUCAAACUUGCAACACAAGAUGAUUGGGUAGUCAUCCGGCACAUCUCCUAUGGUCAAGUCAGUGAAUAACAAGAAAAGGAAGUGCUAAGAGUAGAUGCAAAAAUGAAUAUGGGAAUAUGAGUGAGAGAAUAUGAUAAAUGAAGCUUAUUCUUUUUGCUAGAGGCUAGUCAGACCUUUAUAGUUUAUUACCCAAUUAUGUUAGGCUAACCAUAAUGAGGUAAGUGGUCACCACGUUAAAAGAUUGGAAAAUAUUAAGGUAUUAAAGUGGUACCUAUUGACUUUCUAUCUUGAUUGUUGACUUUGAUAAAAUUAAUUUAGACUCUUAGCUAAAGAUACAAAUAAAUAAGAUCAAGUAUAAAAGUAUGAUUAAAUAAGACAUGAGAUCUAAAGGUACUAACUGAGUGCUCACCAUGACAUUGAUUGGUAAUGUUUUUUUAACAUCUGCUAAAAAAAGGUUCCUUCCGGUGUUAUGGUAAGAUCCUAAGAGAUUUGGCUCUCAGAGUCCUAAAACUCUAUGGUAUGUCUAGUGAAUUGUUCCUUUUUUUUUAGGCAUCGAAAAGAAUUGUUUCUCCAACUACAUUACUACCAUCACUAACUUCCUCACCACUACGAGGCCUAGAUCAACGACUAGCUCCUAUUCUCUCUUUUCUUCUUCGAAAUACUCGUGUAUUUCAAAUUUGGAGCCGAAAUCUGGUCAAAGAGAAACAAUAACCUGAAAUUCAACCUAGUUGCCCAGCCAUUCAUGAGAGGUCUCUAAAGAUUGUUGUCUUUUUCGCUUCACAAUGAAGAAAUGCAUAGUUGGGGAUCAAAUCACCGGCUAUCUGGUUCAGCUUCCAGAUCUCAAGUUUCGGUUCUCAUGCUAGCCAUGUUCUCCACCAUUGCAUCGAUUUAUGUCAUCGGCCGAUGAGUUCUCGCACUGUUUCGUAUUAUGAAUUGAUUUUCGUUUCUUAGCUAUAAUAGUGCCCAUGGUGUGGUUAAUUUCGUUAAUUUAGGUUUUUGAUUAUAAUUGGUCUAUUUUUUUCAAAAAAAAAAAAAUGUUUUUAUGGAAAUCUGUUAUUGGUAGGUUAUAGCUGGAUUUUGAGAAUAGGGUUGAUUUGAUUAAAGAGCUUGAUGGGAAAACUGGUCACAUGCUUUUUUAUCUUUAAUUUUGUGCAUUACCAUUUGUUAUUCAAUUGUAGCUUCAAAUUUUCUUCCCCACAGUUUGUUAAUGCAUUUAUUGGGACUAUUUUGUUAUCGAGUUUAAAUUAUAGAAUUAUAAUGAUACAAAGGGGGUCUUGACAUUGUAUGGAACCAAAAUCAGUCCAUCAUGGUUUAGAUUAAUUAUAUGUUCUACAGCAUUACAUUGCAAUGCCAAAUAAACCGGUGAUUUGCAUGAGCUCAUGCCUUUUUCUUUCUUUCUUUCUGUUUUUUACUCUUUUUUUCUUUUAUUGAAACAAUUGGAGUUUGAUACCAACCGAUUUUCAUAUUUUGAAAUUAAUCAUUCAGAGUAAUGGACUAGAUAAUGGUGUAGACCCCAUUUGAGGCUCAUUUUCAUGCAGCCCAUGUUUUGCCACGGGCUAGGAUUGGAGACAGCCACGUGUCGACUCCUGAGAGGUCAUAAGAGAAUCACGUUAGUGGAUUGAGCAGCAGUAAGGAAGUGACACGUGUUUGAGAAUAUUCUAGGGGAAGGAGGCCGUUAAGCAAGGAGAGGUGAUUUUUGUUUUUUAGAGAGAGAUCCUUUAGCUGCCGAGGGGGAGAAGUCUUUCUUGGAGGGGAAGUUUUUCCGGAGGGAGGGCGAGAGAUUUUUCUGGCGAGAGGGAGCAAGGGGAUUUUGUUGAAGGGUUUUGGGGAUUUUUCGGGGGGGGGGGGGGGGGGGGGUGGGUGGGGAGAGGUUACUUUGAGAUGGGAGACGGAGAAGGUCAUUAGAGAGGAACGUUUGAGGUGGGAUAUUCGAUGAGGAGUUGCAGAGAGAUAGAGAAGUGUGGAAGUAUUUCUGGGCUUUUCUCUGGAGGGGUCAAGAGGAGAUUAUUAGAGAGAGUGAGGCUGUUGAAGUUUUGGCUACUGAGAAGGAGAACCAGAGAAGGAAAAGAUUGCUUUAGUAGCAGUCUUUUGAGAGGGAUUUUGAGUGGAGCACUUACCAGAGAUGGAGCAGUGAGCUGCAGCCCAAGACACCUAGUUGAGGAAGAGACUUUCAGGUAUGGUUAUUAUGGUUUUCCCGUGUAUUUUCAUUCUUCAUAUCUCUCAUGUCUCAUUCUCUGUGAUUUCUACUCUGCUUGUUAGGUUGCUUUGGUUUGGUGAUUAUUGGUUUAAUAUUUGAAGAGCUUGCUAUAUUUUAUACUCUAUUCUGGCAAACAUUUUUCAUUUCAAUCCACUGAUUGUUGGACCCAUGGAUAAAAUGAGGAAAUGGGUUCAGCAUGUUUGUUGAAGGUUCCGUGUUCUUUUCCUGUUGUUAUUCUCUUGUUCCCUUGUUUUUCCCCUGAAUGUAUACUCAAGGCCUCAAGAUUGGGAGAAAGUGGGUUGAAGCUGAACUUGGCAGUCUAUAGUGUGGUGGUUAAUGGGUCUAAGUUCUCGCACUGAUUCAUCCUGGAUGUAUGGUAUUUCUAUAAGAGAUGCUAAAACAGAAGAUCUUGAUGAAAUAAAUAAUGGUGUAUGCAAUUCCUGAUAAGAAAAAUCAAUAUGGUUGCUGAGAAUGAUGACUGUUUCAAUAAGUCACCUACAACUGAGAUCCUGAUAACUGGACUGGACAAAUGGAGGUUCAUAAAGCCCAUUCAAAGAAAGCCCCUUGAUCGAUUUGAGAGAAAAGAAGCUGCAGAAGACUAAUUCUGGACCAUUUAUCCUGGUUCUCUCCACUACAGGCCUGAUUACAUCUGGUCUCAUUCCUUCAGGCCCAUUAAAUUCAUCAGAGGUUUCUGGUGCAUCAGGUCCUAUUGGAUCUCUGAAAUCACAUGUUGCCUCAAUUGCAUGCAAAACCGGCUGUGAUUAACUUGGGUCAAGAAGCAUGCAUUUGGGGUAUUUGUUGAGGAAGAACCGCUGUCACUGGUUUCAUUGUCCAUUAUCCAAAUGUUGAGCUUGAAAUUGUUAAGGGUGGCCAAUUCGUUGAGGUUUCUGGGUGUAGAGGAUUCCAGUAAAUCAGUUCUUGAUUUACGGCAUCCUCCUUGAUUGUAGGAGAUACGGUUUCCAUUGAUUUCCUAUACGGUUUCCAUUUGUAAUUAUCUUUUCUAAUUUAUCUCUGUAUUCAAACUCUACUCUGUCUUGUAUACGUAUAUAUAAAUGGAAAAACUCAACCCCAUAGAAGUGUGGUGGUUUUACAAACAUUGUUAUGGUAUCAGAGCGUCUUUGGAUUAACCUCCUCAUCCUUCCAUGGCCGAUUCUUCCUUCUCCUUCAACACCAUGAUCCAAAUGGUCACUAUUAAACUCUCCUCCACAAAUUAUCUUCUCUGGUGAAAUCAACUUCUCCCUCUUCUUCAAUGUCAGAAUCUCCUUAGCCAUGUCGAUGGUUCUGUUGUGGUGCCUCCAAUCACUAUCGUCGUUGAUUCUUCUUCUUCUCAACCGAAUCCUCAAUAUGUGGCAUGGCAACUUCGAGACCAACGUCUUUUCAGUCUCCUCUUCUCCUCCUUGACUGAAGAAGCCAUGGCCGAAGUUCUUAGUCUCACCACCGCUCGUGAUGUCUAGCUUGCCUUGGAAAAUUCCUUUAGCCAUAUUUCCAAGACUCGUGAGCUUUGCAUCAAAGAUGAUUUGCAACUCAUCAAGCGUGGCACCCGAAGUGCCAUUGAAUAUUCUCGUUCAUUCAAGGCUCUAUGCGAUCAACUCACUGCAAUGGGCUGCUUGGUGGAUGAUACCGACAAAGUCUACUGGUAUCUCAGAGGAUUGGGUGCUAAUUUUGCUAAUUUUUCUACUGCCCAGAUGUCUCUCACCCCAUUACCGGUUUUCAAAGACUUGGUUCCCAAAGCUGAAAGCUUUGAGAUUUUCCAGAAGUCAAUCGAGUCCUCUUUCCCUGUUUCCUCUGCUGCUUUUACUGCCACCAAUGGGUCUUUUUCUUCAUCUCGGGGUGGUAGUUCCUCCAAGUCUCGUUGUUCUCGUGACGGCUACCAUGGAGGCCAUGGCCCUGGACGUGGUAAAUGUGGCUCCUAUACUUCUCGGUGUCAAAUCUACAAGACUGAAGGUCACACUACUGAUCAAUGCAGGAGUUGUUACGAUCGUGCCGAACCUACGACAUAGCUUGCUAAAGGUUUUACCACAGCCUGUUCUCUCUCUAAUGGCUCGGAAUAUGAUUGGUUCACCGAUACCAGAGCAUCCGCUCACAUGACCCUUGAUCCUUCUCAGUUGGACAAGGUUGAGCCUUAUCAUGGUAAGGAUUACGUAAUGGUAGGAAAUGGUGCUUCUCUUCCUAUUACACACAUUGGCACGCUCUCUCCCUCUUCCAAUUUUCAACUUUUAGAUGUUCUUGUUGUUCCACGUCUUACCAAAAACUUAUUGUCCAUAAGCAAACUCACGUCUGAUUUUCCUCUCUUUGUCACCUUUUCUCAUGAUAAUUUUGUUGUACAGAAUCGAGUAACAGGAAACGACAGUGGCAAAAGGUAAACGAGAAGGUGGUCUGUAUGUGCUGGAACGUGGUCACUCUGCAUUUGUUUCUGUCCUUAGAAAUAAGAAUUUACAUGCUUCCUUUGAAUUAUGGCAUGCUCGCCUUGGUCAUGUAAAUCACUCUAUUUUAUCUCUUUUGAAUAAAAAAUGACAAUUAUUUCCCACUUCUUUAUUGCCUACUCCCUCUCUUUGCUCUACUUGUCAACUCGCUAAGAGCCAUUGCUUGCCUUUUUCCCCGAAUACUACUUGAUCUAAUGUUGUUUUAGGUCUCGUCCAUUGCGAUAUUUGGGGUCCCGCUCCCGUCAAAUCUAAUUUGGAAUUUAACUAUUAUGUGUUAUUUAUUGAUGAUUACUCUCGAUUUACUUGGCUUUAUCCACUAAAAUUAAAAUAUGAUUUCUUUGAUAUUUUCCUCCAAUUUCAAAAAUUGGUUGAAAAUCAAUACUCCACCAAAAUCAAGAUUUUUCAAAGCGAUGACGGUGUCGAAUUUACAAGCAACCGUUUUCAAUCUCAUCUUCAACAAUUUGGCAUCCACCACCAAAUGUCUUGCCCAUACACUCAUUUCCAAAAUGGUAGAGCUGAGCGCAAAUAUCGUCAUGCGACGGAAAUUGGCCUUGGUCUCCUCUUUCAUUCCCACGUUCCUUUUGGAUAUUAGGUUGACGCUUUCAGCACAGUGACCUACAUUAUCAAUCGGCUGCCUCUGCCUGUUCUUGAUGGUCUUUCACCUUUUGAAGUUUUAUUUGGUAAGUCUCCUAAUUAUGAGAAUUUCCAUCAUUUUGGCUAUCGUGUUUACCCAUGCUUACAGGAUUAUGCACCUCACAAAUUUUCUCCCCGUAGCUUACCGUGUAUUUUUCUUGGUUAUAGUUCCACACAUAAAGGCUUUCGUUGUUUUGACACCACCACUUCACGCACAUAUAUUACACGGCAUGCUCGCUUUGAUGAACAUUUUUUCCCUUUUUCAAAUACUUCCAAUGCCACUUCUAUUGUUGACAUUGGUCUCUCAAAUUUUUUUGAACCCUGCGCCCUUGAACCAUCUCCUAGCACAUCAUCUCCUACUACUAUGCAGGUCCCUCCUUCUCCUCCUUGCCAUUUUUGUGCAGAUGACUCUAUUGUUGAGCCCUUGUAGGUUUCCUCUUUUGCUACAAAGUCCACAUCUUCUUUAGCUGUGGUCUCGCCCAUACCUGUCUCUGCUACGACCUUGGUUCCUUCUGUAGCUCCCAUGGACCUGAUUCAUACCACUACUUUAGUAGCUCAUUCUACCUCUCAUCCCAUGAUUACAAGUGCCAAAUUCGAAAUUUUCAACCCACGCCACCCCACUCAUCUCAGCUUUGUGCAGUCUUCUCCAUUGAUCCAUGCCCUACUUGCCACCUCUGAGCCUAAAGGAUUUAAAUCAGCUGCCAAAAACCCAGCUUGGAUUGCUGCCAUGGACGACGAGAUCAAGGCGCUUUAAACAAAUCAUACUUGGGAUCUUGUUCCUCGGCCCUCCAAUACUAAUAUUGUCGGUUUCAAAUGGGUUUUUCGAACUAAAUUUAUUUUCGAUGGAUCCAUUGAGCGCUUCAAAGUGCGUUGCAAAGGGCUACACUCAACUUCCUUGUCUUGAUUACAUGACCACCUUCAUCCCUGUCGUCAAAGCCUCCACAGUUCGUGUUGUCCUCUCUCUUGUCGUGUCUCACAAAUGGCCCCUACAUCAACUUGACGUAAAAAAAAUGCCUUUCUCAAUGGCAUUCUUCAUGAAACUGUUUAUAUGGAGCAGCCCCUGGGCUAUGUUGAUCAUCACCAUCCCCUUCAUGUUUGCAAAUUAAAGAAGGCUCUCUACGGCUUGAAACAAGCACCUCAUGCUUGGUUUCAACAUUUUAGUUCAUUUCUUCUAAAACUUGGUUUUUUUUUGCAGCCGCACGAACACUUCUUUAUUUGUGUUCACUAAGAACGAUGAUCUUAUUUAUCUCUUUCUUUACGUUGACGACAUCAUACUCACCGGAAAUAACUCUACUCUCAUCAAUCGAUUUAUCUCCUAGCUGCACUCUGAAUUUGUUGUCAAGGACUUAGGCCCACUGAAUUAUUCUCUUGGACUCGAGGUAUCUUACAUUCCAUACGGUUUUUUCCUCAGCCAAGUUAAAUAUGCUACUAAUAUCUUGGCCCGUGCCCCACUGCUGGACAGUAAACCAGUUACUACUCUCUCAUGAUUGUCUCUCAACGGCUCUCCUCUUAAGGUACUCUAUUUGCGAAUCCGACCCUUUAUCGCUCCUUAGUGGGUGCCUUGCAGUAUUUAACAAUCAUGCGUCUUGAUCUUGCUCACUCAGUCAACUCUGUAAGUCAGUUUCUCCACGCGCCUACUGAAGUUCACUUUCAGGCAGUCAAGUGAAUCCUUCGCUAUGUUCAAGGAACACUUCAUUUUGGUCUCAAGUUUGCUUCAUGCUCUUCAAUAGGCUUAGUUGCAUACUCAGAUGCAGAUUGGGUUGGUUGCCUGGACACUAGACGCUCCACCUCUAGCUACUCAAUUUUUCUUGGCAAUAAUCUUGUCUCUUGGAGUGCCAAGAAAUAGCCGACGAUUUCUCGUUCAAGCUGCGAAUUCGAGUACCGCGCUCUUGCCCUUACUGCUGCUGAAGUUUUAUGGCUCACUCAUCUCCUACGUGACCUUUGGGUUACUUUAACUCAUCAGCUUUUCCUUUUUUGUGACAAGAAGAGUGCAAUUUUCUUGAGCUCCAAUCAUGUGUCCCAUAAGCGCGCCAAGCACAUCGACCUUGAUUACCAUUUCCUCAGUGAGCUCAUUGUUGCUGGCACCCUUCGUCUUCAACACAUUCCGUCUCACUUAUAACUGGCGGACGUCUUCACCAAGAGUGUCUCACGGGAUCUUUAUGUCUUCUUUCGCUCCAAGCUCCAAGUUUGCGUUAAUCCCACUCUUAGCUUGAGGGGGGCUAUAGAGGAUUCCAAUAAAUCGGUUCUUGAUUUACAACAUUCUCCUUGAUCGUAGGAGAUACGGUUUCCAUUGAUUUGUUAUACGGUUUCCAUUUGUAAUUAUCUUUUCUAAUUUAUCUCUAUAUUCAAACUUUACUCUGUCUUGUAUACAUAUGUAUAAAUGGAAAACUCAACCCCAUAGAAGUGUGGUGGUUUUACAAACAUUGUUACUGGGGUGGUUAUCUGUGACAAUAUCCCUCUGGAAUCAUUUUGAUACUCACUGUUAGCUGCUGAUUCAAUCAACACAUCCAUCCCCAUCCAUGGUUUCAUCUUUCCUAUGCUCAUUUCCCACCAACCCCCCACUACCCAUUCCACUAACUCCAUGCUUAUAUCCUUCGUACCCAUUUGUCAACAGCCCGUACUCAUCCUUUCUAACCUUCAUACGCACCAAUGUCCAUCACCUCCAUACCCACAUCUUCGUAUUCCAAUACUCCGUAAUCCACUCCUAUCACCCCUCCAAUACCCAUCAAUCCAUUUCUCUCACUAUUCUUGACUCAACCCAACACUAAUCCACACGUGCGAGGCUACCUUCAUUUCAUCACCUCUCAUAUUCAUCCCCAUCAUGCGUGCACUUAUGGUCGUCUACCAUACCCCCCAUGCAUUUCCAUUUUCCAAAAACCCACCUGAGAGACAAGCUCCAUGUGCAUGGUGCAUUCUUUCCCACAAAAUCUCGAUCAUUACUUAAUAUGGGCUCCAUUCGAGUUUGAGGACGUGCUUGAGAAAACGCUAACAGAAGCGAAUGCACUCCGUCCAGUCCAAAGCACUGUGCAUCAUGCUCUUAUCAUUUGCUACAGCAAUAUACCCUGCACACCAAACUGGUACUCUUACACUCAUCAAGCCUGAGCCAAAUGCUCCAUCAUAGACCACUCAGAAAUGCAUUGCCAGUCCGAGAAUAAAUUGCCUGGACUGAUUUUGAAGAAUAAAUAGUUUUCCUACGCCGCGCUGUUAUUCGGGUUUUUAUUUGGCCCAGAGUAUUGGCACCAUCAAUGCGACCAAUGUCAUGGAGACAUUGGUGAAUUCGAGAGCAUUGACGUUCCGGUAGAUAGCGUUCACAGCGACGACGCUAGAGUUUUCAAGGGCGUUGCCGUUGGGAACCCAUGUAACCAUAUAUCUCACUCGGACUGUACUGUUCUUUUGUUGGUUCAGUACAAUUCAUGCCUUGUUUGUCAUCAGGAGUUGCCUCCAUAAGUUUCUGGUAGUGUUCGUGCUCAACAAAGUUCAAAUGGUGGGUCAGCAGCCACUGAUCUACAGUUUUAUAGUUCGCGACACGGAGAUUCUUGCAAGCACACCGGAAUUUGCAUGGUCCAGCUGCUGGUGCAACACUUGUAGGCUGUAUGUAUAUAAACAAGCUUGCUCUCAUUAGGGCAACUGGCACAAGGGACAAUGUUGUUGUGUUGGGUCAUGCACAUUUGCACAUGAGAGCCUAUAUGAUGAUUUUAUAAAAUAAAAAAAAAUAAAAAAGUUCUUCAGAACCCUGUCCUCCUUGUUUCCAGUUGAUUUUGAUCCAAGAUAAGUAGCUAUGUCGCUGCUCUACAUACCAGGAGGACCAACCUCUCCCAAGAAUGAGGCCCUUCCAUCACCUCCAAGAAGGAGGUUCAUGCCGAAAAUGGAAGCUCUGAUGCCAAAGCCUCAUCUCCUACCUGUUUGGUUUAUGGUGUGAGAACGGUGAAUAAACUGAGAUUGUCCAAAGCCCUCAUGAUUCCUGAAGGAAUCACCGUGUCUGAUGCAUGCCGAAUGAUGUCAGCUCGGAAAGUGGAUGUUGUUUUGUUGACAGAUUCAAAUGCGAUUCUCUCUGGAAUUGUUAUAGACAAGGAUAUCGCCACUAGAGUUAUAGUGGAAGAACUGAGGCCAGAACAGACGGCAGUUUCAAAGAUUAUGACAAGGCAUCCAAUUUUGGUCAACUCAGAUUCGUUGGCUAUUGAGGCUCUUGAAAAAAUGGUGCAAGGCAAGUUUAGGCACCUUCCUAUAGCAGAAAAUGGUGAAGUUAUUGCUUUAUUGGAUUUUACAAAGUGCCUUUAUGAUGCUAUAUCCCGAAUGGAGAAGGUUGCGGAGCAUGGUAGUGCAAUCGUGGCUACUGUUGAAGGGGCAGAACGCCAAUGGGAAAGCAAUUUCUCUGCUCCGUAUAGUUUUAUCGAAAUGCUCAGGGAGUGGAUGUUCAAGCUUGCUUUGUCAACUAUCAUUUCGGAAAAUACCAAGGUGGCAAUAGUAUCACCCUCAGAUCCUAUCUCUGUUGCUGCUACAAAGAUGCGAGAAUAUCGGGUUAAUUCAGUUAUCAGCAUGACUGGAAUCCAGAUUCAGGGGAUAUUAACUUCAAAGGGUAUUCUUAUGCGGGUGUUUGGAUUGUGGACAUUGGGUAUUCGAUGCAAUGCAGGACAGAGAUGUGAUUUCUUGGACCCCUCUGAUUGUUGCAUAUGCGAGGUUGGAAGCAAGGAGGCUACUUUUAGAACAUUGGGAAUGCAACAAACUUCGCAUUUGCUGUUCUUGUACUAUCUGGCACAGUCGGCUGUAUGCAUGUGUUAAAAGAGGUGAGGAAGGCAAAAUCUGACCGUGGGACCCACCUUCUUUCUUUCAUGAAAUGCGUGGCCACCUUUAAUGGGCCACUCCUGAAACCCACGUGCUCCACUCCUCUAUUCUCAUGCAAACUUUCAAAAACGGAUUAAAAAAUAAAAAAUAAAAAAUAAAAUCUCGUUUUUACAUUAUUUUAAUUCUUCAUUCUUCUUUAUUGAUCUUAAAUAAACCCCAUUUUAACAAAUCAGCCCUUGCCAUUUUCAACCAGGCAUGCAUAUUUCAUUUUUGUUUAUUUAUUAUUAUUGUUACUAUUAUUUUCAGUUUCAUUUUUACUUUCAUUUUAUUUUAUUAUAUUAUCUUUUAUUAUUAUUAUUAUUAUUAUUUUUUAUUUUUCAUUGAUUUUAAAUAUUUUUCACUCCUUGACAAAUUUGGCUGCCACAUUUCUUUCUGGCAAACAUCUUUUAUAAAUCCUCCUUGAUUUUUAAUAAUUUUAUAAUUUUCACAUUUUUAAUAAGCAUGAAUUUAAUUUGAUAGUUUCAAGUGAUGGGAUUUACGGAAUUAAUUCAUACCAAAAUAAAUUGGGCUUUGGUGGGGGCCCAACAUUAAAGAAGUUUUAUUUAAAAUAAAAAUGAAUUUGAGUGAAGUGUCAGGUGUGUCAUUAGUGAUUUCGUAUUUGAUUUAGUGACAUGUGAAUCAUAUCUUAUGUUCAUUGUCGUGCACUAACCUCAUUUUUUUAAUAGCGCAUUAUGACUCGUUACCAAGGUAUGCACCCACUCUCACUCUAGCCAUUCUUAUGCGUGUUUUGAUUCUCAUAUGUGCAUGAUCGUUCUGAGUAUCCAUUGAUUUAAUUAUUAAUCAUCAUACUUGCUUUAUCUCAUUAGUAGAGACCCAUUUUUUUGGGACUUAAAGGGAUGUUACGGUCUUUAUCGUACCUUCCCAAUAAGUAACCUGAUCCUCGAUCCCGAUUUGGUUUUUUACAGAUCACCUGUUCCGAAAUAAAGAGUCACACUUAGGGUUUUCUUUCUUAUUUUGUUUACCCUUUAAAAAUAAAAUAAAAAUAAGUGACGACUUCAAGUCAUUUUCUUAAAAAUGAAAUAAUUUUUCAAAUAAAAAGCAAGCUCACCAUCGAGUGGAGAUGCAUGAGCCAAAAUGCGAGGUCCACAAAUGGGUUUUUCCAUUUUAAUAGUUUUCAGGUGCAAUGAGCCAAUGACACACUAUAAAUAAAUCAUAGUUAUCCUUCCUUUAUGUGGGGUUCUUUUUUUGGGGUUUUUGUUAUAAUAGAUAAAAUAUAAUCUAGAGGUCAUGGUGAUGGUUCUUCAAUUUUAUAGGAAUAGCAGAAGAAGUUAGCAACCCUUGAGAUGGAGUUAGUUGCAGCACAGCAAGAAGAUUUUAUCUCAAAGAACUUGUCAGAAAAUAAGGAGACUCCUCCUAAGAAAGAGCUUUUAGUUGUUGUAGGAAUUAUAACAAAGUUUGGCCACAAGAACAAUAGAGAUGCAAUCCAUAGGGCAUGGAUGCCAACUAGUAGAAUACCCUUCUUUUGUAAGUUUCGCUCUUUAUUCUUUGUAUGAUUUACAUGGAGAAUGACCCAGUUGCCACUUAACACAUUGACAUUUCUGUUAUAAGCAUGUAAGGGAUAAAAACAAGAGGUUUGUAGGUUGAACUCUUAUUAAUUGGAAACUUUUAGUGAACUUCCAUUUCUCUUCUAUUCUUUUUUCAUUGUUUUGUUUAUUUUCUCAAUUUGCAAUAGUCAUCUUUCAAUAGUUUGCAAACUCCAUCAACCAAUUUGAAAAGCCUUGGAGCCAAUAGGGGUAAAUUAUGAGAAGCUAAAAUGUUGUUUCUCUAGGAUUUUUCUGAAGUUGCUCAAUUUAAUGGAGAACAAAAAACUAUCAAGAGGCCUUGCCCCUGCCCCUACACCCUCUAUACCCCUGUUUACAAAAAUUUUGAGUUUGUCUUUAACGUAAUAAGGGAGACAAUAGUUUGUAUAAUAGUGAAACAAGAAUUUAUAAACCCUCAAUUUUGUCCCUUUAACACAUGUCUUUAAGUUCACUUCCAAUGCUCCACAGUAGUUUCCUGAUGACCCAUUACUACUCGUACAACUUAUCUUUUUCUGAGUCACCUCGGAGACUUUGGUUGAGGGAUUAUCUAACCCCUUAUUGUGACCCUUGGUAGCUCUAAUUUAGACUUAGGUUUUUCAUCCAUUUUUAGGAUGACUUUUAGGGUAGCUUACUUAGGCCCAUUUAGGCACUCUUGGCUCAUUAAGACAUUUUUAGCGUGACUUGUAUGACUUGCAUGAUUGCAUGGCUUGUGGGGCUCAGUUUUUAUUUAUUUGUUUAUUUUUCAUUUUUUAGUUUUAGUUUUAUUAUUGUCAAUCACUUGUUUAUUUUUAUUUGUUAUCUUCAUUUUUAUAUUAUUUUUCUUAUUUUUCUUAAUUAACCUAUUUAUUUAUUAUAGUUUUACUGUUUUCUAAUUUGUUUACUUAUUUAGUUAUUCAUUCAAUUAUUUACUUUAAAAAAUUUCAUACUUUUGCAAGAAAACUUACCAUUGGAGUUUAGAGAAAUUGGGACUCUCCUUGGAAGGUUUUGGAGGGGAGUUUGAAAUUAGGAGGAUUGCUUGAAGGGGAAGAUUGAAAAAAAAGGAAAAUAAGAAAAUAUAUAUAUAUAUAUAUGUGUGUGUGUGUGUGUGUGUGUGUGUGUGUGUGUGUGUGUGUGUGUGUGUGUGUGAGAAAGGAUGUUGAAAAGGGAUGAGGAUUCUGAGGACGGAAAGGGGCACAAUUUGUUUUGUUGAUAUUGGUUGCUCACUUAUUUUGUCCCGAAUCUGUUUGUGAUCUUCCCCACUAGCCUGAGCCCAUUAAAAAAUUCAUGAGAUGUGGCUUUCUCUUAUUUUGAUCUCGCAUGUUUGUUCUCCCUUUGUUCCCUCUAUUCUCUACCAUACUCAUUUUUGCUUUUCUUCCUACCCGUCACAUGGUUAUCAACUCUUUAUAUGGGGGUGACUCCAAGGCUUGGGCAUGCAGUCAUGAGUUUCAGCAAUGGGAUUAAAUGCUCCAAAAUUCUGGAAUUGCUAUCACAAUAUGGGAUCUAGAGAGGAUUGUCCAAGGGGCUUGUCGGCUGUUUAUGUACUCGUUAAAUCUGGUUACUGUAAUACAAAUUUGAAGGUUCAUAUGGGGAUUAGAGAUGUGGCCUCUCGGGAUUCAAUCAUUCCAGGGUAUGUACACUGAGGGAAGAGUGAAGAGCAUGGGAGUUGUUUGAAGAAAUGCCUAUGAGAAGGAACCUGAUUCCACCAUUGAGAAAAUCUGUAGUUUUAUAAUGGUGUUGUUCAGAAGCAUGUUGCUAUCGCAAAACAGGAGGGAGAAAUCCAUGGAUCCGGCGAAGGCCAGUCAAGUGCAGGGUUCAAUGAUAUAUUGACAUAACAACAUGAAGGUGUUGCAUCAAUUUACCACUUGGGUUCAGACUAGAAGGCUCGUUCUUUUUUGUUUAAAAAAAAGGAUUUUCUUUUUUGGGCAGAGAGAAGAACCGAGAACACACAUUGAGAGGAGAGAGAUAGGUGGACAGAUUCAAGAAAAGGGAGUGUGGAGAUCAGGGCUCUGAGCCCAUUAAACGUGAGCGCCCUUCAAAAACUGAUGAUGGGGAUUCUGGUCACUCUAGACCAGAGAGCGUUUGGAAAUCUGAGAUUGCUAAAAUUACAGAAAUGGGAGGGCUUGUUGAUUCAGAAGGGGUUGAGAGACUUGUGCAACUCAUGCAGCCUGAGAGAGCUGAGAAGAAAAUAGACUUGAUUGGUCGUUCAAUUCUUGCAGGUGUUAUAGCUGCCACAGAGGAGUAUGAUUGCCUUGGUCGAUUUGUCCAGCUCAGGGGCUUGCCUGUAUUGGAUGAAUGGCUCCAAGAGAUACAUAAAGGAAAGAUUGGUGAUGGUAGUAGCCCCAAGGAUAGUGAUAAAUCUGUUGAGGAAUUCCUAUUGGUUUUACUUCGAGCACUCGAUAAGCGGCCUGCGAAUCUUCAAGCCCUUCAAAUGUGUAACAUUGGCAAAUCUGUUAAUCAUUUACGUAGUCAUAAAAACUAAGAAAUUCAGAAAAAAGCAAGGAGUUUAGUUGAUACAUGGAAGAAACGUGUUGAGGCAGAAAUGAAUAUUAAUGAUGCGAAGUCUGGUUCAAGUCAGGCUGUUGCAUGGUCUUCGAGGCCAUGUCUUUCUGAAGUUUCUCAUGGUGGGAACAGACACUCUGGAGGCUCCUCUGAGAUUGCCAUGAAGAGCUCAGUCACACAACUUUCUUCAUCUAAAACAGCUCCAGUUAAGCUUGUACAGGGGGAAAUUGCCAAGUCUGGGUCUGCAUCCCAGGGAUUUACAAAAUCAGCAACAUCACCCGCAUCAGUGAGUACUAGCUUAAAGGAUGGUCAAACCCGCGUUGCUGUGCUGGUAAUGCCUCUGAUCCUCCUCUAACGACAGUAAGGGAUGAGAAAAGCAGCAGUUCUAGUCAAUCUCAUAACAAUAGUCAGUCUUGUUCGAGUGACCAUGCCAAAACUGUGGGUUUCUCAAGGAAGGAAGAUGCUAGGAGCUCGACAGCUAUGUCAAUGAGUGUGAGCAAGACCUCUGGUGGUGCUUCACGGCAUCAGAAAUCAGUCAAUGGCUAUCCAGGGCCUGUUGUGUCUGGAGUGCAAAGGGAAACAGGUUCAAGUAGAAGUUCUUCCUUUCAAAGAAAUCCUGCCUCAUAAAAAGUAUCACAGUCUGGAUUGACAUGCGAUAAAGCUUUUGAUGUCCCCACUGUUGACGGAAACAGUCACAAACUGAUUGUCAAGAUCCCCAAUCGAGGCCGCAGUCCUGCAGAAAGUGCGAGUGGUGGAUCUUUUGAAGAUCCUUCCAUGGUGAACAGUCAGGCAUCUUCUCCCGUGCUUUCAGGGAAGCAUGAUCAAUCUGAUCGUAAUCUGAAGGAAAAGAGUGAUGUUUAUCGAGAUAAUAAUACUUCAGAUGCGAAUACUGAGUCAUGGCAAAGCAAUGAUUUCAAAGAUGCAAUGACUGGGUCUGAUGAAGGUGAUGGGUCACCUGCUACUCUUCCCGAUGAAGAGCGCUCCAGGACUGGUGAUGACACUAGGAAAAUCAAAACUGCUUCGUCAUCAUUAGGAAUUGAACCCAAGUCAGGGAAAUUGGUUGAGGCUUCUUUCACCUCCGUGAAUGCUUUAAUUGAAAGUUGUGCCAAGUGUGAGGCUAAUGCAUCUGUUUCAGUUGUUGAUGAUGUCGGAAUGAAUCUGCUUGCUAAUGUGGCUGCUGGAGAAAUGGCCAAACGAAAGUCAGUUUCACCUGAUGAUUCUCCACUAAGAAAUACUGCUGUUAUUGAAGAUUCUUCUGUAGGCAAUGAUACGAAAUCAAAACCAACAGGAGAUGACAUCUUGAGAAAACAAAGUCAGUCUAACUACGGUCCCACCGAUGAUACUGAGAAGCAGGGUUUUUGGGCUAAGGAUGAAUUGCAUCAUUUACCUAAACAUGCAUUAAUUAACAGAUAGAACAAUGAACAUAUUAAUUCUACCAGUAUUGAUUUAGUAAGAACUUCAGAGCUGUGCUCAGAAAUCAACGGAAAAUCAGAUGAAACAGUGGUUGGUGCUUCUGUGACUGCAUCCCCUGUGAGCACAACAGAAAAAGGCAGUGAUGAUGAACAAGGGAAACAACUUCAUGAGAAGAAGGCAGCUGCUGAUGGAGUAAAUGUUGAUGGUAUUCCAGGUACUAAACCAAAGGUGAGCAGUUCUUCAUUGGCUGAAGAGAAAGUCAGUGAUGUCCUUCCCUGUGUAGAAUUAAAGGAAGAACAGUCAUCAUAUGCAUCAUUAGAACCUGGUGGUGAAAAGAAUAAUGUUAAUGAAGGUUUGAAUACAGAGCAAAAGCCACCAGCUUCCAUGAUACAUUUGGACUUUGUGAAAGGAACUGAAAACGAAGUGCCACUUCCUUCUGGUUCAGGUAAAUAUUUGGUCCCAGAAAAUGUUGAUCAAAUGAAGGCUGAAAAGGCUGAUGAAAUUUGUGUCUCAAAUCAUGCUAAUCAGAUGGAAGAACAGAGAAUUGAGCCAAAAAAUCAUGCUUCAACUGCUGCUGAGAAUCGAGUUGUGGCUGGUUUGUAUUCAGCAGCAACUGAUCACAAGAGGGAACUUAUGGAAGAGAAUUUAGGAAAUAAAGAGGUUCUUGAGAACUGUUCUAGUGGGCAAGCUCCUUACAAACAAUCACCCACAUUUCCUGUGUUAGAAGUGGAACAGCUUGUAAGGCCUAGAGGAUCCAAGUUGCCAGGUGAUGAAGCGGAUGAAACAGAGGAAUGUGCUUCCACCACUGCAGAUGUUUCUUCCUUUUUCAGCUACAGGGGGAUCAGAUGUGGAUGGAAGACUGGAAUUUGAUUUGAAUGAAGGUUUUAAUGCAGAUGAUGGGAAAUUUGGGGAACCGGUAAAUGUAGGUACACCUGGAUGUUCAGCCUCUGUUCAUCUAAUUAGUCCAUUGCCUUUUCCUGUUUCUUCAAUGUUCGGUGGGCUUCCAGCUUCAAUUACAGUGGCUGCUGCUGCUAAAGGGCCUUUUGUUCCUCCUGAUGAUCUAUUAAGGAGUAAAGGGGAACUUGGGUGGAAAGGAUCCGCUGCUACUAGUGCUUUCCGACCAGCUGAACCAAGAAAGACACUUGAGAUGCCAUUGAAUGCACUGAAUGUUCCAUCUGACGCUACCAGUGGUAAACAAAAUCGUCCUUUGUUGGAUUUUGACCUGAAUAUGCCCGAUGAAAGAAUUCUCGAGGACAUGACUUCUCGAAGCUCUGCUCAGGAGACAAGCUCUACAUGUGAUCUUGUUAGUAGUCGUGAUUUGGCACAUGACAGACCUAUGGGUUCUGCACCCAUUUGUUGCUCUGGAGGUCUUGAUCUUGAUUUGAACCAAAGUGAUGAAGUGACUGAUAUGGGGCAUCAUUCAGCAAGCAACUCUCAUAGAUUGGCGGUUCCCCUUCUGCCAGUUAAAUCUUCUUCGUCGGUUGGAUUUCCUAAUGGUGAGGUAGUUGUCCGAAGAGACUUUGAUUUGAACAAUGGACCUGUUCCUGAUGAGGUAAGUGCUGAACCAUCAUCUUUUAGCCAACAUGCCCAAAGUAGCAUGGCAUCCCAGCCACCUGUUGCUUGCCUUAGAAUGAAGAAUACAGACAUAGGGAACUUCUCAUCUUGGUUUCCUCCGGCAAACAAUAUUCAGCUGUCACAAUUCCAUCCAUCAUGCCUGAUAGGAAGCAACUAUUUCCAAUUGUUGCAACUAAUGGGUCUUUCGACUGGUGGAACCCCAUUUAAUCCUGAUGUCUACAGGGGCCCUGUAUUGUCACCUUCUCCUGCAGUUCCCUUCCCCUCAACCCCAUUUCAAUAUCCACUAUUCUCUUCUCGGACCAAUUUUCCCCUGCUUCCAGCUACUUUCUCAGGCAGUUCAACUUCUUUUACAGAUUCCUCGUCUGCUGGGAAGUUUUGCUCCCCUAUUGUAAAUUCCUAGCUAAUUGGACCAGCUGGUACAGUUCCGUCACAUUACCCCAGGCCUUAUGUGGUGAACCUUUCAGAUGGCAGCAACAGCGAUGGUCUUGAGAGCAAUAAGAGAUGGGGAAGUUUCAACAAGGCCUGGCCUUAUUCCCACCAAUACCACCUCCUAUAGCUGAUGUGAAAGAUCACCUUGUUUCUCCAGCAGUAGAGGGAGAGAUUACGCAACCUGGGAAACAUGUGUUGCCUCUCUCAAUGGUUAUAAAUGAGAAGUUACAUCCUACUCAAUAAUUUUUUAGGGAGAACUGAUCUAACCUCUGGAUCAUUUAGUACUAAAACCAGCUUUAGAACAAAAUAAGCUUCAAGGCAUUUGCCAAAGUUCAAAAAGGGCACCACAAACAUUGCAAGGACCCAAGAUGUUCUGUAUGCAUCCCUGUCAAGAAUUAUUUGCAGGCACAGUUGAGAGCGCGCACUUGUCCAGGUUCUGAUCCUAGCUUGACAACUCCUCUAGCUGGACCCUGUAAAUCCCAUGAUACUAUAGAGACAGCUAGAUUAACUUCAAAGGCUCGUCCAGUUGUUGAAACCUCAGAAAACUUACAAUUUUCAUCAAAAUGCAUGAGAACAGGGCAGCUCUCCUAACCUCUUCUUGCUGAAAGCGAAAGUUCUGCAGUAUUGGUUCCUGUAAUUACUGAAUUUCAUGUCCCACAAGAUGAUCAAUGCCGAAAGUACCGACACAAUGAUGUUAGUAUGUCAAUUAGAUCUGAGUUUACAGAAGUAAAGAUAGAAGUUCCCGUGAACUCUAGACAGGGAAGUUCUAAGAUUAGUGAAUUAAAGAAGAAUAAUUUAGAUGAUAUCCACAGACAAAGGCUUGAUAGUGAACCUAUUAUAUAUAUUGAGUCUGCUAGUUUCGCUAAGGGAGAAAUGGUUAAGCUUGAGAAGGAGAAAUGAUGAAACUUUAACAGUGAGAAUUUAAUAUGGAAUGCAGAAAACCUGUCAGUGCAAAGAAUUAGAAAUUUUGAACCUCCUAUUCAGUGUUUGACUACUGUUGAGGAGAAUCCAGUUGAGAUUACAAAUCGAGUCGCCUUUUAAGUUGAAGCAUUGGACGGUUGGACAUUUUUGUAGCGAAUUGGUUUCUUCUAUCCAGAAUUUCUGGUUCCACUUCUUUGGCCAUCUUGGUGCACACCUCUUCCUCCUUUUUCUUCAUUGAUUGAGAAUUUACAGUUUUGAAUUGAUCUUUCAAAUCUUUUUUUUAACUGAAUAAUUCCAGCUUUGAAAAUUCAUCUUUAGAUUUCUUUUAGGUAAUAAAAGUCCUCAUUUUCAAUCAACUUUUGCUGCCAAAUUUCCUUCAGGCAUGCAUUUCCUUGAUAAUCUUCAUGAUUUUCUGAGUUUUUAACAAGUAUGAACAAACUUCAUGAUUCCAAACAAUAGAAUUCAUAGAAUCAACUCAUGCAAAAUCAACUAGGACCAUGGUGGGGGGUCCAACAUUCUUGAUAUCUUCUCUAAUAUUGUUUCUAAAGGUGAUUGUUUGGUAUUCAAUUGAUUUUGAUUCCUCUUGGAGAUAUGCUUGAAUUUGUUUUAUAUUUAUUGUUGAGCUAACCUCGCUUCCCAUUGAAGUGCUCAACUUGCUAUCUAGGUACGCUCUUUCCCACCUAUUUUCGAGAAUUCUAUAGACAUAUAUGUUAUUGAUGACUAUAUCCACACAUGAUGUGAUUCUUGGGUGUUUUGAUAUAUGCUUGAUUUGCUUGGAUAAAACAAAUGUUGAGUCAUAUUUCCAAACUAACCUUGAAUGUUUUGUGAUAGCGCUUGAGAAGUGGUUUAGGUACGUGCCCAAAAUCUUCCACAUGAUUGUGAUUGGUUUUUUUAUUAAGCAUGUCAUUCUUUUGAAAUCACCUAGCUUACUUAGGUAUCUAUAAUUAACUAAUUAAUUGUCACAUUCCCCUCAACUUAGUUAGUAGAGACCUUUGUAGGGCUUAGAGGGGUGCUACCUCCUAGAGGUACCUUCCCAAUAAGUAACCUGAUCCCUAGACCAAGACUCAGGUUUUUUAGAGACAUGUUUUUCCAAAAAUUAUGGAAUCAUUUUGUUUGGAUUUUAUUUCUUAUUUUAUUUUCCUUUUAAAAUAGAGAUAAAAUAAGUGGCGACUCCAACUUUUUUUCCAAAAAUUAACUUUUCACAAAUAAAAAGCGAGUAUCGCCGAUCGAGUGGGGACGCAUGUGAAAAAUGCUGGUCCACAUAAGUAAUAUUGUGAUUCAUUGCUGCAAAAAGUAAUAUUGACAUAACUUAUGUGUUAAACUGCACUUAAAUGCUUAGCACAAAAGUAUGUUAUUCUUCAUUUGAGAGCAUUACUUUAAACCUUAUAUGUUAGCAUCACUUUUGCCAUGACUAAUCUUUCUUUCUUUCCCCUUAUCCAAGACAAUGCAUAUCGAGUGAUUGAUACUUAAGUUAAUAGCCUUACUACCCACAUGGGGUGAAGUUUGAAUCCAGAAUUUCCCAAUAGUCUUAAUACGCUUCCCCGGGUGUGUUCAAACUUAAGAUGUCAAUGUUAAACCACCACUUUACCAAAAAAAUUUAAGUUACUAAGUAAUAGGCCAACAAUGUGAUAUUAAGGCGACUAACAGGUAGACUAAUAGCCUGAGCAAUUCUCUUAUAAUGUUUAAUGGUUCAAAUUUGACAAUUAAAACGCUUACAAAAGCAUGAUGACUUACUGUGGACCCCGCAUUUCGGCUCAUGCGUUUUCCACUCGAAUGGCGAGCUCGAUUUGUUAUUUGAAAAUGAUUUUUAUUUAUUAAAAUAAUGAUUUGGAGUCGCUAUUUAUUUUUGUUUUAUUUUUAAAGGGUAAACAAAAUAAGAAAGAAAACCUCUAAGUGUGACUCCUUAUUUUAGAAAAGGUGAUCUACGAAAAACCAGAUCGGGCUCGGGGGUUAGGUUACUUAUCGGGAAGGUACGGCAUGGACCGUAGCACCCCUCUAAGUCCCUAGAGUCGGGUCUCUACUAAUAGAAUGAAACUGAUGUGACAAUCAAUAGGAAAAUCAAUGAAUAUCAACAUGAUUACACACCGAGAAUUAAAACAUGCAUGAGAGAUGAACAAAGUGAGAGAAAAUGCAUACCUUAGCAGCAAACAACAACGCGCUAUCAUGAAAAUGAGAUUAGUACAAAAUAAUGAUCACAAGAUAUAGCAUACAUGUCACUAAACUGAAUACAAAAUCAUCAAUAGCACAUGUGUCAUUUCAUUCAAUUUUAUUUUAAAGAAAAUUUAUUUGAUGUUGGGCCCCCACCAAAGCCCGAUUAUUUUUGCGUGAAUUACUUCCAUAAAUUCCAUUAUUCGGAAUUAUAAAAUUAAAGUCUUGCUUAUUUUAAAACGUUUUAAAACAAAGGAGAUGUGGAAAUUGGGAAAUUAUUAAAAAUCAAUGAGGGUUUAUAAAAAGAAAAAGUUUGCCAAAAAUAAACAUGGCAAUCAAUUUUAUUUCUAAAGAAAGAAAAUAUUUAAAGUUAAAGAAAGAAAAGAGAAAGAGAAGAUAAUAAUAAUAAUAAUAAUAAUAAAAAUAAUGUAAAUAAGAAUAAUAAUAAUAAUAAUAGAAAAAAAAAUAAAAAUAAAAAUGAAAAUAUGAAUAAAAGUAAAAAAUAAAGUAAAAGAUGCAUGAUUAGUGGAAAAUGAUUAGAAUCAAUUUUUGAAAACAAAUGCAUGGGAAUACAGGGGUGUGGCGCGUGGGUUUAAGCAGUGGCCCACCAAAGGUGGCCAUGCAUGCCAGGCGAGAAAAAGAGAAUGGGUCUUAAAGAUGCCAUGAAAAAUUGCCUCGUUCAUUGCCUCAACAGUAGCUUCAACCUGUAUCACCUUGAGAUCUCUUUCAUUCCUCCUAGCAGGGUUUGCAAUCUUCACUAACACUGCCCUUCUCUGCCAAUUCGGAUGCUGUGUGAGCAUCUGCUCUAUUGACAACAACUUCAAAUCGACACCCUUGAAGAUGUCCAUGUCGUCAACAAAAUUAAGCAAAAAUCACUCCAACUUCUUCAACAUGAAACUGCCCAGACCACAUAAGUGCUUCCAGAAUCUGAGGAUGCUCCCUUUCUUCCCUCUGUUUUCUCUUAAUUUCUCUCUGGUUUUUCCCUCUAAAAAAAAAAUGCUCUGUCACCUCUCUAUAUCUCGCUCCUCUCGCUAAGACCUUUCUCUAAGCUCUCAAAAACUCACCUCUCUGCAACUAGAACCCAGCAAAAAAAGCUCUCCUCCCCUCUCUAGCUUCCUCCUCCAAGCUCCAGAAAAACCUCUCUCAAGCAAAAAACCGCCCCCUAGCUAACAGAAUCCCCUCCUCUCGCUCCCUGCCAGAAUCCCUGCACGCCUACCCUCACUAACGGCCUGCAGCCUUUGCAUAACAGACCCGCUCCUCAGAAUAUUCCCUUGACAGGUGUUGCUCCCUGAUUGCAUCUCCCAUCCACUACUCUGAUUCCUAGCAGCCAUCCACGAGUUGACAAGUGGCUCAUUGAGAGGCCUCCACCGGGUAAGAAUGAGUUGUUGGGAUAUGACAAAAACCGAGCCUCAUAUGGGGGUCUACACUUACCCAUCGUUUUCAUAUAGAUACUCUGGAAGCAACUCUUGCUACUCAUUUGAAUAAGCCUCGAGUUUAUAUUGGGUGUAUGAAAUCAGGCGAAGUUUUCUCUAAGUUUUGAGUAUAAUCAAAGUUUUUUUUUUCUUCUAAUGAUGAGAAAAUGAGUUGUUUAUGAUAUUCUACUUUCAUAUAUUGUAUUAUCGUUCCAUAUUGUUUGAAUUAUGUUGGAUCCACAAGUGGUAAGAACCAGACUGGUAGAAAUUUGGUGAUGGAAAAUCGUGAGUAAUUCUGUAUUGAUUUCAUCUUAUCUCUUAUAUUAAGAUAAGUAAUUAUAACUUUCUAGUUCUGUUAACUAGUUAAGAAGUCUCUUAGUAUCGCGGAAUUCAUCUGAUAGGUGAUAGAAGUCCCAAUGAACAACUAGGGCAUUGUCCCAUAGGAGGCUUGCUUGAUGGAGAGUCAGAGUACUGUUUCUCAAGUUUUUUGGGCAUUUAAACAAUUUAUCAUUCCAUCACAUUCUUGACAUCUGUUACACUUAAUUUGCCUACCCCAUGUACCCCUAUUUAAACCAUCUCAGCUCUAAAUUGUGCCGAGGUAUCCUGGAGUUGGCAGAGGGACGCCUUCUCGGGAAGUCAGGCUUACAUUGGCUGAAGAUACAUUUAGAAAAUGUAUAUGCUAGUGGAAUGGACAAGUUAUCGUAUGAGGGUUGGGUAGCAUUUACUGAGAAUCAUUUGGAAGAUAUCUUUGAUUCCGCAGACAGACCUCUAGAAGGAAGACGCCGAUGGUUGUCUGCCUAGGAUCCUUUCCAAUGCUCAUGUAUUAAUCUCUCAGAAGCAUUAAGAAGCUCCCCUCCAGAGACUACUAUUUCACACAUGCAUGUCCACCAAGUACUUCAUUCUUAGCAUUGUCACAUUCAAACUAAGAAAUGUUUAUCGAGUGAAAUCAAAUUAAUCCCACCUCCUCCCAACCCCACAAUAAAAAGGAAUUCUCAAAACUAGCUUUUAUUGGAAUUAUGUUCUAUGCUAGGCAUAUCGUUUGUUGCCCUGUGUAUUUUGUAUAAACUCCUCCAGGUAACUACAUAGCUCUUCUGCAUUUACACAUGGAAAAUGACAGUCACAUGAUCAUACAUACCCUUCAGAGUACCCCAUUUGUCGCCCUAUCAUUAGGAGUAUAAAUAAUGGAUCUACCACUUUUUUCAAAGCCUUGUCUUAUGUUUGCGCUAUCCUACUAUAGUAUGCUUGAGUUCAAAGGCUAUUUGGUGAGUUCAUUGGUAUUUGGUGAGUUCAAAGGCUAGGGCAGCAAAUCAGUCUCUGGAAACAGAAUUUUAAUUAGAACUUAGUAUUCGAGGAGAUAAUUUUUCUUUUUUAUUGAAGUUUCCUUGUCCUUUGGCAGCAGAACUUUGAAUUGGGGAUUAUUAUUUGAUUAUGCAGUUGGGAUACAUAUAUACAUACAUACAUACAUACAUAUAUAUAUAUAUAUAUAUAUAUAUAUAUAUAUAUAUAUAUUUGGAUUAUGCAAUAUUGGAAAUUAAAAUUUUGUUAUGGAAAAUGUAGCAGGACCUCUUCAAUAUUGAAAUGAGAAUUUUAAUUAAAAUAUUUGAAAAAAAAAAUUCAAGACUUAAGCUGUGGCCAAACAUAAGUUGUGUCCACAUAAUAACCUAUGGCAGCAGGCAAGGAAAAGUGGCAUGCAUACGAAGCCCUAUAGUUGCGGCUAACAAAAGGCCAUGUCUAUAAGUACUAUAUAGUAUUAAAUUCUGUAGAUAUUACACCUUUAUAGCAGCAACUAUCAGCUGUCCCAGCCACAUAUAGAGCUUUUAAUUGAGGAAAAAACAUGACCGCAAGGAUAGUCUCACAACAACUACUCGCGUUUUUUACCGGUGGCUGCAACUAUAGGAUUUAUCUGCAUCCCUAUGGCCUUCGCGGCUAUAAACUUACCUUCUUAUAGUAUGAAACACUCUUGCCUCGUGUAUGAUUGCAUUAACUUGCAACACUUGUACUGCACAACUUUUUGUUAAUGGUUGUAAAAAAUAGUUUUCUAUUUUUUGAGAAUUGAAAAUAAGAAAAUCUUGUUUGACAAUAAGAAAAUAGUAAACAAUUUUUUAUUUUUAAAAACAGAAAAUAGUUUUUGUUCUUAAAAAAAAAAUGCGUUUUCAAUUGUUUUCUAGGAUUAUUUAAAAAUAAUAAUAAGAUAAAUAUAAAUAAUAAUUAAAAAUAAAAUGUUACAUACAAAACUUUUUUUUUUUGAAAAAUAUUUGAAAGCAAAAAAUACAUUAAAAAUAUUUCAAAUUCUCAAAUAAGUUUUUAUCAUAUCAGAGAAUUAUUUUUGAAAACAAUUCUUAAAAACUAUUUAUUUUUAGAACGGUUUUCAAAAUCAUUUUCAGACCUAAAAUAUAUUUGACAAUGAUUUUUGGAAGCGUUUCUAAUUUUUUUAAUACUUGAAAAAUAAAAAAUUUGAAGUGUUAAAACUAUUAGAAGUCUUUUCUAAAAUCACUACCCAAUAAACUCUAAUUCUUUUUGCCAAAGGCUUGUAGGAGCUUUUAUAAUUUACCUCACAAUCAUGUUAUGAGAUUUUGGGUUAGCAUUGGCUAGUUUGUGCUUAUAUGUACUUAAUUUUUGUUUUUAAAAAUAGAAAAUGAAAGUAACUUCGAUAUAAAAUCUAAAAACUUUUAGAGACUUAUCAAAAUUUUUUAUAGUGAUUUUUAAAGAUAUAAGGUGAGUUUAUACUUUUGGUAUAAAAAUUUCUAUUUUUUAUAUAAAAAUUAUUAUUACUUUUUGUGACUAAAAAAAUGUAUAAAAAAAAGUCAAUAUAUAAAUAAUAAAAGUUGAAAGAACAUUUUCAAUAUAUAGAUUAUCUUAAGGGUUCAAAUGUGGGCUAAGUCUAAAACUUAAUAUUAAAUCUUCUCUCAUUCAAAUAAUAGUCUUUAUAAAUAAUAGAAUAUCCUAGAGAAAUAUAGUUAUGGACCAAUAUUUCAAACACUAGUAUCAAAAGAAAUUUUCAUUAACUAUGACGAGCUCUUGUUUCAAUCUAAAACAUAUAAAUAAGCAUAAUUAAUUUUAAUUUAAGCAAGAUUUAGAUUUAUAUUAUGGACAAUAUAGUGAACCUAAAAGAUGAUCACAAGUUUUUUAGUCCAUGACUUCAAUUAGUAGAAAAAAUAUUUACAAGCUCAAUUUUGUUGGAAUUUUGUUCAAUUCAUUCUAGUUUGAGACUUUUUAUAUUUUCCUGUAACUUACACCCCAUUAAAGAUACAAGAAUAUUUAGAGUUAACUAGAGAUUAGAUAGCACAAGUAUAAAGAGUUAUGAAAAGGAUAAUAGCUUUUAAUUGAAAAAGAUUUUAGAGAUCGAGUGCUCAAGCAUUUGAAUCUAGUUUUCAAGGCUUAGAGCACUCAAGUUUGCUUGAGAGUACCCAAUAACAAGCACUCAAGUACACUUAUCUGGUGUUGGAGCACUCAAAAGUGGGGUUUCCAAAAAAUGAGUUUGCAUACAACCCUUAUUAAAAAAAAAAAAUGAUUGCUAUAUAUAUAUAUAUGGUUUAAAUAAAACAUUCCUUAUAUAUACAAUCAGUUUAUUUUAGAGUACUGUUAUUAUAUUAUACCAAGGUUGUUAGGCCAUAUUUUGCUAAACAAAAUGAAGAGAAAACACAUUAUUUGGCAAAUAUUUUACAACUAGAGAUAAUGAAGACUAAUGUUAGUAAUUAGGUUUGCCAUAUUUUUCAAUAAUGCACAAUUAGCUCAAUCACUUGAAGCUUAUACCAAAAAUAUAUUUGAAUUAAUGGUCAAAAUUUUUGAAUGGUACUUAGUGAUAAUCAACUACCAAAUUAACAUAAACAUAAAAGUUGAAAGGACAAUUUUACGACAUAGAUGACUCUAAAAUAUCAAAAGUAAGCUAAGUAUCCAACUUAAUAUUACAACUUUUCUCACUUAAAUGACGGUUUACAAAUAACAAACCUACCUAAAUUAUUAGUAUUAUUAAAGAAACUAUUUACAAAAUCUAAAAAAUUUAAUUCUCACUGAAAAUUAAAAAAAAAAAACUCAAGAUAUUAACCCUACUCAAUAUUCAAUUGAUGAAAUUUAUAAUAGAUUCAAAAAGAUUCAAAGGCCUAUAACUAUUAAAGAUUUGCAAGAAGAAAUACAAGAAAUAAAAAGGCAAAUAAAUCAAUUAAACCAAGAAAAUGAAAUAAUAAAACAAGAAAAUGAAUAAAUUAGAAAUGUAAUACAAUAUAAAUUAGAUUUUGCUGAAACUUCUAAUAAUCAAAAUCCAGGAAUAAUAAUACCUAAUAAACAAACACCUAUAGAAUCAUUUAUAAAUAUAAUAUCAAAAAUAGAUUUUCAAAUAUGGUAUACAAAUGUAAAACUCAUAAUUGAAGAUUUUGAAAUAGAAAUAGUAGCAUUAAUAGACUCAGUAGCUGAUAUGAAUUGUAUUCAAGAAGGAAUGAUUCCCACUAAAUAUUAUGAAAAAACAGGACAAGAACUUUUUGCUGCAAAUAAAGGAAAAUUAGAAAUAGAAUAUAAACUUCAAAAUAUUUAUAUAUGUCAAAAUAAUUACUGUUUUAGAACUCAGUUUAUAUUAGUACAAAAUAUGACUGAACCUUUAAUCUUAGGAACCCCUUUCAUUACCUUACUCUACCCUUUUCAAAUAAAUGAUGAAGGUGUCAAAACUACAAUAUUAGGAAAUACCAUAUUUUUCCCUUUUAUAUAUCCAUUAACUAAAAAAGAAAUACAUCAAGUUCAAAGUAAUUCAAUAAACAAAAAUAUAAAUUUAAUUCAAAGAAAACAAGCUCAUAUAAUUUUUUUAUCAAAAGAAAUUCAAUAUAAGAAGGUAGAAGAACAACUUCUAGAAGAUAAAGUUCAAAAGAAAAUAAAAAAGAUUCAAGAUUUUUUUCAAAAUGAAAUUUGUUCUAAUAUUCCAAAUGCUUUUUGGUCCAGAAAGAAACAUGAGAUAAGUUUGUCAUACAUUCAAAAUUUUGAUGAGUCUAAAAUUCCCACUAGGGCUAGACCUAUUCAAAUGAAUGAAAAACUUUUAUAAUACUGUAAACAAGAAAUAGAUUCAUUAUUAAAGGAGAAAUUAAUCAGACCCUUAGAAUCUCCUUGGAGUUGUGCCGCUUUUUAUGUUCAAAAUGCUACUAAGAUAGAAAGAGGAGCACCUAGAUUAGUCAUUAAUUAUAAACCUUUAAAUAAAGUAUUACAAUGGAUAAGAUACCCUAUUCCUAAUAAGCAAGAUUUACUCAAAAGACUUCAUAAUUUUGUAAUUUAUUCAAAAUUUGAUAUGAAAUCAGAAUUUUGGCAAGUUCAAAUCAAAGAAGAAGAUAGGUACAAAACUGCUUUUACUGUCCCUUUUGGUCAUUAUGAAUGGAAUGUCAUGCCCUUUGGUAUCAAAAAUGCCCAUUCUGAAUUUCAAAACAUUAUGAAUGAUAUUUUUAACCCUCAUUUUCAGUUCAUAAUUGUAUACGUUGAUGAUGUUUUAGUAUUUUCUGAUUCAUUAAAGAAACAUUUUGUUCAUUUUAAAAAGUUUUUCAAUGUCAUUAAAGCAAAUGGAAUGGCUUGUUCUGCUUCAAAAACGAAAUUGUUUCAAACAAAAAUCAGAUUUUUAGGACAUUAAAUUUUUCAAGGAAAAACCAAAUUGAUUCAAAGGUCAAUAGAAUUUGCUGACAAAUUUCCUGAUGAAAUAAAAAAUAAAAAACAAUUGCAAAGAUUUCUAGGUUGUUUAAAUUAUGUUUCUGAUUCUUUCAAAGAUUUGAAAAUUAUUUGUGAAUCUUUAUACAAAAGACUUAGAAAAAAUGCAUCUGCAUGGAUUGAACAUCAUACUAAUUUGGUCAAAGAAAUUAAACAAAGAGUCAAACGUUUACCAUGCAUUAGCAUCCCUCAUCCAAAUGCAUUGCUCAUUGUAGAAUCAGAUGCAUCUAAUUUAGGAUAUGGAGGCAUAUUAAAGCAAAAAUAUAACAAUCAAGUGCAUAUAGUUAGAUAUCAUUCAAGGAUCUGGUUGGGCACUCAAAUAAAUUAUUCAACUGUCAAAAAAGAAGUUUUAUCCAUAAUUUUGUGUAUUUCAAAAUUUCAAAGUGAUUUGAUAAAUAAAAAUUUCUUUUGAAAAUUGACUGCAAAGCUGCAAAAGAUAUUUUACAAAAAGAUGUUAAAAAUUUGGUUUCAAAACAAAUUUUUGCAAGAUGGCAAGCUUUACUUUCAAAUUUUGAUUUCGAAAUUGAAUUUAUCAAAGGAGAGUUGAAUUCCCUUCCUGACUUCCUUACUCAAGAGUUUUUGCAGGGUAAUGAUCCUUCUCCAUCCUAAUGGGCACUUCCGUUAGGCUUCAACUUCCUUCAUCAUCCAAGAAAACCAAAGCUUCAUAUGCAAUGAUUUCAAACUUUUCAAAUAUUUGUCCUACUUUUCCAUUACAAACAUCAAAUUCCUUUCAAGUUCUGGGUCCAGAUUUUCCUCCUCUUCAACCUUCAAAAAGUUUUAUUCAAGCUUCUAAAUCAAACCCUAAAAAUAUUUUUGUUCAGAGUCAAUCCAGUCCUAGCACCAUUUCAACACUACCUUCUCCUUCAUCUAUUUCAACACUAUCUUCUCCUUCUUCUUUUUCAAUAGGUCAAUAUGUAAAAAAACCCAAAACAUUAGAAAUUGCUUUCAUUGAGCCAGAGUACAAUUAUGAAGAGAUUCCUAAAAUUCUUCCUUACAUAUUUCCUCAAGGAGUCACCUUCAAUUCUAAUGAUCCUUCGAAAACUCGUCAAUUUUAUGAGUUCAUCCUGGUGGACACAGAUUCAGUUGAAAUUACUCAUAACACUGAUAAAAAAAAUCCUUAGAGGAUUGCAUUUUUUCCAAAUGUCAAAUUCUCAUAGUCAUGAUCAUUGCUGAUUGGAAUAAAAAACCCUUCACUUGCAAAGCGUUUAGUCAACAUUUCCAUCUCAUGAGCUACAAUUAUAUAAAUUAUAUGGAUGCUUGGUACAAUAUGUUUUAUUUGCAAAGUUACCAACAUUCUUAGUUCAUUCAAUUUUCAAGAAAUUGUAAUACCAAAUUUCUUGCUUGGUUUCAAAACUGGUGGACUUUCUUUGGUCUACUAGAUUCCAUAUUUCCUCCUGAUAUUCAAGAAAAAUUCAACUUCUACAAGAGCAAGACUUCAUCACAGUCUAUCACUCAGUCGAGACUCCUGACGUUCUGUUCAAGAUUAAGAAUUCCAUGGAUUCUCAUAUGGAACAUUAUCAAGAAGCAAGAGCAGCCUCCUCCUUUUCCAUUAUCUCUUUAUGGAGAAUUUAGCAUCAAAUGGUGGGACAAAUUCAAUCAUGAUUUUGUAUGUCAACCGAAGAUUUUGCAAAUAAUUUCAACAAGACCCGGAUAUUCAAAUUCAAAGGAUUCAUCAAGUUCUUCUCAAGGACCGACUCAAGAAGAAUUCUUAACUUUGAAAAGCAAAUGUCAAGCUUCAUUAGCCGUUGCUACUGAUUUAGAGCAAUAUAGGUAAGGACUCAUUCAAACUCUCAAACAGUUUGGAGAUCAUUAAGAAACUGAAGACACAACAUUAUCAGAUGAUUCAUACGUAGACCUUGAGUUUAUCAUUUACGGAGGACCUAGGGUCAAUCUAGAUAAAAGAUUUCAAGAAUCUUUUGUACAUCUAUAUAUUUGUACAAUUGUCUCUUUGUAUUUAUCUAGAAAAAAAAAGAAUGUAAAAAAAGAUUGUGAAGUAUGUAAAAAAAAAAAAAUGUCAAAAGUCAUGAAUAGUGAUGAAUAGUAAGUUUUGUCUCCUACUUUAUCUUUGAAGACAACGUGGAGCAAUGUAAAAGAAAGAGAAUAAACAUUCUUUUCUUACCUUUCUCUGAAGACCUCAUGAAGGCUCCAACUGCCUCUACACAUCACGGAUUUCAAAAUUUUUUCAAGAAUGAAGACGCAAGCCUGACUUCAUCAAUUAUAAAUAAAGAAGCACCCCUCUUCAUCAGGCAGAGCUUGCGAGUGCCAAAGAGAACUUGUGAGAGUUGCAAAAAGAGUUCAAGAGUGUUUCAAAAAUUUCAAUUUUUGUAAUUUCCUCUUUCAAAAAUUCUAGUCCUUUGUAUUCAUCACUUUGAGCCAUCUCUCUACUGUCAACAAGCUUGUAUUCAACAACUCUCUGUAAUCAAGUUAUAUUUUCAAUAAACAAUAUUUUCAGAUUCAAAUAUUUGUGUUUUUAUGAUUAAAUUUCUGCAAUAAAUUACACAUUAAUUAUUUCAGUUUUUAUGCUUGGAGUUCAUUAGACAGAAUUAAUUAUUACGUGCAUGAACUGUUGUAUGUCCUGGGUGCAAAUGGUAUCAGAGCCACGUUCUGCUUGAGAAUCGAGUGGUGUUACAAGUUGGAACAGUAAUUAAUCACUGAUUUAAUCCAGACUUACUUCGAAUUGAAUUUCCUGUGAACGGCUUGGUUAGCCUAUGAUAGCGGUGUUUGAAGGGUAGAAGGAGCGUAAAUCCCGUGUUGAUCCGCUUGUGGUGGUCCCUGUUCAAGAAAUUAUCUGAAUUGAUUAAGGAUAAAAUUGUGAUUAUUUUAUGUGACAAUGAGUAAUAUUCUAAGGAGAUUAAGUAAAGUUAGUUCUUCCAAAUCUCUUAAGUCUAAUGAUAGUUCUGCAUUUUCAUUAGAUAAUUCUGCACACACAUCACUUACUUAAAAUAUGGUCAAUAGUCAAGAAAUAAAUAUUGCUCAAAUAGAAAGUCAACUACAUAAUUGGUCAAUUCCUCACAUGAAAAUUAAUACAAUAUAUCAACAAGGAAAUUUCAAAUUUAAUCAAAAUUAUUCAAUAAAAACUAAAGUAAAAACUAUUUCUCUUAAUCAAAAUUUAGAAAUUCUUCAAUUAUUGAGUCAAAACACUAUUAAUCAUCAUAGGAAGAAAUUUAAAUAUAUUCAUAUAGGAUUAGUUCAAGUUGCCAUAAACCUUUAUUUAGGCUAGGAUUAGAUAUUCCUAUGUUUGUAUGUCUAAGAGACGCUAAAUCCAUAAAAUUUACUGAUUCCAUCCUUAGCAUGAUUGAUUCAAACCUUGUCAAUGGUCCUGUUUAUUUUAAUUGUUUUCCAAACUUUUCCAUGAACAUAAAUGAUCCUGGUAUUCUUUCAAGUUUAACUUCAAAUAUUAAAACCAAAAAUAUGAAUUUUGUAGAAGAAGCCCAAACUAUAAUAAUAAUUUAUAGGAUAUAUUAUAAAGUCAUGACUACUCAAUUAAAUCCUAGAGUCAUAUGUCAAUCUGUCAAAGACGAAACAUUAUUAUUACAAUAUAAUCCAAAUAAUACUCAAGCUUUUGUUCCUAAAAAAUUAAAAUGGAAUGAAAUUACUCAAGGGAGUCAAUGGGAGUUAAAAGAUUUAACUCAUCCAAAACCUAUUAAACCUUUAACAACUCCUUCAAAAAUUAUUCAACAUACUGAUGGUACUGUUCAAAUAGAAUUUGGUCCAGCUUCUAGAUAUUCAUUUAAUCAAGAUUUUAUGUUUGCAAGACCUUCCUCUUCAAAUGCUAGCUUAAAUAGUGUUGAUUUUACUCCAAAAAUUCAUAUUCUUAUAUAUCAACAACAUGAAUCUCUUCCUGUGUCUUCUACUCAUUCGAAUAUGUUUCAUAAUCAAGCCAACAUUAUUCAUAAGAAAAAUUAUAAAAAGACUCAUUUUACUCCUAAUAUAGAAUGGAUAAAAUCAUAUUAUUUUUCUCCUCAAAAUAAUACUAAAAGAGUUUAUUUUCAAACAUUUCCCCCUCAAGCUAAAAAUGCAUUAAGAAAACAAUAUGAAAAAUAUAUGAAUCAAAAGAAAAUUACUAUUCCUUUUUUCUAUUGGUUUUUCAAACUUAAAAAACAAAGAAAACAAAUAAUAACUUUAAGGAAUGAAGAAGCACUACAAGAAAAAUGGUCAUUGUUGACAUAUAUUAUCUUUACUUAAAGUAGUAUAUGUCAAUAUUUUUUAUUUAAAUGGGCAACUAUGACAUAUAAAACUUAGUUAAAAGGAAUAAUGACAUAUAUGAAUUUCAGUGAUUAUUCCAUGACUUAUGACGAUGCAACCUUGACAGAGAAUUUAUAAGUCAAUAUAAAAUUAAUAUAUUUGUAUGUCAAGGUAGCUAAAUAAAGGUAAUAAUGACAUAUAUGGAAUUUGGUAAAAUUUUCUUUAAUUUAUAGUAAUACAAUCUUGAUAGAAAAAUUAUAAGUCAAUAUGUAAAGUUAAAAUAUUCUUAUGUCAAGGUUGGUAAAAGAUAUCUUGACAAAUAAUUUACAAGUCAAUGUAAUUUCAUUUAUAAAUCUAUCAUGGUUAUAUUAGUAAAUAUUGAAAAUCUCACUUCUCAUUUUUUUUUUCUUUUAAUUCUUUUGUUUUUCUUUCAAUUCUAUCUAGACCCAUUCCCAUCCAGAAGCAACUUCAAAGAAAAUCCUAAGAGGCCACCAUUAAAAAUUUUGUGAAAAGUAAAAAUAGUUUUUAUGAAAAUUUAUUGGAUUAGAUAUUUAUUCUCCAUGCAAAUGUAUAUCCUUUAUAGGGUUUAAUUUUAUUUUUUUUGUUUUGUUUUGUUUUUUUUUUUUUUUUUGAAUUUUUUAUGACAUUUAUUAAAUGAUGUAACAUGACUUCCUGUUCAAAUCUGGAAUUUGUGGAAAUCUGAUAUAAAUAUAUUUUAUGACAUUUAUUAAAUGAUGUAACAUGACUUCCUAUUCAAUCAUCCAAUUAUCCCAGAAGGCAUUUGUAUAAUAAUCAGAAAUAAGAUAAUUUUGCAUUGAAUAUGGUAACUACAAACUAUAGUGGAUACAACACAAACGAAAGAUAAGAAAUCUUUUUACAAAGCUAGAAUUUGUCUUUUUCAGGUUACUUCCUUUUCAUUGUUUUCUGUAACUAAUAACUUUGUAAAAUUUGUUUUAUGCAGUACAUUCCUGGAACAAAGAUGGUAUUCCCUGGACAAACGAAGCCUCAGGAACGGGCCGACUUGAUUGCAUAUUUGAAGCAAGCCACUGCUUAAUUUGAAACUAAACGUUUGAAGAGAGUCCAUUUUGCAGUUGCUAGAGGUACCGGAACCAGAUGGCAGUACCAUUCUUUUCCAAAUAAAAUAGACUUAUAUAUGUUGGUAGGUCUGACAUAAUGAGAGUUUGUAGUUAUUGCUACUUUUUCUAAGAGAUUGCCUUGAGAAACAUUCAAUUGGAUUCAGUUACCUAUUUGUGACUAUCUGAUGAAUAUUUGGUGAAACAUCAAUUUACUACUAUGAAUGCCUGGGCUAGUCUUUAUAUGAUUAGCAAUAUCAGAAGACUGGUUUAUGCUUAAGUUCAUUUUUCUUUGUUUUUUUCUUUGGUUCAUUUUUUUUAACCCAAGCCAAUGACAUAAGAUGUUGCGGUUGAUGCUGUUAGCGUGAGGAGAGAGCAUCAUUGUUUUUUAGCUAUGUUGGAAACAUUAUGAAAUAAUAUUUGCAAGAAGUUAGUCAUCUCAUCUGAAAACCAAUUAAGUGUCUAGACAUUCAUAUUCUAUUUGUUGUAGGGUUUAACCAUUUAGAGGUACACCUUUGUGUUUGAUCUAUUCCAUGCAACAUGCUUAUCUCCAUCUCGAGUAUUACUCAUAGUGAAGUUUAUACCAGUGUUCAACCAUCACCGAUCUUAUCAAGGAGGUUGUUUAGCAUUUGUCUUAUCAAAGGGUUUCAAUUUUGAACUCUCUGUGAUUGAGUGUAUUUAGUUCAAAUAUCAAAUGAGGCAAGUGAAAUUUAAAGAAAAGACACUUUAAAUAAUGUGUUUUUGAGCAAACCCAUAUCAAGUUAUGAUGAUAAUUGAAAUAAAAUGAAAUGAAAGUUGGUUUAAUAUUUGUGGGUUUCACUUGAUUUUAAAGUAGUUAUCAACAAAUGUAAGGGGAAUUAAUAAAUUUAUUUUAUUUUAUUUAUAUAAAUAUUAAUAUUAAUAAUUGUUUAUCAAAUUUAAAUAAUAUUAAAAAUAUCAAAUCUUUAAUAAUUAUACCUAGUCAAUGAAAUAUAAAUAUGUUAAAUUAAAUUCUAAACUCUUUCACUUUUUUUUUUUGAAAGAUGAAGUUGUAAUCCCUUCAAAACAAAAUUUUAGAAUGAGAAUAAUUUUUUAAAAAAUAUAAUAAUAAUUUUAUUUAAUUAUUGGUUUUUGCAUUCCUUAGAGUAGGAACAUUACUCCCACACAUUAAGUAAGCACAUCCUUGGAUGUCAUUUUGUAUGAGAAAGGGCAUUUGAGAUAUGUCACUUUGGUAAUUAUUUUCAAACAUAUGGGCAUCACAUCGAAUAAAAGUUGUCUUCCAAAAAUUUAAUUUCAGUUUAAAUAUGAGAAAACUUUCAAAUUAUCUAUUCGGAAGUUAAUUUUCAAUUAAAUUUUUUGAAAAUACUGUAAAUUUAAAAAUAGUUUAAAAAAUAUCAAAUUUUAAUAACUAUUUUUUAAAAUUGCUGUAUUUUUUUCAAAAUCCCGGUAAUCUAGUUGCUUUUUGUGAGUAACAAGGAAUGGGCCCUCUCGGCCCAAAAGACAUGCCAUAGAUAUUACUGUGGGCUAGGAGUCUUUGCAUCCAUGAUGUGGGUCUCUAAACAUGCAACAUAAUCAGCUUCAUACCAUGUCACUGGUAGUCUUCCUCCUAUAUAUAUAUAUGUUGUCCAGUCACACAUAAUCCUUCGAAAUUAGUUCAUAUGUAUUCUACUUUUGAUUCCCAAUUAAAGAAAGUGAAUUAGAAACUUACCAGGAUUAUACUUCCCAAAAACAACAUCUGCAAUGGCGUGUCCGCCUUGCUCCCCAGGAAAGCCAACCCAGAGAAUGGCUGAGAUUCUGGGAUUAUUUUUAGCAAAAGUGAUGUCAAUAUUGCUACCACUGAGGACUACAAGAAUCACAGGACCACUGGAGACUUCAGCAACUUGUUUGAUCAGCUCUGUUUGGUUGCCUGGGAGUAGGAAAUCAACUCUAUCUACGAACUCAGCCUCGAUCGAUAAGUCAGUCCCUACGAAAAUGAUGGUAACUUCUGCAGAUUUUGCAGCUUCUUUUGCUUCAGAGAAAUAGGUAUCGUUACUGCAUGAAGCAUCCAAACAGCCCGUCGUAUACGUGACGUUUCCAAUGGCAGAAAAGGCUUCAAGAGGAGAUACAUACUUGCGGGGCAGCCCUACAUAUAAAGUGUAAGAUUCCCGACCCAUUAAAGAAAAAAAAAUGAGAAAAAUCUCAUACUGCACCUGCAUAGUUUCCAAUCAUAACUUCAGUAGCAUUGGCAUGGGGCCCAACCAAUGCUAACUUUUUUCCAGGUUUUAAUGGAAAAACUUCAUAAUCAUUCUUCAGAAGAACGAUCCCUUGUCUUGCGGCUUCCCUUGCCAACUCAAUGUGAUCUGCAGCACAGAUAUCCUUCAGUCCAAGCGACUCAUACGCCGGGAUACCAUCAAAGUAUCCAACCCUCAUAAGCAGAACAUAAAUAUUCUUCAACGCCCGGUCUAGUUCAUACUGACUCACUUUCCCAGUCAGGACUAAUUCGUUAAGGGCAUCAGUAUAGUAAUGGCCACAUUCCAAAUCCAACCCUGAAGAAUAUGAGGAUAUACAUUCAACUUACUUAGAUUACCAUGCAUGAGUUGCAUUGAAAGAAAGAGAAAUUGAUUAACUUCCCAACCUGCUUGUAGGGUUUUUGCAACAGCAUCCACCUUUGAGUCAUUAAGGUAGUUUUGAUUGUCCACAAUCACCUCAAGACCAUAACAAUCAGAUACUAUGUAUCUGUAACAGAAAUUGAAUCAGUAUUGGGAGCAGGCUAAAUACUUAGAAUAUGAAUCAUUUUAAGUUGUUGGAUCCGUAGCCGUGAAGAUCCCAUUCGUCUCUUAUCACUCCUUUCAAGAGUCUUGGAUCAGAACAAGGAGGGAUUCCGUUGAUUUUAUUAAAGGAGCACAUAACACUGCUUACAUCACCCUCUCUGACGCACCUCUCAAAUGGAGAGACAAAAGUCUCCUUCAUAUCUUGCUCAGAAACCUACCAAAAAAAUAAUAUGGACAUUAAAAAAAAACGAACUUUUAUCAUUGUGAAUUUAUGGAUGAAUGUUUAGUCUUACCCUUGCAUCGAAAGUAUGUCGAUCGAUGUUAAGCCAUGAAUCAAUAUCAUAAGCAGCAUAAUGCUUGCAGCAUGAGGAGACCUUGAGAGGCCUAGAGUUCAAAUCCGUAACGUUCUCUGUUCCCUCAACAUCCUGCAGGCCUCUAACGUAGUUAACUGCAAACUCACCAACCAUGAAAGGAUCUUCACGGGAUGUCUCUUGGGUCCUUCCCCAUCUUGUAUCACGUACUACAUUGAUGUUUGGACUCCAAAACGUCAACCCCGCAUGCCCCAAAUUGUACAUGGCUCUACCAUACAGCCAUCAAAUCCAACAAGUUAUAUAUAUAUAUAUAUUCACUAUUAUAUAAUAUAUAGGAAUAAAUUUAUAAGUUCAAGUAGGCCAAAGAAGUAUAUUCUUCACUCUUCAUUUCAUAUUUCCUUUUUUCUCUCUCCCCUUCUUUUUCUCAAAUAAGACAACAAAUAAAAAUCUCAAUCAUAUCCGACAGAUACUCCACACAAUCAAAAUGCUGCCCAUCCUGAUGCAGUGGUCUUGGUUGAUCCUGAGUUGGUGCUAGCAGGAAGGCUCUUCUACAAAUUCCAACAACUCUGAAAUAAAUAUACCAUUCACACCUAAAUAUAGCAGAUUACCAAUAUUCACCAUGCAAAAGUACAAGUCCCCUGGUGGAUCAUAUAUGUCAAUCUUUCUAUCCAUUAUUCAUGCCAAAUAUCAAGUUGAUUAGAGAUUAAGAGCUGCUGCAUCCUUACUGGACUCUGAAUGACAGUUUUCUUUCAAGUUUUUAAUGAAAUGAUGAUAGUUUAUGGAUAAGACAUUUUCAUAUUUAUAUAUCCAAAAAAACAAAAUGUAGUGGUGGUGGCAUCUAAAUCCAAUAGAGCGUUGGGAAAACAAAAGUUGUAAAGAACAUAAUUAAGGGCUGUAACAAUAACAAUAAGUAUUCACUAACUCUAACAAUAAGAAAAACAAUCUUAAAUCUGAAGGGCCCAAGACAAGAAAAUCAAAAAAGUCAUCCAUGAAAGGGAAAACCUGUCGGGGUUAAAGAACUACAACAACAAAAUCUUGGCAAGCCUCAAGAGACCUCAUCCAUGAAUAUUAGCAGCUUCCCAACCAAAUUGGCAGAUCAGGGUUGGUAAGGUCACGAGCCUGCAGAGCAGCAGUUCUUAGCGUCCUAAUUGUCGACAUGUUGGCCUCCCAAAACGAUAAACUCCUAUAAGGCAAAUUAUGCUUCUUGCAUAGGUCCUUCACCAAAGGGGAAAUGCUCCUCAAAUGGCACCUUGGCAACUGAGGAAACAAAUGGUGCUCAAGCUGAAACUGCAGACCACCAUGAAACCAGUCCAUCCAAGUUGAGCAUGAAAUAUAAAUUGUCCCACUAUUCUGCUUCUCAAACCAAUCGUUCCCACAAGGCGGCCCAACAUACACAUUAGCUGAAAAUUGGUUCAAAGUGAAUUAAAUAUGUUGAAUUGAAGUCCUUGUAGCAUUUGAACAAGUUGUGGGUUGAAUAGGGCUGAAGCUUGCUGUAAUUCAGCUGCGCACUCGUCGCUUCUGCUCCUCCUGGCACAUUCUACUGGUACACACCCCAUUCGUCCAGUGCUUGUCGGAUUCUCUUGUUGUUGCAUGUCGGAUUCCCCGCGGUGAGUUUAGAUGGAGUUGACAACUGAGUUCUACAUGAUGAGCCAAAAAACGUUUGGGUUGGGCCAUCCUCGCCACCUCUUCACGGAUGAUUUGCUGCAUAUUGAAACUGCUAUGGUGUUCAGUUUGAAGGAAAGAAGAAGACGACAUGACAGUGAGGCUGAGUGCUGCUGAUCAAAAUGUGCAUGUGCGGAGGAAUAAGGAGGGAGAAUUAGUGGAUGGGAAGUAUGGAUAGCUAUUCAUUAUCACAGGUGGAUUUUGGGCAGCUUGGGCAGCCCAAAGCAUGGGCUGUGUCAGAAGAAAGACUUUUGAUGUCUGGUGAAGGUGGUAGGGAUAGGUUUUUUUGAUUGCCUAAAGAAUAGGGUGUUGCAGGGUAUGGCAUGGUCUGAAGUACUUGUCUUGAGCAACUAAAAAUAAGCUUUAAAGAGAGAGUGGUAUGAGAUACGGUUUAAGCCAUCUGAAAUAUGAGCAGUAGCAUGUAGCAACAAAGCAUAAUUGAUGGGUGAGAUAAAUGGGAAGCUAGGCUAUUGAUGGACGGUUGAUGCAUGGGUUCGUUUAAGGUGUGUUUGGAAUGUUUUAAAUUAUAUGAAAGCUAAAUAUAAAUAUUUUAUAAAAUCAUACAAGUUGCAUAUUUGUUUUUUAUUUACAAAAUUAAAUUAUUUUAUGUUUUGAUGUGUGAUUUUUAAUAUCAUAUACACUUUACUUAUGAUUCAUGAUAUCUAAAAAUAAUAAUUAUUUUGGCAUGUUUAUUAUAUAAAAAAAAUAACACAUUUUGUUUUAUAUUUUAUAAGACAUGAAUUAGAUAACCAUAAUAAACUCAAAUUUUAAUUUUGUUUUUGGUUCAUAAAGUAUUAAAAAAAGAAUUGCUUUGAUAUAUUAAUAAACUCAAAUCUUUAUUUUGAUUUAGGAUUCCUUUGAUGUUAAAAAAUAAAAUUAUUUUAUCAUAAAAUAAAGAUUUGAAUAUAUAUUUAAUAACCUUAACAUAUUAUUUCUCAAUUUAAUCAUUCAAUAUAUUGAUUAAUACCUCAAUUUCUAUAAUUUAUAAGAUAAAGUUAACAAAAAAAACUUGAAUCUUAUUAAAUCAUUCUUAAAAAAAAAAAAACAACCUCAUUCCAAUUCAUUAUCAAAACCUUAUUAUAUUUUAUAUUUUUAAAGAAUAUGAUAUCAAUUAUUAUAUUAUUUUAAAACAUAAAUUUAUUUGUAAGAAUUAAGGGUUUAGAAUUCUAAACAAACCUAAAUAUGCUAUAACUCAAUAAAAAAACAAAGUCCUAAAUUAAUAAUUAAGGAUCACUACACACGAAAUAGGGAUCCACUUAUUCUCUCCAAAAUAUCUAAUUGAAAAUCCAAAACUAAUCAUCGAUAUAGUCUUACUAGACCAUCAAUUAAUAAAAGCUAAAAACAACUCAAAAAAUAACCACAAUUGCACACUAAAGCAUCAAAGCAUGUAGGAGGACAAUCCUAUAUGGAAUGUGUCAAGAGAACAAAAUAGAGGGUUUAUAAUAUUCUAAGAAAAAAAACACGUUACCAUAUACAUAAUCAUCUUUCUUAGUUUAGACUUUAAUAUGGUAGUAUCAAACUAAAGUUGUUUGAUUGUCAGCCACUUUAUUAAGCUAGGUUUAAGUCUUUUCAUACUUCAACUCUAUCCCAGUUCAUUUAUACUAUAUCUUUAUAUUUUAAUACUUAGGGUUUAUUUGCUUUCACUAGUAUUUUUCAAUUUUAUAAUUUCAAGGAGACGCCUAAAUAAUAUUACUUUAAGCAUUUUUUUAAUUUUUUUUGGUUUUAGGAUAUAAAUGGUCUAUUUGAUAACUGUUUUUUAGAAUAGUUUUUUUGUUCUCUAUAACAAAAAAAAAAAAAAAAAACCUUUGAUAAUAAAAAAUAUGAUAUUUUUAGAUAACAUCUUUUAGUUAUUUUCUAUUAUUUUCACUUCUUUUUUAUGAUUAUUUUUAAAAAUAAUUAUACAAACAUAUAAAAUUAUUAAAAAUAAAAUAUUAAACAUAAAAAUUAUUUUUAAAAAUAUUAAAAACAGGUUAAAAACAUUUUAGGUUUUAAAACAUAUAUAUUUUUUUUCACAUAAAACAUUAGAUAACAAUUUUUAUCUUGACUUUUUUUUCCUAUUGAGAGUGACAAUUUAUUUUGAAAACAUUAAAUAUAAAAAUUAAUAUAAAAUUUAUUUGAAAAACAUAUUUAAAAUAUUAAAAACAGUCUAAAAACAUUUUAAGUUUGAAAUAGAUUUUUAUUUUAUAAAUAUGAAAGAAUAAUUUUUAAAUGCUUGAUAGCUUUAUAUUUUUUAUUUUGUACCAUCAAAUUUUAAAAAAGAAAAUGGCUAACAAACAUGUGUGAUAUAUCAUAAUUCUAAAAACAAAAAUAUAAAUAUAUAUAUAUAUAUAUAUAUAUAUAUAAAUUAUAAAUUUUAUUAUUUACCCAUUUUUCUAAAGACAAUUUCAUAAAAUGAAUUAUUACUUUGGACUGUAUUUGGCAAUUAGUUCUGAAAAUAGUUUAAAAAAAAAAAAAGUUUUAAUAUUUUGUGUGGUGGAGUCACGUCAUCAGCAUCCUAAACCAUGAAAUGGUUAAAUGUUGCAGGUUAGAUGGGUUAGCUUUGGACUACUUAUAGGCUAUAGGAUAGUGGAGAAGUGGAGAAAAUGUCAUAUCCCCAAUCAUUAUCCCUAAAUUGUUAGCUACUUAUAGCAUAUCAAAAUACUGAACAUUACCACCCAGUCGGUGGAGAAAAAAAAUAAAAAAAAGGGAAAAAAAAAUCCAUAAAAAAAUGUGUUGAGGGGGAAAAAAAUCCAUAAAAACUUAUUACUAUAUAUUUAAACGUUUGUGAUAUAUAUAAUUAGAAUCAAGGAUAAAAAUAUCAAUAAUUAUAUAUAUAUCGCUACUGUGAUUUUAGGGAUAUAUCAGAAAUAUUAGAGAAAUAUCAAUGAAUAUUUUUUCACAAAUAUCGGUCGAGCGAAAAUUAUUUAACAUUCAUAGGAAUGAUUGGAAAAACUGUAAAAAUGAUAAAAUAAGCAAGAAUACACAUUUUAAAAUUAUUUUGUAAGUAUAAUUGACAUAGAUAUGAUAAAAAGAAAAAAACAUAGAUAAACAAACAUAUAUUGGUAUAUUCGAUAUUUCAAUUUUAAGAAUAAUAAAUAUGCAUUUUGGAAAUGAAUAAAGUUAGAAUUGAGUUAAAAAAAUAUUUGUUUUUAUUGAAUAAAAAUAAUUUAUACAUAUGAUAUUGCAAUAGGAGUUAGUAUCAAAAUAAAGAUCGAUAUGGUUCUAUCAUAUUAUUAGAUGAAGGGAGCCUAUCUUGUUGAAGACAAUAUUUAUUUUCAAAAUUUUAAAAUACUUUUAUUAUAACAUGUUUUAUUACAUUUUAAAUGAAAAAUGAAAUUAAUUUAUAUAAAAUAUUUUAUUUGAGAUUUAAUUUCUAUAAUUUUAUUAAAAAUAUGUUAUAACAAAUUUUUUUAUUAACAUUAAUUUAUUUAAAUAAUUAAAAUUAUUAAUAAUUUAUCUUAUGAAAUUAAUUUUAAUUUCUAAAAUAUGGCCCAUAGAAAGCCAAAUUUCUGAUUUCAUCAAGAUGGAUAAUUAAUAUAUAUUUUUAUUGAGGGAGGAAAAUUGUUCUCAUAAUUUGUUUCCUUGUUUUUCUAUUUGUACUAAAUCUAAAAAUCAAAAGGCCUCACUUCCUUUGACUCGGCCAUGAAGAAGCCAUUUCUCCAGUUGCCUUCCACAAGAGAGAAUCCCUAAAAAGGCCAUUUUUUCCUCUGCCACUCUCUUUCAACGCAAGUACUAAUCUGAUAUGGUUACUAUUACUAUUAUUAUUAUUGCAAUCCCCAUUUGAUUCCCACAAAAACUCUUUCCCCCAUUCCAUUUCUGGGAAGAUUCUUCCCCGGUUGAUUUCGGAGACAAUCCAUGCAAAACCCCCAUGGAAAACCAUAAAAAAAAAUGUUCUUUUUCUUUGUUCCGUGUGGUUUCUGGAUGUGUUGUAAGGGUGUCUUAGCUUUUGUACCAUUGGAUUUAAAUUUUAUGAACCCUAACUCCACGAUUUUUUGGGCAGGUUGAAAAACUCAACCUUUGCCUGCAAAUCAUGGUCAUAUUAUCGAAUAGCAUCUUAUGUUUUUUUUUUUUUUAAAAAAAACGGAUAGAUUUUGUAUCCUGUACGUGGGUUGGACUGGUAGGAAAUAUCGGUCAAUUUUCUGAAAAAUCGUAAAAAUACCGAUUAAUACCGAAAUAUCGGAUAAAUUUUUGAAAAAUUACCGAAAUUUCUGUGGACCAAUAAUUGGUUACGAAUUUUGUGUUGGAGUCGGUAUCUUUCAUCAUCCACAUGGGUAUGGAAUUGUUCCAUUUUUGGGACAAGGAGCUUAACUAAAGUUGGUGAAGUGGAGACAAAGCAGGAAGAUGGGAGGAAACUAUUCCUUUAUUUAUUAUUAUAAUUAUUAAUUGUUAAUUAUUAUAAUUAUUGAAAUGGUCGUCACUUUUUGAUUUUAUUGACUUAGAUGGAAGUGGAACCUCCAUAUGGCCAUAUAGGUUGGUGGUUGGCCCUUUAGUUUUUUUAUUUUCUUUUCUCCACCUAGUGUACUAGGAUUAGAUUAGGCAUCCUUUUGGAACUCUUAUAUAAAUUUUCAAGGAUAUUUCCCAUCGAAAUAGUAUUUUAUUAAUAAUUAUUAUGAAAGCAAUGACAAAAAAAUUUAUUAAAAAAAUAUGACAAAUUUUAUGGUAAAAUUAUUUAUUAAUCAAAAAUAGUUUCUAUGAAAAAGAUAAACAUGAAAUAUGAAAAUUCUAAAAUUAUUGAAAGAAAAAGAUUAUAAAAUAAAUAUCAUAAAUAAAUUAAAAUGGAUAUUUUAUAAUUCUAAUUUAUUUAUUACAAAAUUCAUUAUAAAAUAUUUUAUUGCUAUGUAAUAAUGGUCCACAAUUUUCAACCCAUUGUAGAAAUAAAGCAAAGCUUUCUCAAAUUGCAUUGGUACGUAAUGAUGAUCCUAUUUUUUUAGCCAAAAAGUAGAACAAGAAACAUGAAACCUGAUGAGAAAAAAAAAACAAACAAGGAGAAAAAGAACUAAGAGUUUUAAUGGAGAUUGAUGUUCUAUUUGUUGUUUAAAAGUUCAUCUCCUUGUACCAAAAAUGCAGGUCCUCCUAGGUUAGCUUUUGAAUUUCUCAAUCACUAGAGGACAAUUUCAAGGGACAAGUCUUGUUAAGGUAAUUUUUUACUCUCCCCGGUUUCUCUCUCUCUAUACUUUCCAAUGAAACUCUAACUUGUCAAUACUUCAUUUUUUUAUAAAGGAAAUUGAGCAUAAAUAAUCAAACUUGCAAUUGAGUUAUUUGAUGGUUAGUAGAUUUGGUCUAGUGGGUGGGUUUACUUUUAAUUUAAUUUGAUUCCAUUGAAUGUGACGUUGAUGACUUUAUAUUUUGAGUAUUAACUUUUGUUUGUUUGUUGCCAAGUGUAAUUAAAUUUCUCUACUCAUAAGUUUUCAAGUAAAUAUAUUUCUUUUUUCCUCUACUAGGCAAAUAGCAAAUAUGUUAAAGGAAUUAAAUGUAUUUCAUUUUAAUGUGUUUAGGAUACUUAGAUAGGAUUUAAAUAAGUUCAUGCAUGAAACAUUAGACUUCCCGUUCUAGCAUCCUUGUAUGAAAAAAAUUUCUCUUAUUACAUGCUAAGGACAUUUAAGUUGUCAAAGAAUGAAAAUGGUUCAUUGAUGAACAACUUUGAAGUUGACAACUUCUAAAUUUGUCUAGCAUGUGAAUGAGACUAUUUUUUUCUACAAAUGAUGCUUGAAGUGUCCAAUUGGACAAUAUAAGGAAAACAUAAUAUCUUUGAAGUUACGCUCUUAUGCUUGGUUCAUUUUUUAGAAAUUUCGAUAGUCGUUCCUUUUGUUCUCUAAGUGCAUAUUUGGACAAGGCUGAAUAAUAUGCCUUCUCCAUUUUGUGUACUUGGAGAACUAUAGGGAAAUGCUGUCGAAAUUUUUCUAAAAUGAAACGAAACAUAAUAGUUGUUGACAUGUAGGGAUUAUGUAUUCCUAUAUGGGAUAGGAACCACCACCUAAACUAGGAAGUUGGAGAUGUUAGAAUGCAUAAGACAUGUAGUAUAAGUUGAUAUUAGUUUAACAAGAUAGAAUCAUGAGAGUUAAUUAUGUUUCUUGGUUUAAUAUUUUGAUAUAUAAUUUUAUUUUAAUUUUACAGAAAUAUGCAUAAUAAAUUAUCUUUGACGAUUCGAGAGUGAAUAAAGACUUAAACAAAUGUAAGAUAUAUUUAUUUCUCAUUUGCAUGGUAGGACAUCAACUAGAUAGGAUCAUAAUUCUAUAAGAGAACCACAUUUAUUACUUUGGUUCAAUACGUAAUGAAAUUAAAUGUAUUUAAUAAGAUGAAAUAUCAUGAAGUAAUAGAAAUUUUAAAUUGAUAAUUUGUGGCAUUAACUACAAUGACAUGAAUUGAAUAAGACAAUUUUUAUAAUUAACCACCCCACUUUCAUAUACUUGUAGACAACAUGGAUAUAUUACAUGAUGAAUCCUUUUGAUAUAUGAUACAACAUUAACAUUUCAAAAGUGUUAAAACAAUUGCUUUUGUAGACAAAAAAAAAAAAAAAAAAAGGUCUAAUGCAUGGAGCAAGAGCCCUUACUCUUAACAAGUUGAUUCUAAUGUUAAAAUUCCUCAUGAUUAAUUCAUUGUGUAUUUGAAUCAUAGAAUGGAUCGAAGUUGGAUGUCUAAAGAUAGAAUGUCAAGGGAGUACGAGGAAGGAGUUGAAUACUUCAUUAAUUUUGCAUUAGAACAUUGUCCCAAUCAACGUGGAAUUCGUUGUCGUUGUAUGCGAUGUGGAAACUUAAUACAUCAUACACCUAACAAGACGGGAACAUAUGUUUUUCAAUGGAAUUGACCAGAGUUAUUAUACAUGGUAUUGGCAUGGAGAAGCAGGUCUUACUAGUAGCCAACCAACUGAAAUGGCACAACGUUAUGACACGAUGGAUUGUGGUGACGUUGCUAGUACAGUAGAAAUGGUUCAUGCUAUAGAAGAUGAGUUUAUGACAGACCCAAUGUCAUUUAAAAAAUUGCUUGAAGAUGCUGAAAAACCUUUGUAUCCUAGUUGUAUAAAGUUCACAAAACUUUCUGCACUAGUUAAAUUGUACAAUGUGAAGGCACGGUAUGGGUGGUCAGAUAAAAGCUUUUCAGAUUUACUCCAAAUAUUAGGGGAUAUGCUCCUGGUCAACAAUGAGAUGCCUUUAUCCAUGUAUGAGGCAAAGAAAACAUUGAAUGCAUUAGGGAUGGAAUACAAAAAGAUACAUGCAUGCCCAAAUGAUUGCAUACUAUACAGGAAUGAGUUAAAUAAAGCAUCUUCAUGUCCUACUUGUGGAACGUCAAGGUGGAAGGUAAACAAGGCAGGGGCAAGAAACACUAAGAGGAUUCUUGCAAAAGUGUUGUGGUAUUUCCCACCCAUCCCUAGGUUUAAGAGGAUGUUUCAAUCUCCCAAAAUAGCGAAAGACCUAAAAUGGCAUGCACAAGGAAGAGAAAAUAAUGGUAAACUUCGACACCCAGUGGAUUCCCCAACAUGGCAACUAGUGAACCAAAUGUGGCCUGAAUUUGCUUCGGAUUGUAGGAACCUUAGACUUGCCAUUUCAGCAGAUGGUAUCAAUCCUCAUAGCUCCAUGACCAGUAGGCAUAGUUGUUGGCUUGUUCUCACAAUAACUUACAACCUUCCCCCUUGGUUAUGCAUGAAGAGGAAAUUUAUGAUGUUAUCUUUACUAAUAUCAGGACCACGACAACCUGGUAAGGAUAUCGAUGUUUAUUUGGCACCAUUAGUUGAUGAUUUGAAAACAUUGUGGGAUGUAGGGGUGAAAGCCUAUGAUGCACAUCAACAAGAGUUCUUCACAUUAAAUGCUAUUUUGUUAUGGACGAUUAAUGAUUUCCCUGCAUAUGGAAACUUGUCUGGUUGCACCGUUAAGGGAUAUUAUGCUUGUCUAAUAUGUGGUGAAGAAACAAAUUCACAUUGGCUAAAACAUGGGAAUAAGAACUCAUACACCGGGCAUAGAAGAUUUCUUCCAUGCAACCAUCCAUUUAGAAAGCAAAAGAAGGCAUUUAAUGGUGAACAAGAGUUUAGGUUACCUCCAAAAGAACUUACUGGAGAUGAAAUAUUUACAAAGGUUGAUAUGAUUCAUAACUCAUGGGGGAAAAAAAAAGGCUAAACAAUGUGAAUCCUUUGCUAAUCCGACAAGUUGCUGGAAAAAGAAGUCUAUAUUUUUUGAACUUGAAUAUUGGAGAUAUUUUUAUAUCCGACACAACUUGGAUGUCAUGCAUAUAGAGAAGAAUGUUUGCGAGAGCAUCAUUGGAACUUUGCUUAACAUUCCAGGUAAAACAAAGGAUGGAGUAAAGUCUCGACUUGAUUUUCUCGAAAUGGGCUUAAGGCCUAACUUAGCACCAAGGUUUGGGUUGAAGCGAACUUAUCUUCCUCCUGCAUGCUAUACUCUUAGUAGAAAGAAGAAGAAAAUACUAUUACAGACUUUAGCUGAUUUGAAGGUUCCAGAAGGUUAUUGUUCAAACUUUAGAAACCUUGUGUCCAUGGAAGAGCUAAAGCUUAAUGGUCUUAAGUCCCAUGAUUAUCAUGCACUUAUGCAACAACUACUACCAGUAGCAAUAAGAUCCGUGUUGCCUAAGCAUGUCAGAUAUGCCAUUACAAGAUUGUGUUUUUUCUUUAAUGCGCUUUGUGCAAAGGUGGUGGACGUGUCAAGAUUGAAUGAUAUACAACAGGACAUAGUGGUGACUUUGUGCUUGCUAGAGAAAUAUUUUCCACCUUCCAUCUUUGACAUCAUGCUUCAUUUAACAGUGCAUUUGGUAAGAGAGGUUAGAUUAUGUGGACCAGUGUAUAUGAGAUGGAUGUACCCAUUUGAAAGGUACAUGAAAGUCCUCAAGGGUUAUGUUCGAAAUCAUAAUCGUCUAGAAGGGUGCAUUGCUGAGUGCUAUAUCGCAGAGGAAGCCUUAGAGUUUUGUACAGAGUAUUUAUCGUGCAUGGAUGCAAUUGGGAUUUCUUCUAGUGUGAAAGAUGAAUGGAAAUGUGGGAAACCAUUACUUGGUGGUCGUGCAAUAACUAUUCAUGAUUACAAAUUGGUGGAGCAACCACAUCAUUAUGUUCUACAAAAUACAACCAUUGUACAACCGUUUAUUGAGUAAGUGUCAUAUAUGUGAAUAUUUGAUUUUAAAAUUCUAACUAAUGUUUAUACAAACCAUGACUUGCCUAUUUUUGCUUGAUAGUGAACAUAUGAAAUAUUUGAAGACAAAAUAUCCUCGUCAAUCAAAGAGAGUGAAGUGGCUAGAGGAUGAACAUGUGCGCACAUUUAGUUAUUGGCUUAGAAAAAAGGUAUGAAACUAUUCAUACUCCCCUUAAAAUUUAAUGCUUACAAAAUUUAAAUUACAUUAACUUACAUAUCAUUAAUGAACCUUAUAGGUUUCAGAUGACAUAAGUAAGAAAGAACCUAUUGAAAAGGAACUUAAGUGGCUUGCACAAGGACCAAGACAACAAGUUCUUACGUACCUUGGAUAUAUCAUUCAUGGUUGUCGUUACCACAUCAAGAACCAUGAUGAGGCACGAGUCAACCAAAAUAGUGGUGUUAGUAUUGUGGCAUCGACCAUGCAAAUUGCAAGUUCCAAAGAUAAGAAUCCUGUGCUUGGUGACAUGUGUUUUUAUGGGAUUAUCACAGAGAUAUGGGACCUUGAUUAUAACAUGUUUAACAUUUGUGUUUUUAAGUGUGAUUGGGUUGAUAGCAAGAAUGGUGUCAAAGUUGAUGAGCUUGGUUUUACAUUAGUUGAUUUGAGCAAGAUAGGACAUAAAUCAGAUCCUUUCAUUUUGGCAAUGCAAGCCCAACAAGUUUUUUAUGUAGAAGAUCAAGUUGAUCCAAGAUGGUCUAUUGUAUUAUCAAGGCCAAAAAUGGAGUUGUUUGACAUAGAAGGUGAUGACAACAUAGCCGACAAUUGUAUGGAGCAUCACCCAUUCGCGAAUGGGAUGCCUAAUAUUAAGUCUUUUGAUGAAGUUGAAGAUUAUGAUGAAAUUUGUAUGCGUACUGAUUGUGAGGGGAUUUGGAUUGAAAAUUAAGCUUAAUACUUUUUUUUGGUUGUGAUUGUGAUUACUAAGUGUAUUAUGUGAUUUUUGAGUUAUUGUUAAUAUACAAUAUGAUGCUCAACAAUGUUAUGUUUUUAUUUUAUUCUUGUCAAAUAUAUUUUUAUUAUUAUAUACUUGCUAAGCUAUUCUAAAUAAAUGUAGUUAGCAUCAUAUUUAUAUAUUUUGAAUAGUUUGAACUUUCAUUUGAGCUUAAUUGAUAUGUAGUUAAAUAAAUGUUGCUUAUAUGUUGAUAUUGUAUGUUUAAUUUAAGAUUAGACAAGAUAAAGCCAUUACUCACUUAUUUCAUAUUGAUUCAACUUUUAAAUAAUUUAAGGGGUAAUUGCAUUGAAGGUUUCCAUAGAUUUGAAUUAAAAACUUUAAAUCAAAGUGUUAAACUACGUACUAUGCAAAACAAAGCAAAAGGUUUUAUGGGAAGAUAGAUUGAAUCCACCAACCCAUAAUGAACCGGUUUGAAACAUUAAUAAAUAACAUAUAUGAAUUAACUGUAAACAUAAUAACAACCUACCUUAUAUGAAGUUGAUCUUCGUUAGGAGUCAUCUAACAAUGGAAAAAUAUGUUUUAAUUGAUAGUUGAAUAUUCUUAUUUCCAACUGAAAUGGUGUAUGAAUACCAUAAUUUUUAUUUUCUUGCUCUUUCCUUUGUUUUAGGUCACUUGUUUAUGCUAGAGAACAAAACUUUUGAGAGAUAAUUGAUCAAGUUGCAAUUUUUGUGUAAUUGAAUAACAUUAGUUUUAAAAAAUUCAAAUAAAGUUUCAUUAAUGUGAAUUUGGUGGAUUUUUUACUUUAUGUGAAUUUAGAGAAAAUCUUCUUCAAUUUAUUUUACUUCAACGAAUGUAGUCUUUGGUUUGUUAUUGUUAACUAUUAGUGACAUUACUCCAUCCUCAAUAUUGUGUAAGUGAAGCCAUGUAUCCUAGAAUCAUUAAAGUUAAGGCAACCACAUCUCAUUACAUAUGAUUAAUACUUAUAUGCUUAAUAGUAGGAAAAUCAAACACCUUGCAAUGCAUCCUCAACCCACACUUUUAAACUUCAUUUUAUGAGUAUUGCAUCCUAACUAGAAACAUGCAUUCCAAUUAGGACCUUAUAACAGUAGUGACUAAAAUAGAUGUAAUUUAACUAAGCUAUAAGUAGAAUGUGUGUGUGUGUGUGUGUGUUUAUAAGAUAAGUCAUGGUAAUUUUCUUUAAACUCGAUGAUAUGUUGUUGUUGAGGUUUAGCAAUAGAUUAGCCUAUUAAUUUUAUGCAUAUUUUAUAAUCAACAUUUAAGAUUAAUUUUCAUGUAUUGCAAAGUUUGUACAACAAUGAUUUAUUCAUACUUAUGAAAUCAUUUCGUAACUAAUUUCUUUCGAUUUAGUUGAGAUGCAUUUUCAAGUGUUGUUUAUUAUUGCCUAAUUCUGAAUUAUUUGGGAACUUGGGAGAAAAGUGCUACAUUUUUACGGAUGGCUCCACCAAGAAGAGAUAAAAAGCAGGUAACUAUUAAAAUAUCAUGUUUUACUUUUGAAUGUAAGAUAUAUAUAUAUAUGUAUGUAUGUAUUAUGAGAUUAAUCAUAUUCUUUUGAUUGUCAUGUAGAUGGAUGAAAAGGAAGGAAAACAGAAGAUUACUUCACCAAAAAGGUUAAGAGGCCCAACUUUAAAACCUGAAAUUGCUAAAAAGAGAAGUGAAAGACUGAAAAUUGACAUUCAAUAUAAUGAUGAUGGUGAGGGAGUGGGUGAGGGAUAUGUACAACUUGUAUCAUACAUGGGUGUGUUAGCACGAACCAUGGUGCCAGUUUAUCAUACUGAUUGGAGAGUAGUGUCUGUGGAAUUGAAGGAGAAAUUAUGGGAUUGCGUUAAGGUAUAUAGAAAUCUAUUGAAAUUAUUUUUCUAUAUUUUGUGUAGACUGACAUGAUUAUUAAAUAAUCAAUAUCUUCUUAUAAAGUAUGUAGUAAUCUAAUGAAAUUAUUUUCCUUUAUUUUGUGUAAAUAAUCAAGAUCUUAUAUUUUAGGGUGCAUUCUUGGUUGAUGAGAAUAGAAAAAACAACGUCAUAUCAUCCAUUGGGACUAGCUUUAGGUCAUUCAGGCAUAGAUUGACACAAGAGUAUAUCCUGCUUUAUAAGGAUAAGCCCGAGUAUCUUUUGCAGCCACCAACUGAAUAUAAUUACAUUCCAAUUGAAGACUGGAGAAAGUUAGUGGCUAAUAGGUUGUCAAAAGAGUUUCAAGUUAAAUCAAAAAAAGGAAAAGAAAGGAGGGCAAAAUACGUUUAUAUUCAUCGAGUGAGUAGGAAAGGAUAUGCAGGACUUCAAGAAGAAUUGGUAAGUUGAAUUAGUAUAUUUUAUUUUGUUGGACAUUUACUUUUGUAAAGUUUAAGUACUUCACUUUUUUGUUUUUUGAUAGAUGCAAAAGACAGGUUCGAGGAAACCUAUUGAUAGAUGGGUCUUGUGGAAGCUAACAAGAUUGAAAAAAGGUGAAUAUGAUGAAGUUACGAGGCCUGUAGUGGAAAAGAUUGUAAGUUGUCAAACCUAUACUUAGUUUUAGUCAAUUUCAUUUGUUUUUAUUUAUUUAAUAUGACUUUUGAAGUAUCUUAUAUUUUUUUGGAGGAUGAGUUGACAAAGGCUGUUGAGGAAGGAAAGAUCACAUGUGUUGGCCAAAAGGAUAUCCUUACUUUAGCAUUGGGUACAUUAGAGCAUCCUGGACGGGUUAGAGGAAAAGGUGGAAAAAAAAAGCCCAAACAAUUCUUCAACACACCAAAACCCACAAAAACUCUUGAAAAGGAGGAAUGUCAAAGGAUGUUAAUGGAGAAAGUCAAGAGCUUGGAAGAGGAGAUCAUUGCUUUGAAAGCUGGAAAAAAAGAACCCCUCACACCCCGCUCUGAAGUGAGCAGCACAAACAUAAGGAAACAAUUGUUGCAACAUGAAGAAAUAGGAGGGAAGACUCAUGAUAGUGCUCAUGUGGAGAACCUAUCAGCACAAGGGACUCGAAAAGCUUCUCCACUAACUCAGGUAUAUAUGCCUUUUUCUAAGUUAAAUUUAUAAAAACAAUAUAUAAAAUAACUAUAAUGAAAGACUAAGGAUUACAAAAUAUGUUUUUACAGGUUUAUAAAUGCAAAUUAGCUCUUGAAACUGAAGAUAACAUUGUUGCAUAUGGAACUUAUUUACGAGAUUCACAGAUUUCCAUUGAUGGUGCUGAUAUAUUAGUGGUCAUCCUUUACCCUCUUCAACCUAAUGCACUUCUUCCAUUCCCACUUUCUGAAAACAUUAGGACAAUAAGGGAGGGUGUUGGAUAUGAGGUUUUGUGGCCUAUUGCAUUUGUGAUAAAUGAUGAUGAUGAGGUGAAUAACGUUAUACCCAAACUUUCAAAGUUGAGUUAUAUUUUCCUACACUCUUGGUUUCUUUAUUAAUCAUUUUAAUGUCAUGCAUCUAUUUAUGUGUUUAGGAUGUUGGCAAGAGGAAGAAUAAAAUGAAGAAGAUACAAGCAUCCCCAAAGAAAAUCAAAUAUGAGAAUCCUAGAGAUGUACAACUAUUUUCUAAAACAGUUUCAACAAUGUUGGAGGGUAAAUCGGCACCCAAAGUUGACUUUCCAAUCAAUGUUUUUGGGAUGAAAUUUCAAACUUUCCUCUUGACAAGUGAAAUGAAUGAUGUAAUUUCUGCAAAAGAGUUGACUAUGAAUUGCAUAUGUUUCUAUAUUUGGUGAGAUUUUGUUGUAAAUCUUUAUGUUACAUUCAUGAUAUAAAUAAGUAGAAGCUGUUUUUUUGUUAAGUAAUUUUAAAUUGGGUGAUAUUUCAUUAGGCGGUUGCAUGAACAUCUGGAUGAGACACUACAGGAGAAAAUUAUAUUUAUUCAUCCAGGAAUGGUGUCCAAGGCUGGAACAAUAGCCCCACAAAUUGAAAAAAGAGCAAGGUUCAUUGUUGAUCGCCUAAUUGACUCCAAAUUGGCAGACUUGGUUUUUCUUCCAUAUAACCCAAGGUAAGUUGUUAAUCAUAAUUGUUUUUAAUUUCUUAGCCUUAUAAAUGCUAUUUAUCUAAAUUAUAUGUUAAUAUAUUGUAGGUUUCAUUGGGUUUUGGUUGUAAUUGACCUCAAAUCACAAAUAGUCUACUAUUUAGACUCGCAAUUGCAACAACCAUACCAAGAUAUAAAAGAUAUUGUGAACAUGUAAGCCUACCAUAAUUUUAGUUUUCAUAUCUCAAAACGAACACUAAUGUAAUCUUAUUUUUUGUAGGGGGUUUCGAAUUUUUGUAUCUCAAAAGAAGAAAGGAUCUAAAAAAGAGCUCAAGUGGAUGGUUGUUGAGGUUACAUUUUUUUUUUUCUCCUAAACUUUUUGAAGACUUACCUACAUUUAAGUUGCUUUCUUGAAUGAAAAUUUACUUGAUUUUUGAAAUGUAAAGAUUCUAUAUGGCUUUCUCUCACAUGAAUAUAUACAUAUAUAUAUAUAUAUAUAUAUAUAUAUAUAUAUAUAUAUAUGAAUUUUCUUAGUUUAUAAUUGUUUUUGUUAUUAUUUCCUAUUUCUAACUUGAGUUGAGAAGGAUGCCAUAUAUGUUUGUUUCACUACCUUACGAAAAUAUAAUCUAAAAUGCUAUGAAUACAAUGUACUCAUAUGUCCAUUAUUCCACUAUUAAUUAAUGAAGUAGUACUAAAAAAGAACAAACCCAUUUUUUCAUGUGAUUGAAAGAUUUAUGAUCCAUUUUUACCUUCUACAAUUAAUAUUUCAAGAAAUAGUAAUAGAAACUAGAAGAAAAAUAGUAAAAUUUUUGUUAAAAAUGCAUGACUAGAAGACUUUUUUCAAUUGUAUUAUGAUGUGGAAGAUCAAACCUUAGAAAAUUCAAGCAUAAAAAAAAUUAAUAUAUACAUAAUUAGUCAAUUUGAAAUGUUGGUCAUAGGAAGAACAAUUAUUAAAUUUUGAUCACUAUAUCCAUAGCAUUUACAAUCCUUUAGAACAAUUUAGAUGUAUGUGUGGGUAAGGAAGCAAUGGGGAUCCUUUAGAUAGCUUUGAUCAUGUUACUUAGGUGUGAGUUGUUCUUUAUAUCUUUCUUUUAACCUUAGUAUGUCUUAUAUACAUCCUAUAUUUAGUUUAGAUGUUUCUUGUAAGGCACAACCUCUCUCUUUCUCUUUCUCUCUUUAAUCAAAACUCUUUACUCUUUUAUCCAUCUUCAAUCAAAUUGUUCAUAUGUAAAACAUUUAUUCCUUAUAAUUACUAAUUGCAUUUCUCUUCUAUAAUGUCAAUCUAUGAGAUGUAAAAUGAGGUUAAUACUACAUAUUUCCAAAUAUAUUAUCGAUAAUUGCUCUUGAAGCUUGAUUGAUUUACCUUAAUGAAGUCUUCAAAGUCAUGAUCUUUUCUAAGGGAUAUUCUCACAUAGACAAAAGUUAACUAUUAUAUUUUUUUAAAGUUAAUCACUAUUCUUAAUAAAUAUAAUUGAUCAUUACCUUUAUCUAUUCAUUUUUUUUUCUCCAUAUUUCACAUAUACAUGUUAUUGUACAUUCUUAUAUUUUACCUAAUUUAACCCUCCAAGUUGUAAACAUGGGAGCUUAAGGUAUUAUGCUAGACAUGUAUUGAGUAUAAUUUAGGUGCAAAUUUUACUUGAAACUAACAUUAUGUCAUUCAUUCUUUUUUUAAAUUUAAAAUGUGAAUGAUGAAAAAAUUGACCAAAUUUAUAUGAUGUCAUAUUUGAUUGUGAAAUUUUGUUGCUAUAAUUUUGCUCAUAGAGGCCCAAACAGUUGGAUGGUGUCAUGUGCUGAUAUUUUGUCAUGCGAUACAUGCAAGACAUAAUUGCAAAUAGAAGUCUCUUAACAUCUCAGGUUUAUCUGCCUAUGUAUUUUCAUAAGCACAUGAGAACUUAUACAUAUAUUUAAUGUUUCACAAUAACAUAUUUUCUCUUGUCAUAUAUUUUAGUUUGAAGGAAAAAAACCUAUUCACGAGCUAAGUUAGAUGAAGUGAGAUCUGAAUGGGUCUCAUUUUUUAGCACUCUUAUCUUAGACCAAGUAUAGUGGGUAUGUUAAUUUAUAAUUUUUUCAUAAAAUUUCAGACAUAGAUUUCAAUUAAUGUUGCAUCUUUUCUCUUUGCAAGGUUUCGGGUGACAUUUGCAGUUGUUGCAAUUUUGAGAUGACAAGAUCAUAUGUAAGAUCUUAUUGUCAUGCAUAGAUGCUGAAGUUUUGGAUACUUUUGGGUACAUACCUAUAUCUUUUAAAAGAUACAUUUGAUGAAAGUACUAAUUCAUGUUUUUUUUUUAUUAUGUAUGUUUGUUGGAUUCUUUUCGCAUAAAUUUUGGUACAUGUUAAUAUCAUUUUAGUAAAAUUUCAAAUAUAGACUUAAAGUAAUGUUUUUUUUUUUUUUUUUUUACUUGCAAGAGGUUGGGUGGCAUUUGUAGCACUUGCAAUUUUUAGAGUAUAAAAUCAUGUAUAAAUUCUUGUUAUCAUGCAUAAUUAUUUAAUUUUUGGUUCUUUUUUAGUAAAUAUCUUAUAUAUAUAUAUAUAUAUAUAUAUUUGAUAAUAGUAUAAGAUCAUGUAUACUUGUUAGGUUGUUUGUGGAUACAUUUUGAUAUAUUUAGGAUACAUAUUUAUAUCUUUUUAAUGAACUUUCAAACACAAAUAUAAAAUAAUGUUGUUUUUUUUCAUACUUGCAAAAAAUUAGGUGACAUGUUUAAUAUACAUUGGAUGUAGAUUUUAUGAAUAAAAAAUGAUACAUAAUCUAUCUAAAGCAGAUUUUACUUGGCUGUCUUAGUAAUGCUACAAAAUGAGUUUAAGCUUGCCUUUUGUUAAUCUUGCAGGUUCAUAGAAAUGUUAUCCAACAUAAAGGAAAGUGCCACUCUUCCUCUCCAUUGAAAUGGUGUUCACCAUGGAAGGAAAACUCCUCUCAUCAAUUAGUUUUUGGUUUGCCAAUGCCAUAACAAGUUAAGGUUAGCUCCUUGCUAGUGAUUAAAUUUGAGAUUUCAAAAUUUUCAAAGAUCGUAUCAACUUGAAUUUGGUUUAGGAGUUGAAUGUCUUAGUCCUACAUGGUAUGCAUUUUAAAUAACACAUCUUGUCUUUCAUUUCACAUCCAUGGAUUUGAGAUUGUAAACAUGUUAUCAAAAUCUAAAGCUGCAGUCCUAGAAGUUGUCCCAAACAACAAAGGGCACUCACAACCAAGUAAGUUGAAGAAUAAUCUUUCAAUGCAUUUCUUUUUGGUUAUUAAUGUGUUGUAGUACAAAUUAAGGUCAUAAGAUAAGUACAUUAUGAAUUUUGUAUAUACAAACAAUGGUCUUUGCUGAUCUGAUAAGAUGUCUUAUUUGUUGCACACCAUCAUGUUAUUACUACAGAUCAUUCUUCUUCUUUGUUAUAAUAAAAUAGGAUCUCUUUCAAAGAUGGAAAGGUCAAUUCACCUCGAAACUUUCUUGCUAGUACCCACUUCGAGGUUGUUCAUAAAAAUCAAAUGACUCUCUUCAAUCCCCCAUUUGUAUAUGGUUUUCUCACCUUUUGGACUUCAACUGCUUCUCAAGUGCCAUCUUCUAAGUCAUAUAUCAAGCAAUCUAAAUCAGGAACAUACCUUGAUUCCUUCAUAUGCCCAAUCAAAUUUUCCAGAACUUGAUAUAUCCCCUCUAUUUUGGGGCCCACCUCAUCCCCAACAACAAACUAUAGACAUGAUUUCCUACCUCGACCCAGCAACUACCAGUCUCCUUCUUAUUUCCCAUUUUUUUCAUCAACUUUCUCAGUCUUACAAACUCCCCCACUUACCAUCAACUGCAUAUAUAUUUGAUAGCAUCACAUAAGUCCCUGCCAUAUUAGGCCUCAAAUCCAAUAUCCUGUGAGCAGCUAAUUUUCUGGAAUUGGGAAACCUGUGUGCUUUACAAGCUCCAAGAAAUGGCCCCCAAACGCACUCAUCAGUCUUGAAUGGCAUGCUCUCUAUGAGUUCAUAAGCUUCCUCAACUUUCCCAACACGUCCUAGCAAAUCCACUUCACACCCAUAAAUCUCCUGGUCUAGACUAAUGUUAUAAUCACCCACCAUUAAUUUAAAAUAUCUCAAGCCUUCAUCUACAAGUCCAGCAUGACUGCAAGCACUAAGAAUGCCCAUAAACAAGACUCAGUCAGGCUUAAUAUCUGACCUGACCAUCUUGUCAAACAAUUCAACAACCUCUUCUCCAUACCCAUGAGUCCCAUACCCAAUCAUCAUGGUAGUCCAAGAAACCAAAUCUCUAUGAGACAUACCCCCAAAAACUUGGUGUGAAUAAACAAUAUUUCCACAUUUGGAAUACAUGUCUAUAAGGACAUUAGACAAGGCCAAAUUCCCAUCAAGGCCUCUUCGAAUAAUCCUCCCAUGAAUCUGUUGUCCACAAUUCAAAAAUGCUAAGGUCAUGCAGGCAGCCAUAAUGCUGGUAAAUGUGAAGCUAACUAAGAUAAGAAGAAAUAACAUGUAGGAUAAAUCACUCAAAGAGGGUAUAUCCGAAGUCUCAGAAGAAUUUGACACUGGUCGGAUAAAUUUUAUACUUAAACUGAAUAUAGAAUGUCUACCCACCUGGUUUGAGUGAAGAUCUAAUGUCCCUAAAAGAGAAAGUGCCCCAAUCUCUGCUGGUAGCAAAGACAACACGUUAUUCUUGAAACUUGAAGCCACGACAAUUAGAUGAAUAUCAAAUAUAAAAAGAUUUAAAAUGAAAGAAAAUCUACGUACACCAGACACUCCCAAAUAUCUAAAAUUUUUUGCUACAAGGAAUGAGAAUAUGACCCCAUAUAAAACUCUGCAAGGGAACAACAACCCUUUAUUGAUGCUGGUAUUGAUGAAAUUCCUGCAUAACUCAGAUGCACAUGUUUCAUUAGAAGAGUUGAGAGAAAAUAGUUAAGAUAAAAGAGUAUACUUAAAAACCACUAUUAAUUCCUCUAAAAAUUUACAUACGUACUGGAAAAACCUUGUAGAGACUAGAUUCACUCACUGUUCUGAUGAAAGUCAAGACGAAUGAGACGUGAAAGCCUUCUAAUAUUCUCUGGCAAGCUAGUCAACAAGUUUCUUGCUGUGAAAAUAGCAAGCAAACACAGUUUUGAGAAUACUUUAAGUAUAUUUAAACAAAGAAUCAGAUAUUGGUGGCAUCAGAUAAAGGACUAUUUACAUGUCUCAGUUGGAUUGGAUCUUUCAUAUCCCGCGAUCAAGGUGUUCCAUGUGAUCAAAUCCCUUUGAUUCAUUUCAUAGAAAUAUCUAUUUGCUUCAGAGAAACAACUACACCUGCAAUACAUGUCUAGUAUAGAAUUCAUGACAGGAAGAUUGGAUUCAAACCCAUGUUUAGUCACUGCUGCAUGCAGUUUUGGACUAAUUGAAUCGAGUUUCUCACUAUGAGUGGAAUUGGAUGAAAAUGAGUGGUAGAUAGUAGUCAUGAGUGGAUACAUCUAGUGUUCUAAUCUUAGUUCAGAACUAUGUUUUGGACUAUUUGAUAAUAGUAUAAGAUCAUGUAUACUUGCUGGGUUGUUUGUGGAUACAUUUUGAUAUAUUUAGGAUACAUAUUUAUAUCUUUUUAAUGAACUUUCAAACACAAAUAUAAAAUAAUGUUGUUUUUUUUUCAUACUUGCAAAAGAUUAGGUGACAUGUUUAAUAUACAUUGGAUGUAGAUUUUUUUUCAUUGAAUUUUUAAUAAACUUUAAAAAAUAAAUAUAAAAUAAUGUUACUUUUUUCUUUCUUGCCAAAGGUUAGGUGACAUUUGCAGUGCUGUAGUUUUUAGAGGAGAAGAUCACGCAUAAAUUUUUGUUAUCAUGUACAACUACUUGAUAUUUGGUUAUUUUUGGGUAAAUAUCUAUUCUUUUUUCAUAUAUAUUUGACAAGAUAACAAGAUUUUAUAUAGUUGUUAGGUUGUUUGGGAAUAUAUUUGGAUACAUGUUUAUAUCCUUUUAUUAAUCUUUCAAAUAUAAACAUAUAUUGAUUUUUUUUUCUUACUUGCAGAAGAUUUGGUGGCAUUUGCAGCAAUUACAGCACUUUUGAAGGCACAAGAUCAUGGCUACAUUAUAUUUAUCAUGUAUAACUAUUGGAUUUUUGGGUACAUAUUUGCCUUUUUUUAGAUGUAUGUGAGAUAAUAUAAGAUUAUGCAAGGAUAUUAAGGUUUUUUUUUUUUUUUUUGUCAAUAUAUUUGCCUACAUGUUCAUAUUUUUUUUAAAGUAUAUUUUAUACAUUCAUGUACUUUAUAUAUAUAUAUAUAUAUAUAGACACACACACAACAGGUUCAAUUUUGAUGCAGAUUAUUUGGGUAACAGGUUAGGUUGUUGACAUGUUCCAUAUGCAACCUUGAUAUGAAAUAAAAUAAUUUCCUUUAUAUGAAUAAAGAAAUCUUGACAUAAAAGAAAUUGUAUUCCUUGACAUAAGAAUAAAAGAACCUUAACAUAUUAAAAUUUCAACUUUGAAAAAAAAAAAAUAACAAAAAACAUCCUUGACAUAUGUGUAAAUUAAAUUUAAAAGCAUAUAAAACAACAUUGACAUAUAUCAUACUUAAGCUUAACAUAUAUUGAAUAUAAUCUUGAAAAAACAAUGAGUUAACCUUCACAUAUGUUUAACCUAACCUUGACUAAAGUGGAAGAAACGUUUUAACAUAUGUCAUAUUAAUAAGAUUCCUACAUUGAUAGAAAUAAGGUCUACUUAACAUAUGCAUAUGUCAAGCUAGCUUUUAUCAUUUCUUGACACUGGCAUAGACGACAUAUGUGAAUACUGAUCUACCUUAACAGAUAUACCUUAUCUUGACGAUGAAAAACUGUCAAUGAAGACCUUUUUUCUUGUAGUGAAGGACACCAAUUAGCAAUAAAACACUCAGAAGAUAUUCAAAAAAGAAUUUUAACAAUAACCUCAGAAUUAGGUUCACAACCACCCUUAAAUAAUCAUCAAUUCAAUUUUGAUAAUAAUUCAAUUUUUGCAUCACCCUUCAAAAUUCCAAGAACUAAAGAUGAAUAAAGUCCCAUAAUUUAAAAAGAUAUUAGACAAGUUCAACAACAAUUAAAUUAUACAAAUCAUUCUCUUCAACAUUUAAAUCAACAAACAACAAAAAUUUCUCAAUUUUUGUUUUCUUCUACCCCAAGAGGGAGGAUAGGAGAAACAUCAUCAAAAUUAAAUUUUUCUUCAAAAGUUUCUUCAACUUUAUCAUCAUCAUCAUCAUCAUCAUCUUCUAAGUCUCUAGAUCAACCUUUCAUUAUUCCUAUAAAUGCUGCAAAAUCAAAUAUUCAAUUAGCAACACCAACAGAAACAAUGUUAAAAGAAAUACAACUUAGAUUAGAUAAACUUAAUAUUAAUGGUAUUAAUCAAAAUAAGAAUCAAAUUCAAACUAUAACAAAAGAAAAAUAAGAAAUUAAUAAAAUAGAAGAAUAAUUCAAAAUGUCUCCUGAUUCAAUAGUAAAACCCCUUACAACAGUCAAUGCAAUUUCUAAUAAUUUUGUAAGUAGAAAAAAUUAUUAUUCAAAACCCUCUUUUCCUAAUGUCCAAUUAGAAGAAAGAAAUUAUCAAUUAGCUGCUAGUUAUGAUGGUAGUAGUUUUUAUGAAUGGAAUAUAGAUGGAAUGAGUGAACAUCAAAUAAUCAAUUUGCUUCAUGAAAUGAUGAUGGCUGCUAAUGCUUAUAGAAUCAAGACUAGUAAUUCUGACUUUCAUGCUGUCAGUGCCUUGGUCAUAGGAUUCACUAGUUUGCUUAAAGAUUGGUGGGAUCAUUAUUUGAGUCAAAAUGAUAGAGAAUACAUAUUAAAUGCAAAAAAAGACAAUAAUCAAAGAAGAAGGAACAUCAGUUCAAACUUAUGAAGAAGAUGUUAUCAAUACUUUAAUAUUUGCAAUAACAAAACAUUUUGUAGGAGAUCCAAUCCAUUUUCAAGAACGAACCUCUGAAAUCCUCAACAAUCUUAGAUGUCCAACACUUCAAGAUUUUAAGUGGUAUAAACACAUGUUUUUAGUCAAAGUUAUGUCAAGACCAGAUUGUGGAAGUCAUUCUUGGAAAGAAAAAAUUAUAUCAGGAUUACCCACUUUAUUUGUAGAAAAAGUUAAACAAAGAAUAAGAAAUAUUCACAAUGGUAGAGUUCCUUAUGAGUCAUUAACAUAUGGAGAAUUAAUUACUUUUGUCAAUAAUGAAGGUUUAACACUUUGUACAGAUAUGAAAUUAAAGAGUCAAAUGAAAAAAGAAAAACAAGAUAGUAAAAAAGAAUUAGGAAAAUUUUGUUCAUAUUAUGGUAAUGAUACAAUAGUUGCCCCUUCAAAAAGAAAAAAUAAACAAAAUAAUAUAAAAGGUAAAAAAAACCCUCAAUAGAGUCAAAAUUCCAAAAGAAGUUUGUAAAAUAUACUCCUAAUAAAUCAAAAUCUUCAAAUAAAUCAACUUUAAAAAAGAAAACACCUACAUGUUAUAAAUGUCGAAAAGUAGGUCAUUAUUCAAAAUAUUGUCAAUUAGAAAAUAAGAUCAAUUCAUUAGAAAUAAGUAAUAAACUAAAAAAUUUAAUGAUAGAAUUAAUGAUUGAUAAAGAAAAUGGAGAAUCAAGUGAAAAUUAUAAAUCAGAAGAAGAUAAUUAAAUCUUGAUAACAUAAGAAAUAUCAAGUGAAGAGUCAAGUCUAGAAGAAGAAUCCGAUAAUAAAAAAGAUUGUGACGGUAUUUGUGCAUGCUCAUAUAAAUCAAUAAAUGUGAUUUCAAAAAAUUCAAAAACUUCCUUUAAUUUUCUUAUUCGCAAUUAUGUGCCCCUCAUGAAUUCAAUAUAUUUUCAAUUUUGGUAUGCUAAAGACAAACACAUUAGAUAUCUGCUUUAUGCUUCAAAAGAGGUACUAAAAUCUUAUUUUUCUCUACAAAUGGAGCAAUAACGAAUUAAGUUUGGGAAAUUUACUCUUCCAGUAUUUCCUAAAAGUAAUCUGUCCUUUUGGAUUCAUAAAUAUAUAUAAGGUUUAGACAGAUCACAAAAAUGCAUUUUAGACAACCUCUAGAAUGCAAAAAGUGAUGUUCAAAAGUUAGAAGCUUUAAAUGUUUUAUCUUUUCAUUUUAAAUAGAUAAAUAAUAAUUUAGACAGUUUUUCUAACCCUUCAAGUUCUGAUAUACAUUGCAUCCCUAUAGAUACAGAUCUUGAAAGCUUUAAUUGUAGGAAAAUUGCAAAAGAAUCUAAAGCUACAUUUUCAAAAUCUUUUCAAAAAGAAUUUCAAAAUGAAUUUUCAACACUUUCUGAUGAAAGCCUAGAAUGUCAACUUUCAAGAUUUUCAUUUUUCAAGCAAAAGAUUUUACAUCUUCCUCAAGAAGUUAGAUAGACAAUCAGUCAAAAGGUUCAAGCUACAAGGGAAGCAAAGUAAGAGCAUAUCAUGAAAUUGCUUGUUGACUGUAGCACUUUUGGAAUUAUUAUUCAAGGGAUGAGUUUUACUUGGAUUUCUCACUAUGACAACACUUAUAAUGAUUGUCCAAAAAUUGAUCCCUUGCGUAAGGAAAUUCCAUUAGAAAGGUAUGACUGUAAGUGUGCUCUUACUUACAGUAUUUGCAAAGCCAACAUUGACUUAGACAGUUAUAAGUCAAUAGUCAUCAAAUUCAAUAAUGAGUCAAUAGAGUUAACUCCAUCUCUCCUCAUGGAUUAUGGAGUUCUUUAUCAACUAAUUUUCUCUCAUCCUGAUCAAACUGACAGAUUUGGAAGAAAAUUAGCAGUUUGUAUUUUAAAUGUCUUCAUCAAAGAUUUCAAAUCAGUUGAACUCAUUAUAGAAAGCAAGCCUCUUGAAUGGUCUACUGAUGGAAGAGUUUACUCUACUCAACAUUUCAUACUGCUCAAAGCCAAUCAGAGAAAAUAUCAGUUGUUUGGUAUAGAGAUCCCUUGGCUCUGUACUAAAUUUGGCAUCAAAAAACAAAUCAGACAUUGGAGAUCAAGAAUGAUUGCAAGAGACCUUGAUUUUGAGAUUUAUAGUUCUUCUAACUAUAAUCUCGUUACUGAAGACAAUAUUCAAAAAAUCAUCUUUACAACUAAUUUUCCAAAAGUCCCUCUUUUGUUUCAAACUCAAUUUACUUAUCUUGUUGAUAAGUACAAAAAGGAGUAUGUCUUCGAAAAUGAAGUCCGACAAAAUUUUGAAAAAUAUCUCUUAGAAAUGCUUAGGGAAGAGAUAUCCAAAAUCUUUUGUACAACUGUAUCUUUGUAUAUUUGUGUCUUUGUAUUUAUCUAGUAAAAAAAAAAAAUUGUGAGAAGUAUGUAAAAAAAUGAAUUGUGAAGAAUGUAAAAAAAAAAAAAAAAAAAAUUAUCAUCAUUAUUAUAAACUUCCUCAAUCCUAUUUCUAAUGACUCAAACUAAGAGAUUGAUUACCCUAUGCAUUGUAUUUAGGAACUUAAUUGUAGUAAGGGAAGAGAAACAACUUAUAUUCAUAUGCAUAGUUGGAGGGUCUAAAAAUAUGCCGCUUACUAUAACAUGAUUCAAACAUUUUAGUAAAAUCUGCGUCCAACAAAACAACAAUUCAAUUUCUUUUGUAAAUUUAAAUCAUUAUUUCCAAUUCAAGAAUUUAAGAAAUCAUAUAAUAAAAUAUAAGUAUAAAAAGAUUAAUUGCUAACAAAUAUGUACCUAAAUGGAGAUGGCCUUACAUUAUGUUGCAAUGAAAUUCAUCUUACCUUAUUUUUGUAUGAUGGUUGUUAUUUUGAAACCACAUCACCCUCUGCAAAAGAGUUGAAUUCAUUGUGAUGAUAAUCAUAACACACCAAAAAUACAAUGAAAUAAAAAUAAAUAAAUACAUAAACAAGGAAGAAAAUAAAGGAAAAAUAAUGGGAAGUGAUGUAAGAUAUUUCACCUUUUCAACGAUGAACUCCAUUUGUUUCCAUCUUCCUUUUAAGACGAGCCACAUUCACUGCAGUGAAAACAUAUAGCCUAUCUCUGGUUUCAUCAAUGAACCGAAAAUAUGCCUGCCUCCAAGACUUCUUUAGAGCCAAACUACCACAUACAGCCCAAAAUCCCACCGGAAAGCCCAAUCCCAUGCUUAUGAAGAACCAUGACAUGUCCCAUUCACCUUCAUCUUCCUCCUCAUCUUUGUGAUCUUGAUCAUUUAGAGUGGAGCAGUUGGUUGACAAUGGAGGCCCAUAAAGUCCUGGGUUCGCCUCAUAAAUGGAUGGAUCAUUGAAUGUCGAGAACUGGUUGGUUGUUGGAAUUGGUCCUGACAGGCGGUUAUGCGAUAGGUUCAAAUGGUUCAAUGAGGUUAUAGAAGACGUGCUCGGAGGAAUUGGGCCUGACAGGCAGUUCCAUGAGAGGUCAAGAGUUUCUAGCCCUUGCAUGGCUCCAAUCUUCUCAGGUAUCUUUCCAGUCAACUGGUUUCGGGACAAAUUCAAGGCACCCAGGGUCGAGAGAUUUGUGAUCUCUUUUGGGAUCUCUCCCCAAAUGUUAUUGCUAGAAAGAUCUAUCAAAUUCAAAAUUGGCAAUAUGCUAUCAAAUUCCAUAUUUUGUCCCUUUACAACUAGCUCCAUGCUCUCCGAAUAGGAGCCAUGAGAUUCGAGGUUGUCAAAAUUUCUGUUUAAUAAGGCCACAAAACUUAAAGCAGUUAAAUUGCCUAAGCAUUGUGGGAUGAAUCCUGAUAAAUUGUUCACUGCAAGAUCCAAAAUGUGGAGAUGAGAAAGCCAACACAAUUGCUCAGGAAUAUCUCCCGUCAACAUGUUGCCUCGUAGACGCAUCUGCUCCAGUGAUGGCAUUCUUUCUCCAAUCCAUUUGGGUAUCUCACCCGAAAACCUGUUAUUCCCCAGAUCAAGGGAGGACAGCCCUGUGCAGUUUUGUAAACUUGGAGUGAGUUCCCCAGUAAGAUUGUUGUCACCCAAUAUCAACUGAGUAAGUGAAGAUUUUGAACACAUCCAACUCGGAAUCCCACCAGACAGUUUGUUCUUGGAUAGGUCUAUGGUGUCAAGAUGCUGCAAAUCACUCCAAUUCUUUGGAAUCUUUCCAGAUAAUUGAUUGUUUGAGAGAUCAAUUACUCGCAAAUCCUUUAGUUUACUCAUUGAUGAAGGAAUGCUGCCAUUUAACAAGUUACUAGAAACAUCGAGGACUUCCAAACUUGAUAAGUCCCCGAUGUUCAAGGGAAUUGGACCUGAAAAUGAAUUGUUUCCGAGAAAGAGCCAUGUCGCAUUAAACCAAAGUGGUAAUCGGCCCACCAAGCGGUUGAAGCUUAAAUCCACCAGGACUGAUGCUGGGCUAAAGGAUAAUGAGUUGGGAAGCUUUCCAUACAAUUGGUUUCUAGAAAGAUCUAACCACAAAAAAUAUAGUUUCCAAAGCCAUUCUGGUAUUGUAUCUGAAAUCCCCACAUUUUUUAGGGUUAUGAAGUGAAGUCUUUUUUGAGUUCUAAUCCAGUUAGGGAAUUUGAGAGAUACAUUGCAGUUGGAAAUAUCGAUAGACAUGAGACUGAAGGGAGGAAUCCAUUCAGGUCUCACAUGAAAACGGAAAGACUGCUUUGUGGGUGAUAAGUGUGAAGAGAAAUAUUCCAGUUUUGUAAGAUUACUGAAAUGAAUUUCAGACAUUACCCCUUCCCAAGAAUUCCAAUUAAGAUACAACACAGUCAGCUCUCUAAGUUGUCCGAUACUUUUUGGAAUCGUCCCAUUCAUUAGAUUGUUUGACAAGUCAAGUCUCUUCAUCCGCAGCAAGUUUCCAAUCCAUGUUGGAAUUGGACCUGAGAUGGAGUUUUCCCUCAGAUUAAGACUCUCUAAGUUGGUAAGGUGUUGAAUUGAAUUGGGGAAGGGACCAACAAAACUAUUAUAGCUCAAGUCCAGGGAUUUUAAAUUCUUAAAGAGCCCUAAUGAAUCUGGCAACUGACCACCGAAUCGAUUACCACCCAAGUGUAACCGUUCCAAGGAAUUAUUAGCGCAUGUCGAUAAACCAUUCACCAAUUCAAUUCCUUCACUUCCAAUACUAGCAUCAUUUAAAUAAAGAUCCGUGAGGGUGCUGAUGUUAAACAACCAGCCAGGAAAGGUAGUGCUGAGAUUGUUGUGGGAGAGGUCAAUGACCAAAAGAGAAGUCAAAUUAACAAACGAAAUGGAGUGAGGGAAGUCACCGAGUUCACAAUGGGACAAAUGUAAUUCUAACAAAAAUGGAAGCAUGUUUACAGCUUGCAUCCAAUUUGUGGUUGCUUUACUAAGGUUCACAUUCCCCAGAUCAAGGUAUUUUAAAGAAGAAAGACCAGAAAGCCAAUUCAAAUUAUGAACCCUCAUUAAUGGAGCACGAGAGUAGUAAUCUCCACUAAGAUCAAGAUAACAUAACUGUGACAAAUUUCCAAGAUGGGGAGGAAUCAUUCCACCAAAUGCUGCAUGAGAGAGAUUAAGGUAUCUCAACCUUUCAAAUGAGCCCAAGAAAUUUGGAAUUGGAAUUCCUUGAAAAUCAUUAAAACUUAGGUCCAAGUAAUUUAAAUGUUUCAAGUCAAGUAAGGAAUCACUUAUCUCACCACCCAAACCACCAUAUUUGAGGUCAACCUUGACAACAUGCCCUGUUUGGUUGUUGCAAUCCACACCUUUCCACUUGCAGCAAUCUGCACCAACCCAGGAAGAAAGCGUACGUGAAGGUUCUUUCAGUCCAUUUUUGAAUUCUAGAAGCGCUUUCCGCUCUACCUCAAUGCAGCCCUUGUUCAUACCACCAUCAAUGGAAUUGAUAAUAGUAGCUUGAGCUAGGAGAAGCUCGAGAAACAGAGAAAGGAGAAAAAGAGUAAGAAGUAGAAGGGUGGUUUUCCAACUUGCCAUUUGAUGAAUGCAAAGUUGCAAAGUUAUUAGUGGGUGCUAUAUAAAUAAUUUUGGUCUAAUUUAGUCAACUAUUUUAAGUCUUUUGGCCGCCAUAAAUAUAGAAGAAAUUAUCAAGUUCAAUCACAAUCGGAUCACAUAUCUCUUCCAUCCCUGAGUAAAUUAAUUCAAGACACUAAUUACCAAGUUUUUGGUCCAAAGAAAAAAAGAAUUUUUUUUAUUUCUAAUUUACACUCAUCUAAUUAUUAACUAGAAUAAAAAAUUUCAAUUAAUUAAAAAAAUAAAAUUUAGAUUUUAAUAUUUUUCCCAAAUUAAAAAUUCAAAACUUAAUAAAUUAAUCUCAACUAUGUUAUUCAUAAAUCCCAAGAUAGGUUACAUAAAGAUAAGUUUUAAUUAAGAAAAUUUCUAACAUUUUAUUAACUACUAAGUAUAAUUAGAAAUCCUAAUUAUUAUGUAAUUAUCAAUUUUCUACUAAUUAUAUAAUUAAUUAUUAUGAAAUUUUAUUAUACUAAUAAAUUAUGAUAUUUUGGUAUAUUUUAAAAUAUAUUAAAUUACCAUUUUUAUAUUAUUAAUUUUAAAAUCAAAAUAAAAAAUAUAAUAACUAAUUUUUAGAUAUUUUUAACAUGUGAACAUAAAUAAGUAUAACAUUUUAAACAUUAAUAAAAACAAGCAAUAUAACACUUAAUAAUAUUUAUAUAAUAAUAAGAAAUAAACAACCUAAACACUUAAUCAAUCUACUAAAUUUAAGUCAAAGUUCCGUCUAUUCAAAUAUAUAUAUAUAAAAAAUUAAAUACCAUCUUACACUUAUUAUACAUUACUCAAGCCAUUUAUAUAUGUAAUAAAGAAUUUCAAUAUAUAUAAAUUUUUAAAUAAUUUUCAUGAUAUUUUAUUUUCGUUUAUAGGCUACAAUCAACAUGGAGGAGGAAGCUUCAAGUAGCUUUCUUCAAUUAUUUAAAGUUAGUGACUGUCCAUAGAAGAAAAUUUUGACACGAAACUAAAAAGAAAAACAAUUUUCACACAAGUCUAAAAAUGUCUUUUAGAGAAAAUUAAUACAUCAUGUAUUAAAACAUUAUUUGAAUUUCUCCUCUUCUUGAUUGUUUUCUUAGACAAUGACUUCAAGGACUUUUGUGACAUGUUGAAUGUUGACUGUUGACUAUUGACUAUUGACUAUUGACUUGUCUAUUUGGUGUGAGGUAGGAAAAAAACAAGAAGUUGCAUUUUUUUGAAUGAAAACAUUUAUUUUUUCUAAAUAAAAAAUUCUUUUUUUUAAAUAAAAAAUUUCCUUAUUUAACCAAACCGAUUUUAACCAAUUCAUUGUAGCCUAAUUAGUUAUGUUGACUGUUGUUGACUAUUGACUAUUGACUAAAACAAAGUCCUUGUCAAUUUGGUGUGAGUUAGGAAAAAAAAAGGAAGUUGCAUUUUUUUUUUAAUGAAAACAUUUAAUUUUUCUAAAUAAAAAAUUCUUUUUUUUUUUAAAUAAAGAAAUUUCCUUAUUUAACCAAACCGAUUUUAACCCAUUCAUUGUAGCCUAAUUAGUUCUGUUGACUGUUGACUAUUGACUGAAACAAAGUCCUUAUCAAUUUGGUGUGAGUGAGGAAAAAAAAAGGAAGUUGCAUUUUUUUUAAUGAAAACAUUUAUUUUUUCUAAAUAAAAAAUUCUUUUUUUUUAAAUAAAAAUUUUCCUUAUUUAACCAAAUCGAUUUUAACCCAUUCAUUGUAGCCUAAUUAGUUCUGUUGACUGUUAACUGAAACAAAGUCCUUGUCAAUUUGGUGUGAGUUAGGAAAAAAAAAAGAAGUUGCAUUUUUUUUAAUGAAAACAUUUAUUUUUUCUAAAUAAAAAAUUCUUUUUUUUUUAGGUAAAAAAUUUCCUUAUUUAACCAAACCGAUUUUAACCAAUUCAUUGUAGCCUAAUUAGUUCAGUUUUUCAUUUAAAGACGUUUGGUUUAGCUUGUAAAAAAAAAAAAAAAACACAAGGUUAAAUAAGUGGUAUUUAUUUUUUUGUCUAAAAUCUGAAUGGAAUAUUAUUAAGUAUUUAGGUCAUUUAUUUUUUUUAUUAAUGCUAAAUAUUUUUAAGUGUUAAAUUACUUGUUUUUAGUAAUGUAUAAAGGCUUAAAAUUAUUUAUUUUUACACAUUAAAAUAACUAUAAAAUUAGUUAUUAUUAUUAUUAUUUUAAAAUUAAUAAUUUAAGAAAUAGUAAUUUAAUAUAUUUACAACUAUCUCAAAAUAUUAUAAUUCAUAACCAAAACAAAAAUUAUAUAAUAAUUAAUUAUGUAAUUUAUAGAAAAUUAAUAAUUAGAUAAUUAUUAGGAUUUUUAGUUAUGCUUGGUUGUUAAGAAAAUGAUAAAAAUUUUCUAAGUUAAAAUUUAUUUUUAUUUAAUAUAUUUUCAGAUUUAUGAAUAUUGUUGAGAUUAAUUAUUAAUUUUUUUCUUUUAAAUUUGGGAAAAAUAAGAAAGACUAAAAUUUUAGUUUUCAAAAUUAAUUGGAAUUUUUUUUUAUUCUAAUGAAUAAUUAGAUAAGUGUAAAAUCAAGGACAUGAACGACCCCAAUUUUUUAUAAUGACUAAUUAUUCAAAGUGUAGAAACAUAAUAAUUAGAUAAUUAUUAGGAUUUCUAAUUAUGCUUGGUUGUUAAAAAAUUUCUAUGUUAAAACUUAUUUUUAUAUAACUAUCUUCAAAUUUAUGAAUAUUGUUGAAAUUAAUUUAUUAAUUUUUAUUUUUAAUUUGGGAAAAAUGUAAAAGUCUAAAUUUUGCUUUUUAAAUUAAUUGGAUUUUUUUUAUAUUUUAGUUAACUAUUAAAUGAGGGUAAAUUAGAAAUCUAAGUUCAAGGACAUUGCCAACCAAACUGACUUCAAACCUAACCAAUCUAAUCUUAUUACUUUUUAUUUCCAUUUAAACAUGUUUGUUUCUAUUUAAAAAAAAAAAAUUGAUUACAUUGGUUUAGUGUUCAUGUACCAAUCAAAGCUAAACCAAUCGAAUUUAUCUAUUAUUUAUCAAAAAAUUAAAAAUAAAAAUGAUUACAUUGGUUCAGUAUUCAUUUCAAAACAACGAACCAAUAGAAUCUGAUAUAAUCGACUUAAAAUGUGCAAAUUUUGAAUUUUCAAAAUUUGAAGUUAUUUUUCAACUUCAUAUUUUGCAUCUCAUAAUUUACUAUAAAUUUAUGAAGUUAUUUUUUAAAAAUAUUUUAUUUUUUCAAAAUAAAUUCACUAAAUAUUAUCUCACUUGUAUUUGUGGUUCACUAAAUUUUUAAUAAUCAAAUUAAUAAAUUUAUAAAAGAAAAAUAUUAUAUUUUCUCCAUUUUGUUCACUUGAUAAACAUAUCUACAAAAAUGUCAAGCGGGUGUUUGAAAUUUACCUAUUUUUUUUGUUGUGUAAUAUUGAUUGUAUUUAUAAAGCAUUAUAAAUCCCAAGAAAGUCCACAGACACAUAAAUUAUUAUGAAUGAAAUGAAAUUAUUAAUUUAAAUUUAGUCUUUAUAGUGAAAAGUUAAAAUAAGCGAAAUGAAUUUGAAGUAGUUUAUAAAAAUCAUUUAUUAAUUUUAAAUUUAUGUUAUAUUUUUCUUCAUUUAUUCUUUCAUUUUAUUUUUUAUUUUUUUUUUGUAUUUUUUUUCCUUGUAUUUUCCCCAAAUUUUGUCCAAACCAAACAUAAACUUGGAAAAUAUGUCAAACCAAUACUUAGUGUUUGAGACUUAGAAAUUUUUUUAUAAGGAUUGGAUCAAGAUUCAAUCACGAUUAGACCACACAUAGCCCUUUUGCCCAUCCAAGAAAAAGAAAAAAAUAUUUUAUUUAUUUCUUUUUGUUAGCCCAAGGGUUCUCCUAAUCGGGUUUUGAUGAUAAUAAACCAUGGUUAAGUGACUAAUUGUUUCAAAUGGUAAAGAAUCUCAGGUAUAAUUUCGGAAAUUCAUACAAGGGCCAAAUAGAUACAAGACCGAGACUAUUGGAAGUCCCUUGAUCAUAGGAAAUGAAUGUAAGAUGCAUGGGUGCACUUAAGGUUUUCAUACCAUUUCAUGCAUCUUUGAAAAACUCAGUUUAUCCUUUAAACUUUCAAAUUCAUUCAAACCCGAUCUUUAUCAAAUGUACCUUAGGCAAAAAAUUUUAAAACUUGCAUAUUUAUUCACCUAAAGACCUUGCCUAAGUAGUAGAAAAGAAAGGAAUUUAAAAAGGAAGGUUUUCGGGGCCAAAAGGCUCAACCGGUCGAGGCUAUGGCCAACCGGCUCAAUCGGUUGGGGAACCGGUCGACUGGUUGCCCUUGUUCGAUCGAGGUUCGGUCGAAGAGUGUCAAAAACACUCUCUCUCAUCCAGUAGCCUUCUCUUCCCGGGUGAGGUUCAUACCGUUCCCGGUUGAGGUCCGGUCGAGGUAACGGUAACCUGUCAAAGCAUUUAAUGCCCAACGGCUAGUGAUCCGGUCAACCCCUAACUCUACUGAUCGAGGGUACCUUUUGCUGUUUUUGACUCCCGAGCUUAGAAACCUAUAAAUUGAGAGCUCUACUUCAUUUAUGAAAAAGAGAACACUUGCAAUCAAUUAUCCACCUACCUGUUCUUGAUCAAAAAGCUCUCAUUUCCUUCUUGGUGCAUUAAAUCAUCAUUUGCAUACUCCUUAGUGCACCUUUAUAAGUCAUCCUAACCUUGUUUUGUAUUCGAUCUAUCUUUGAGCUAGGUUGAGUGUUUUAUUCUUGUAAAAGUCAAGUGUUUAAGCCUUCAAGAGGUGUGAUUUUUGAAGAGAUUGUGUAAGAGCCCAUUGAAGUCGGAAUCCAAGUGUAAGAAGAUUAGAAGCUUGGUUGAAACUUCAAGUUAGUGGAACCCUCACUUGAUUAGGAGAUUGAGGAGAGUGGACGUAGGGAAGGAAGUGCCGAACCACUAUAAAACCCGAGUUUGAGUUCUCUAACUCUAUCUCUUUACUUUCAUUUAUAUUGUGCUUGAACUUGUUGUUAUUGAAAAGAUUUUUUAAAAACCCAAUCCACCUCCCUCUUGGGUGUUUUUCUUAAUUAAGCAUAGCCUUUAUUUUCUCAAUUGGUAUUAGAGUUAGACCUCUUGUUUAAGACCUAAUAGUCUAAGAGGAAAUGGCUAUUCCAUCAAGCUCUUCUCACACUGAAAUUUUUGCAAAACAUAGAGCUCCAUUCUUUACGGGAACCGAUUAUCUCUAUUGGAAAACCAAAAUGACUUGGUUUUUACAAUCAACCGAUUUAGAUGUAUGGGAUGUCAUUGAAGAUGGUUCAACUUUUCCUACUAAGCUUGUUGAUGGAGUUUUAGUUCCAAAACCCAAGCAAGAAUGAAAUGAGCUUGAUAGAAGAAAUUUUCAAUUAAAUGCUAAGGUUGUUUUUACUUUGCAAUGUGCUAUGGAUAAAAAUGAAUACAAUAGAAUUUGUCAAUGCAAAUCAACUAAAGAAAUUUGGAGAUUCCUUGAAAUAACUCAUGAAGGAACAAAUCAAGUAAAAGAGUCAAAAAUUAAUUUACUCGUUCAUAAUUAUGAAUUGUUUUCAAUGAAAGAAAAUGAGACUAUUGUUGAGAUGAUUACUAGGUUCACCGACAUUGUCAAUGGUCUUGAAGCUUUGGGAAAGACCUAUAAGGAAUCUGAGAAGGUAAUGAAGAUAUUGAAGUCACUUCCAUCAAAGUGGCAUACUAAAGUCACCGCAAUUCAAGAAGCAAAAGACUUGACUAAGCUACCUAUGGAAGAACUCAUAGGGUCAUUGAUGACAUAUGAGAUUAACUUGGCAAAGAAGCUUCAAGAGGGUGAAGACAAAAAGAAGAAGAGCAUAGCUCUCAAAGCUACAACCAAGGAAGAAGAAGAUAUUGAAGAAGAAAAACCAAGUGAGGAAGAUGAUGAUUUAGCCCUCAUCACAAGAAAGCUUAACAAAUACAUGAGGAAUGAAAGGUUUAGAGGAAGAAAAUUUACCUCUAGAAGAGACCUUUCUAAAAAGGAAUCAUCAUUUCAUGGUGACAGGAAGAAAUGGGAAAAAAAAAGAGACUUGGGGUGUUUCAAAUGCAAAAAACCGGAACACAUCAAAUAUGAUUGUCCUCUCUACAAAAGUGAAGCCAAGAGAAGAAUGAAAAAGGCAAUGAUGGCCACUUGGAGUGAUAGUGAAGAAUCCUCCAAAGAAGAAAAGGAGAAAGAAGUGACAAACAUGUGCUUCAUGGCAAUAGAUGAUCUUGAUGAGGUAAACUCUAACUUUAGUGAUGAAGAUAUGCAUGAUGUUUUUGAAGAAUUAUACGAGGAUUUUAAAAAACUUAGUUUGAAAAAUAAUUCUCUCAAAAAGAAAAUUCAAGAACUUCAAAAAGAACUUGAAGAAGUGAAAGAAAAAUUUUCAAUUGAUGAAAUAUCUAAAACUCAUCUUGAAAAAGAAAAUGAAAUUUUGAGAAGUGAAAAUGAGGUUUUAAAAAGGAAAAAUGAAUGGUUGACCUCUUCUCUUUCAAUUUGUUAUUGUGGACAAAAAUCCUUUGAAAUGAUCUUAACUAGCCAAAAAUGUGUUUUUGACAAAAAAAGGACUAGAAUUCAAAUCCUCAAAGAAUCAAAAGUAUUUUAAAAACUAUUUUGUAAAAGAAUCCUCAAGUACAAGUGUAGACCCUCAAUUUUGUCCCUUUAGCACACGUCUUUAAGUUCGUUUUCAGUGCUUCAAAAUAGUUCCUUGGUGGCCCAUGGCUACUCAUACCACUUACCUUUUUCUGAGUCACUUCGGAGAUUUUGGUUGAGGGAUUAUUUGAUCCCUUAUUGUGACCCUUGGCAGCCCUAACUUAGACUUAGGCUUUUCUUGUUUUUUUAGGAUAGCUUUUAGAUACACUUGGCCCAUUAGGCACUACCCUAGGCCCACUUAGUCUCACCUUAGGCCCGUUUAGGCACACUAGGCCUACGAAGACUUUUAUUUUAUUUUAUUUUAUUUUAUUUAUUUAUUUAUUUAUUUUGUUUUUAAUUUUAAUUUUAUGAUUAUCAUUCACUUUUUAUUGGUUAUCUUCCUCUUUAUAUUAUUUUCCUUAACUUAUUUAUUUAUUUAUUAUUUUUACCAUUUUUUUAAUUUAUUUACUUAUUUAUCUAUUCAUGCAAUUAUUUAACUUCAAAAAUUUCAUGUUUUUGCAAGGAAACUUACCAUUGGAGUUUAAGGAAGACGGGACUCUCCUUGGAAGGUUUUGGAGGGGAAUUUGAAAUUGGGAAGAUUGUUUUUGAUUGGAGGAUUUAAAAAAAGAAGAGAAGAAGAAAGGAAGGAGGAGAAUUUUCCUUUUUGGAAACAAAUUUAGGUCUUGAGGGGUGAUAUAUAUAGGUGAGAAAAGGAAAAGAAUAGGAGAUUUUUUCUUGGGGGCAGAGCACACGGAAUUUUGGAAAAAAGCAAGGGACUUCGAACGGAGAUCGGGUUGUCAUUUAAUCAUCAAGAGAGGAUUUUCUCUUUCACUUCAAAGGUUAGUUUUCUAUAUAGUACUUUUAUUUAGCCUAGAUUUUUAUUUUUUUAUUUUUUUUUAUUUUUUAUUUUUUAUUUUUUGGAAAUUUUAGUUUUUGAUUAAUUCUUUGUGUUAAAGUGUAUAUUAUUUUAUUUUUAAAUCCCCAAUUAGUUUAAUUCUAAUCUAUCUUUUAGUUUAAGUUUGUUAAUGAUCUUAAUUCUUAAGUUUAAAUAAUCAUAUCGAAUAAAGUUUGUAUUUUUAAUCCCAAUUAGUUUGAUUUUAACUUGUUUUUUUAGUUUAAAUGUAUUUUGUUGAUUUUAAUUCUUAAGUUUAAAUAAUUGUAUUGAAUAAAGUUUGUAUUUUUAAUCCCAAUUAGUUUGAUUUCAAUUCAUUUUUAAUUUAAAUGCAUUAGUUGAUCUUAAUUCUUUGUUUUGAAUAAUCACGUUAAAUAAAGUUUGUAUUUUUAAUCCCAAUUAAUUUGAUUUCAAUUCGUUUUUAGUUUAAAUACAUUUUAUUGAUCUUAAUUCUUAAGUUUAAAUAAUCAUAUCGAAUAAAGUUUGUAUUUUUAAUCCCAAUUAGUUUGAUUUUAAUUUGUUUUUUAGUUUAAAUGUAUUUUGUUGAUCUUAAUUCUUGACUUUAAAUAAUCACGUUAAAUAAAGUUUAUGUUUUCAAUCUCAAUUAGUUUGAUUCCAAUUCGUUUUUAGUUUAAAUACAUUUUAUUGAUCUUAAUUCUUAAGUUUAAAUAAUCAUAUCGAAUAAAGUUUGUAUUUUUAAUCCCAAUUAGUUUGAUUUUAACUUGUUUUUUAGUUUAAAUGUAUUUUAUUGAUCUUAAUUCCUAAGUUUAAAUAAUCAUAUCGAAUAAAGUUUGUAUUUUUAAUCCCAAUUAGUUUGAUUUUAACUUGUUUUUUAGUUUAAAUGUAUUUUGUUGAUUUUAAUUCUUAAGUUUAAAUAAUUGUAUUGAAUAAAGUUUGUAUUUUUAAUCCCAAUUAGUUUGAUUUCAAUUCAUUUUUAAUUUAAAUGCAUUAGUUGAUCUUAAUUCUUUGUUUUAAAUAAUCACGUUAAAUAAAGCUUGUAUUUUUAAUCCCAAUUAAUUUGAUUUCAAUUCGUUUUUUAGUUUAAAUAUAUUUUGUUGAUCUUAAUUCUUGACUUUUAAUAAUCACGUUAAAUAAAGUUUGUGUUUUUAAUCUCAAUUUGUUUGAUUUCAAUUCGUUUUUUAGUUUAAAUACAUUUUGUUGAUCUUAAUUCUUAAGUUUAAAUAAUCAUAUCGAAUAAAUUUUGUAUUUUUAAUCCCAAUUAAUUUGAUUUUAAUUUGUUUUUAGUUUAAAUGUAUUUUGUUGAUUUUAAUUCUUUACUUUAAAUAAUCACGUUAAAUAAAGUUUGUGUUUUUAAUCUCAAUUAGUUUGAUUUCAAUUCGUUUUUAGUUUAAAUGCAUUAGUUGAUCUUAAUUCUUAAGUUUAAAUAAUUAUGUUAGAUAAAGUUCAUGUUUUUAAUCCCAAAAUAGUUUAUUUUUAAUUUAUUUGUUAGUUUAAAUAUGUAUGUGAUUUGAAUACAUUAGUUUAAUUAAUCCCGUUAGAUAAAGUUUAAUCUUGAUUUAAUUUAUUUUUUUAGUCUAGAGGCAUUUAUGUGUUUAGUUAAUCUUAUGUUAAUUAUGGAUUGUUAUUCUCAAUUUACGCGCUUCUUGAAUCAUUGUUGCUAAUUCUUGAUGGAUAUUUCAUUAGCUUAUUUGAUCUAAAUAUUAAUAAUUUAUUGCUUUGAUAGUUUCCUUUUUGUUCAAAGGCCAUUGGAAAAUCAUGAAGAUUGGCCUCUACCAUCACCAUUAUCAUUUUUGUUAAUUACUAAAAAAAUUUUACUUUGAGGUUUCAUUUUUGUUUUGUUGGGUAUUUUAUUUCUUAUAUUUUAUUCUUUCCAAAUUAAUUCCUUUUAUUUUAAAAUAAAAUACUUUUCUCAAAAAAAUCAUUUUAAAAAUCUAUUUCAAAAACUCAUUUAGAGUCCUCAGGAUCAAAAUCUCUUUUUUUUUUUAUUAUUAUUUAAAAAUAAUAUGCAACCAUAUCUUGUUCGGUUUGCAUCCUUCUCGGUUUUCAACAAAAAUUUUGGUUUUGAACAAAAACACGAAUCAAAGCUUGUGGUCCCAAAUAAUGGGAUAAUUCUGGGCUAAAUUUGUGUAUAUUAAUUUGGGGAAUUGGUGAAACCCCUACAUAAGAAAAUCUUUUCAAAAAUUAUUUUUGUUGCCAUUUUUGUCACUUGUUGAAAUUAUGUCUAUCUUUUUUAGGAAUUGUAUAUAAGAUGUGUGUGAUAAUUAAUGUUUUCAUAUACUUUGAUAAUUUUUGUUAUGCUAAUUAGAUAACAAGCAUGCUAGGGUUUCUUUAUUUUAUUAUUAUCUAAUCCCUCAUGUCUUAUGGAAGCGCAUUGUAAGUUAUUUAUGCUAUCCAGGUACGCCCCCCCUAUCGCCUACUUUCUAAAUUUUGUAAACAAUCGUGUCACUAUGAAGUAUGCAUAUGUUUGAUAAUCCUUAGGUGUUUAGAUGUAUGUUUGAUUCACUAUGAUUAAAUACAUGUUGUGUGUUAUACUUCUAUACUAACUCUGAUGUUUUAUGAUAGCGCUUGAGAAGCGGUCCGGGUACGCAUCCUACCCUUUCUUUUAUGGCAAUUUGAUCUUGUUUAGCAUGCAAAUCUUUUGAAAUCACCUAGCCUACUUAGGUAUCCAUAAUUAACCGAUUAAUUGCCAUAUUCCCCUUAACUUAAUUAGUAGAGACCUCUUUAGGGCUUAGAGGGGUGCUACCUCCUAGAGGUACCUUCCCAAUAAGUAACCUGAUCCCCGGACCAAGACUUGGGUUUUCAAAGACACGCUUUUCCAAAAAUUAUGGAGUCAUUUUUUUUAGGGUUUUAUUUCUUGUUUUAUUUUCCCUUCAAAAAUAAAAAUAAAAUAAGUGGCGACUCCAACUUUUUUUCAAAAAAUCAAAUUUUCACAAAUAAAUAAAAAGCGAGUCUCGCCGAUCGAGUGGGGGCGCACGUGAAAAAUGCGGGUCCACAACAAGUCCCUCUACUAUUUGUAACUUUUGUGGAAGAGGAGGGCACAUUAGUAGAACAUGUCCCUUAAGAAAUGGAUCUCAAAAAAAUUCAAACACUAAGGUUAAAAAGGUUUGGAUUGAAAAAUCCAAAAUCACUAACCCUCAAGGACCCAAAAAGAUAUGAGUACCUAAAUCAACUUAAAUUUUAUUUUGUAGGGUUCAAAGAAGGAUAAGUGGUUCUUGGAUAGUGGAUGCUCAAGACACAUGACCGGGGAUGAAUCCAAGUUUGCUUUCCUCACAAAGAGAAAGGGAGGAUACGUUACUUUUGGAGACAAUGCAAAAGGAAGGAUCAUUGGUUAAGGCAACAUUGGUAAUGACACAUCCUCCCUUAUUGAAAGUGUUUUAUUAGUAGAUGGUUUAAAACAUAAUCUUUUAAGUAUUAGUCAACUUUGUGACAAAGGUUUUAAAGUAGUUUUUGAAGCAUCUCAUUGCAUUAUCAAAGAUAUUCAAAAUGAUAAAACCAUCUUCAUGGGCCAUAGAUGUGAUAAUGUCUAUGCUAUUAAUAUUUCAAAAUAUGAUGGCCAUGAUAGAUGCUUUUCAAGCAUGCAUGAUCAAAGUUGGUUGUGGCAUAGGAGGUUGGGACAUGCUAACAUGGACCUCAUUUCCCAACUCAACAAAGAUGAACUUGUUAGAGGCCUUCACAAAGUAAAUUUUCAAAAAGACAAAGUUUGUGAAGCUUGUCAAAUGGGAAAGAAAAUCAAAAAUUCUUUUAAAAACAAAAAUUUUAUUUCAACAUCUAGACCUCUUGAGUUGUUGCAUAUGGAUUUAUUUGGUCCCUCUAGGACACCAAGUCUUGGAGGAAAAUUUUAUGCAUAUGUUAUUGUGGAUGACUUCUCUAGAUACACUUGGGUCUUGUUUUUAAGUCAAAAGAAUGAAGCAUUUUAUGAGUUUUCAAAGUUUUGCAACAAAGUUCAAAAUGAAAAAGGUUUCACAAUCACUUGUAUAAGAAGUGAUCAUGGGAGAGAAUUUGAAAACAUUGAUUUUGAAGACUAUUGCAAUGAACAUGGUAUUAACCAUAAUUUUUCGACUCCUAGAACUCCUCAACAAAAUGGGAUAGUUGAAAGGAAAAAUAGAACUCUUCAAGAAAUGGCUAGAACCAUGCUAAAUGAAAACAACUUACCAAAAUAUUUUUGGGCCGAAGCGGUUAACACUUCAUGUUAUGUUUUAAAUAGAAUACUUUUGAGGCUCAUUCUUAAGAACACUCCCUAUGAGCUUUGGAAAAACAAGAAACCCAACAUUAGCUAUUUCAAAGUCUUUGGAUGCAAAUGUUUUAUAUUAAACACCAAAGAUAAUAUUGGAAAAUUUGAUGCAAAAUUGGAUGUUGGAAUUUUUCUUGGUUAUUCAACUUCAAGGAAAGCUUUUAGAGUGUUUAACAAAAGAACCAUGGUUGUAGAGGAGUCCAUCCAUGUCAUUUUUUAUGAAUCUAACAAUUCCUUCCAAGAAAAAGAAAGCUUUGAUGAUGAUUUAGGCUUGGAGACCUCCAUGGGAAAAUUGCAAAUUGAAGAUAGAAUGCAACAAGAAGAAAUUGAAGAGGAUCCCAAGAAAGAAGAAUCACUAUUGGCACUACCCCCUCCUCAUUAAGUACAAAGUGAAUCAAGCCAAGACCUUCCUAAAGAUUGGAAGUUUGUGAUCAACCACCCACAAGAUCAAAUUAUAGGUAAUCCAUCUAGUAGGGUAAGAAUUAGAUCAUCUCUCAAAAACAUUUGCAAUAAUCUUGCUUUUGUCUCUCAAAUUGAACCUAAAAAUAAAAAUGAUGCUCUAGUUGAUGAAAAUUGGAUGAUUGCCAUGCAAGAAGAGUUAAAUCAAUUUGAAAGAAGUGAAGUAUGGGAAUUAGUGCCAAGACCCUCAAAUCAAAGUGUUAUUGGAACUAUAUGGGUCUUUAGAAAUAAAAUGGAUGAAAAUGGCAUAAUUGUUAGAAAUAAAGCAAGAUUGGUAGCCCAAGGUUUUAAUCAAGAAGAUGGGAUAGAUUAUGAAGAAACCUUUGUGCCAGUAGCUAGAUUAGAAGCCAUUAGAAUGCUACUUGCAUUUGCAUGUUUUAAAGACUUUGUCUUGUAUCAAAUGGAUGCAAAAAGUGCUUUCUUAAAUGGUUUCAUAAAUGAAGAAGUAUAUGUUGAACAACCACCCGGAUUUCAAAGUUUUAACUUUCCUAAUCAUGUUUUUAAACUUAAAAAGGCACUUUAUGGUUUGAAGCAAGCACCUAGAGCAUGGUAUGAAAGAUUGAGUAAAUUUCUCUUGAAAAAGGGUUUUAAAAUGGGAAAAAUUGACACAAUUCUUUUCAUAAAAACCAAAGAAAGUGACAUGCUCUUAGUACAAAUAUACGUAGAUGACAUCCUUUUUGGAGCUACUAAUGUCUCUCUUUGUGAAGAAUUUUCCAAAUGCAUGCAUAGUGAGUUCGAAAUGAGCAUGAUGGGAGAACUCAACUUCUUCCUUGGACUUCAAAUCAAGCAACUAAAGGAAGGAACCUUCAUCAAUCAAGCAAAAUAUAUAAGAGAUCUUCUCAAAAGAUUCAACAUGGAAGAAGCUAAAACAAUGAAGACUCCAAUGAGCUCCUCCAUCAAGCUUGACAAAGAUGAAAAAGGUAAAUUCAUUGACUCAACUAUGUAUAGAGGCAUGAUAGGUUCUUUGCUAUAUUUGACCGCUAAUAGACUCGAUAUCAUGUAUAGUGUAUGCUUGUGUGCUAGAUUUCAAUCUUGUCCUAAAGAAUCUCACUUAAGUGCCGUAAAACGAAUUCUUAGAUAUUUGAAAGGGACAAUGGACAUAGACCUAUGGUAUCCUAAGGGUGAUAACUUUGAAUUAAUUGGAUACUCGGAUGCCGACUUUGCCGGUUGUAAAGAUGAAAGGAAAAGCACUAGUGGCACUUGUCAUUUCCUAGGACACUCACUUGUUUCAUGGCAUAGUAAGAAACAAAAUUCGGUAGCCUUGUCAAUGGCGGAAGCCAAGUACAUAGCAGUCGAUUUGUGUUGUGCACAAAUCCUUUGGAUGAAACAAACUCUUAAUGAUUUUAAUUUAUCUUUUGAGCAUGUUUCUAUUAAAUAUGAUAACACUAGUGCCAUAAACAUUUCAAAAAAUCCCGUGCAACACUCUAGGACCAAGCAUAUAGAAAUUAGACAUCAUUUUCUUAGAGACCAUGCACAAAAGGGUGAUAUUACUCUUGAGUUUGUAAGCACAAAGGAUCAACUUGCCGAUAUUUUUACAAAACCUCUAAGUGAAGAGCAAUUUAUUGAUAUUAGAAGACAAUUAGGGGUGAUUUCUUUAUGAGCUUAUGAUUGUUUGUUGAAUUCUUGUUGAAUAUGUCUUAUAAAUGCAUGAACUUUACAUCAUUUUGCAUCAUAUAGAAAUACACUUAGGAAAAAUGUCAAAUUUUGACCAAAAAUCAAAAUUUCCUUAGCAUUGGAUGUCAAAAAUUGGGGAUUUCACCUGAAAAUGGCAAGAGGAGGAUCACGAGACAAGGAAAUGCACAAAAAUUGAAGUGUUGACCGUGUUGACCGUGUUGACCGUGUUGACCGUUGACCAAGAGGUUGAUCGGUUCAUCGGGGCUGGGAAUUUAAAGAGCCUCCCGCGCCUCAGUUUUUCAUCCUUUUCGUCUGGUUCUUCAAGCCUUGUGUCGUUCCAAUUGCCCACAAGCGAUCUUUGACACCAUUGCAGCCUUCUGAGAGGUACAAAUUGAGUUUUGGAGGCUAGGGUUUGGGAUUUGGGACCUAGGGUUCUCAUUUGGACGUCUUUCUUUUCAGUCCGCGCGUCACAGCCUGUGUCAAUGCUUUCCCUCGCAUCUAGGGCUUUCAAGUGUGUGUGCAUCCCUAUCUUCGAGCUUCGCCUUCUUCAUCUCAGCCUUUCUGAUGGUGCUUAGAAGAGAGACAGCCGCCUCCAGGGCUCAGGGCAAGCGCCCUACUAAGCCAUCACAGCCGGAUCAGUCCGAGGCUCGCCGAAAGGCGAGGUACGACACUGCUCUCUUCGAUUCUGUCGAAAACUAUUAGAGGUACAAACAAAAGUUUGCCCAGAGAAAAGUUGUUCUAGGGAGAAACAUCAAUUUCUCCCAACUUCAGUACUUUGGAUUUAAGGGGAUAUUUGGACGGAUGGGAUGACUACCAGUGGUGACUAUUUCGAAGCCCAUCUUCCUGACUCUGGUGCGUGCCUUCUACUCACGGGUGACCUACGGACUUGGAGGACCGAUCACUUCCACCGUCAGAGGAGUUGAGAUCACUUUGAGUCCGAAGAGCAUUUUCCAGAUUUUGGAUGUUCCGUCAGUUGGACUCAGGGUGUAUGAGUCCAAGGUUUGGCCCACAGUGUCGGGAUUCAAGCCUAGAGAGGCUAUUCAGAGGAUGUGUGGACUGGCUGAUGCCUAGGGGAUGGGCAAACCUUUUACACAUAGCCUGACAAUGAUUAACCGUGUUCUUCAUCAUAUGGUCUGCUCCAUUCUGUUGCCACGCGGUGGACAUCGAGACGAGGUCUCAUACCUUAAGGCUUUCAUUGUGGAUUCCAUUUUGACAGGGAAAUGGAUUCAUGUAGGGUACUUGAUGAUAAUGCAUAUGAUAUCUUGCUGCGAGAGCAAGACCAGAGUAUUUCCCUACGGGUCGCUUCCUCACGAGAGUAUUUAUGGAUGUCGGGGUUGACUUGAACCGAGAGACAGAUUUUGAGGCCCCUACCACUUAUGACACAUAUGAUGAGCAGUCUCUAGGGCGGAUGAAGUUUGAGAAGGUCCAUGAUGGCUCUUGGAGUAGGAGAGCUAAGUGACUGCCAGCACAGGACCGGGGACAGAGACAGAUGCAUCCCAGAGAUGAGGAGGAGGCCGAGAUCCGAGAGAUGGAGAGUGGGCUAGACCCUCAGAGGGACUUUGAGCAGAGUGGGCCCGAGUUUGACUUCCCUCUUCCACUCCAAACCGAGAGUGUUCAGUUUGAGGCAUUUUUUCCUAAGUCGAUGAUAUUUGAGUCAGCGUACACAGCGGGACCAUAUUUCACUAAGUCAUCCUUCACUGAGCCUCUUCACCUAGAGAUACCAUCGCAGGCACCUCACGCACCUGAUCAUGCGCCUUUGAUGGAUUUAUCCGCUUAGAUCAGUUCUCUCGAGACUCGUAUGGAGGAGCUUGCAGUCGUCAGUGAUACUAGUUUCUACUCUAUGGAGGAUCGCAUAGAUUAAUAUCAGACCGACUUCACUACUCAGUUUGAGCAUCUCGAGCAGAAACUUGGGCAUAUGGAGGAGCGUAUGAAUCAGCAGCAUGAGGAGAUGAUGGCUUACUUUCGCUCUGUGUUUCCUCCACCUCCACCUUGAUAUCUUCGAGACCCCCUCUUCGUUUCUUUUUUAUGUUACCAAAGGGGGAGAAAUUUUAGGAUCUAGGGGAUACACACAUGCAUGACAUUUCCAUAUCAUUAGUCUUGAUCUGUGUAUAUGCGAUGUUAUUAUAUAUGAUAUGAUAUUUUCAGAAUUCACAUUGUUUCUUGUUGAAAUUUUGCAUGUCGUGUUUAUCAUUUAAAAUUUUCGCUUUAAUUGAUCCAUGUUUGGUUUAAGGGGGAGAUUUAUUAUCUCCUAGAAAACCAAGGUUUGUCAUCAUAAAAAAUGAGGAGAUUGUUAGCCCAAGGGUUCUCCUAAUCGGGUUUUGAUGAUAACAAAUCAUGGUUAAGUGACUAAUUGUUUUAAAUGGUAAAGAAUCUUAGGUAUAAUUUCAAAAAUUCAUCCAAUGGCUAAAUGGAUAUAAGACCGAGACUAUUGGAAGUCCCUUGAUCAUAGGAAAUGAAUGUAAGAUGAAUGCAUGGGUCCACUUAAGGUUUUCAUACCAUUUCAUGCAUCUUUGAAAAACUCGGUUUAUCCUUUAAACUUUCAAAUUCAUUCAAACCUGAGUUUUAUCAAAUGUACCUUAGGCAAAAUGUUUUAAAACUGGCAUAUUUAUUCACCUAAAGACCUUGCCUAAGUAGUAGAAAAGAAAGGAAUUUAAAAAUGAAGGUUUUCGGGGCCAAAAGGCUCAACCGGUCGAGGCUAUGGCCAACCGGCUCAACCGGUUGGGGAAUUGGUCGACCAGUUGCCCUUGUCUUAUCGAGGUCCAAUCAAGGAGUGUCAAAAACACUCUCUCUCAUCUAGUAGCCUUCUCUUCCUGAUUGAGGUUCAUACCGUUCCCGGUUGAGGUCCGAUUGAGGUAACAGUAACAUGUCAAAGCAUUUAAUACCCAACAGCUAGUGAUCCGGUUAACCCCUAGCUCGACCGGUCGAGGGUACCUUUUGCUGUUUUUGACUCCCGAACUUAGAAACCUAUAAAUUGAGAGCUCCACUUCAUUUAUGAAAAAGAGAACACUUGCAAUCAAUUAUCCACCUACCUGUUCUUGAUCAAAAAGCUCUCAUUUCCUUCUUGGUGUAUUAAAUCAUCAUUUGCAUACUCCUUAGUGCACCUUUGUGAGUCAUCCUAACCUUGUUUUGUAUUUGAUCUAUCUUUGAGCUAGGUUGAGUGUUUUAUUCUUGUAAAAGCCAAGUGUUUAAGCCUUUAAGAGGUGUGAUUCUUGAAGAGAUUGUGUAAGAGCCCAUUGGAGUCAGAAUCCAAGUGUAAGAAGAUUCGAAGCUUGGUUGAAGCUUCAAGUUAGUGGAACCCUCACUCGGUUAGGAGAUUGAGGAGAGUGGAUGUAGGUAAGGAAGUGCCGAACCAUUAUAAAACCCAAGUUUGAAUUCUCUAACUCUAUCUCUUUACUUUCAUUUAUAUUGUGCUUGAACUUGUUGUUAUUGAAAAUAUUUUUUAAAAACCCAAUUCACCCCCCCUCUUGGGUGUUUUUCUUAAUUAAGCAUAACCUUUAUUUUCUCACUUUUGUCUAACACACAUAGACUAAGAACUUUUCUCCGUUUAAAAGUCAAAAUGCCACUAAAGUCCUUGAAGUCAUUGUCUAAGGAGAACAAUUAUCAAGAAAAGAAAUUCAAAUAAUGCUUUAAUGAAUGGUGUAUAUAUUUUCUCUAAAAUGCAUUUUUAGACUCUACUACAAUUUUUUCUUGUGGGAAAAAAUAAAAAAUAAAGCUUCAUUUUUUUGCCUAACUCACACACAAUAGACUAAGAACUUUGUUUCAGUCAAGAGUCAACAUGUCACAAAAGUUCUUGAAGUCCUUGUCUAAGAAAAAUAAUCAUAUAAUAAUAAAUAAUACUUUAGGUUAUGUUUGGUUCCGAAAAAUACUAAAGAAAGAAAAAAAAUGUAAAGGAAAAUUAUUUUUUUUAUGUUUGGUUAUACUAUGAAAAAUAUAAAAGAAAAUCAAAUAUAAUUAAAAUUAAUUAAAAACUCAUGUGUUUCUAAAUUAUUUAAUCUUUAUAUUAAUGAGUUAAAAUAAAUAAAAUGAGCUUGAAGUAACAAAAAAAAAAUUUAUCAACUUUUAAUCUAUUUUUUUUUAUUUUACUUCUACUUUUUCUUUAUAUAUUUUUUUCUCUUGCAUUUUCCUUCAAAUUUUCUGGAACCAAACAUAGCCUUAAGAUAUGAUGUAUAUAUUUUAUCCAAAAAGCAUUUCUAGACUUUUACAUUUUUCUCCUAUGAACCACUUACUAACAUCAAUUAAUAGAUGAAAGCGACAUGAAUGAUGAAAAUUCUUCCUACUCCAUGUUAAGCGAUAUGACCAAUAAAGGAAAAUAAAAUAUAAUGAAAAUUAUUUAAACACACACACACACACACACACACACACAUAUAUAUAUAUAUAUAUAUAUAUUCAAUUCUUUAUUAUUAUUAUUAUUAUUAUUAUUAUACAUAAAGGGUUAGAAAAAUGCAAAAUAAGUCUAUGCCUUUUGGAAAAAUGUUUAUUUCUUUGAAAGAAGCCAUGGAGGCUCUGACACCAAGAUGAAGGAAGAGAUGAAAACAGUGGGAAACAGAGAGAAAGAGAUGAGAGGAAAAAUGCUGAUAUUAUUUAUCUCAAUCAUCUUCUACAAUAACGGGGUAGGCAUUAUAUACAAUCAGGAGAUACACAUCCUAACCAACUGUACACGUGGAGCUACAAGACUAGAAAGGAAAGAAUAUCCUAACUAAUUACAUCUUUAGGCUUAGCAUCCUCCCUCAAGCUCAUUGGUCUAGUAAGAAUAGUGAGCUUGGAGCGUAGAGUGAUGAAACGUUGGGUAGAAAGAGGCUUGGUCAUGCAAUCAGCAAGCUGAUCAUCAGAAGGUGUAAACUGGAUAGAGAAAGAGCAUUGAAGAACACAUUCUCGGACAAAGUGAUAGUCUAUUUCCACAUGUUUGGUGCAGGCAUGCAAAAUAAGAUUGGCAGCUUAGUAUGUGGCAUUGAUAUUGUCACAGAGAAUGAGAGAAAAUCGAGUGGGAGUAAUGGAAAGUUCAUAAAGAAGAGAUUCAGUCCAAGCAAUUUUAGCAGCCUCAUUUGCUCCCCCUCGGUACUCUGAUUCGGUGCUAGAGCGGGAGACCACUUUUUGUUUGGAAGAUGACCAAGAAACCAGAUUGGAGCCAAGAAAGAGGCAGUAGCCACUGGGGCUACGCCUGUCAUUAGGGCAGGAAGCCUAGUCGGCAUCUGUAUAGCAAGUGAUGUUGAAGUCAUAGGAAGGUUGUAGGAAAAGACCAAAAUGAGACGUGCCCUUUAAGUACCGGAGAAUACGUUUAACAGCUUGCCGGUGAACAUCAGAGAGAUGGUGCAUGAAUUGACACACUUUAUUUACUGCAAACGCUAUAUCUGGGCGUGUCAUGGUACAAUACUGAAGGGCACCAACAAAACUUCGAUAAUCUGAACCAUUUUCAAGAGUCACUCCAUCAUGAAGAGAGAGAUUUGUGUUGGAGAACAUAGGAGUGGGACAUAGCUUGGCAUUCAACAUAGCAGCCCGAGUAAGGAGAUCAGUGAUAUACUUUGCUUGACUAAGGUGAAUACCAGUAGGGGUGCGAUGAACCUCCAAACCUAGAAAAUAGUGUAAAAGACCAAGAUCCUUUAAAGAAAACUAAUGAUGCAACUGUUGGAUAAGGUGAGUAACCUAAGUAGAGUGGCUCCCAGUGACGAUUAUAUCAUCCACAUAGACAAGAACAAGAAGUAAUCCAUGAGAAGAAUGACAAAUAAAUAAGGAAGAGUCAUUCUUAGAAGUAACAAAUCCCAAGUGUAGCAGAAAAGUACUCAACUUAGUAUACCAAGCCCGAGGCCACUGUUUAAGGUCGUAGAGAGACUUAUUCAACUUGCAAACAUGAGUAGGAUAGAGAGGAUCAACAAAUCUAGGUGGUUGCUCCAUGAAAACGUCUUCAGCCAAGUCACAUAAUGUAAAAGGAGGUACAAACAAUAUAAGAGGAUAUACGAACAAUAUAAGGGAGAGUACGAAGAAUAUGAGAUGAAGUACCAACAAUGUGAGAGAGGGUACGAAUAAUGUGAGAAAUGAUAUAAACAAUGUGAGAGGAAGUACUAAUAAUGUGAAAGAUGGUACGAAUAAUGUGAGAGAUAUGAUACAAACAAUGUGAGGUGAGAUACAAAUAAUACGAGAGAAUAUAUGAACAAUGUGAGAUAAGGUAUUGACAAUAUGAGAAAAUGAAUGAAAAAUGUGAGAGAGGGUAUAGACAAUAUGAGAAAUGGUGCGAACAAUGUGAGAAAAUGGUAUGAAUAAUGUGAGAAAUGGUAUAAAAAAGUGAGAAAUGGUAUAAAUAAAUUUGAGAUGGGUACAACUAAUGUUAGAGAGGGUACAAAUAAUGUGAGAAAGUGUACGAAUAAUGUGAGAGAGGGUAUGAAUAAUGUGAAAGAGAGUACCAACAAUGUGAAAGAGGAUAUAAAUAAUUACCUUAGGUUGGGAUGGUUAGAAUCCUAACACAUGUAAUACAAGAUUUGUAGCAAUGAAAAAUAUGAGAUCAAAUACUAACAAUGUGAGAAAGGGUAUGAAUAAUAUGAGACAUGACAUGAACAAUAUGAGAAGGGGUAUAAACAAUGUGAGAUGAGGUACAAACGGUGUGAGAAAUGGUAUGAACAAUGUGAGAAGUGGUAUGAACAAUAUGAAAAAGUAUACGAACAAUGUGAAAGAGGGUACGACAAUGUGAGAGAUGGUACAAAAAAAGUGAGAGACAAUAUGAAAAAUGCGAGACAAGGUAUGAACAAUAUGAAAAAUGGUAUAAAUAAUAUGAAAGAUGGUACGAACAAUGUGAAACAAUGCAUAGAUAAUGUGAAAAAGGGUGCGAACAAUGUAAAAAAGAGUACAAACAAUGUGAUAGAGGGUAUGAACAAUGUAAGAGGGAGUGCAAAGAAUGUGAUAGGAACUACGAGGAAUGUGAGAGAUGGUACAAACAAUGUGAGAGAAUGUACGGAUGAUGUGAGAAAUGACAUGAAUAAUGUGAUAUAGGGUAUGGAUAAUGUGAGAAAUGACAUGGAGGGUACGAACAAUGUGAGAGAUGAUACAAAUAAUGUGAGAAAAUGUACAAAAAAAAAAUGUAAGAAAUGAUAUGAACAAUGUGAGAGAAUAUACAAAUAAUGUGAGAAAUGGUACAAACAAUGUGAGAAGGUGUACAAAUAAUGUGAAAGAGGGUAAGAACAAUGUGAGAGAGGGUAUGAAUAAUUACCUUAGGUUGAUAUGGCUAGAAUCCUAACAUAUGCAAUACAAGAUUUAUAGUAAAUUGCAGUGUACUUACAUUCUCACACCAAACCAUAGGCAUUUUAGUUUUAGCUACCUUUAACUUCUCAAGCAAAGAAGUUAAUCGAGUUAAUUCUAACACAAUGUUAGUAAAAAUUUUAUAUUCAAGCUCUGUAGAUGAAUAAGAAAUAGUAUGCUACUUUUUUUACAUGACACCAAGUUUUACCAAGAAACACACAAUAACUUGAUAUAGUUAGACUUCUUAUCAUUUGGAUUUGUGGCUCAAUCAACAUCAUAAAAUCUUACUAAGCUAAGAUGAUCUUUUAAGGUAUAGGCCAUAAUCCAAAGUUCCACCCAAGCAUCUUAGUAUCCUCUUAAUUGACUUCCAUUGAGAUUCAAGUGAAUUUUGCAUGAACUAACACACCCUAUUGACACAAUAAGAGAUUUUUGGUCUGGUAAUGGUUACAUAUUGCAAGGCUCUAACUAUACUUUGAUAUCCUUGCCAAUUCUUCAUAAGAUCACUUCCAUAAGCAAAUAAUUUGAGGUCAGUUGCCAUUGGUGUACUAUCCUAGGUUCAAGUUAGGUGAAUGAUUUUUUUCCUUAAGUCUUUAGAUCUAAGCAAUAGAAGCAAAGAAGACAUUUUUUGUUAACACAAAAGGAUCUAGAUCAAUGCUUUAGAAAACAUUGCUUUUGAUUUGGAUGUUCCCAAAUCAAUUUCUUAUGGUGAAGGUUAAGCUUGAAGUCUCUAAUAGCCUUAUACACCUAAGAUCUUUUGUUCGAUAACUCUCCAUUUUCCUUAGCACAAAUAGUGGGGGAUUUAAGAUGGUGGAAGCUAGGAUUCUCUCUUUGAAUGGUGGAAGACUAAAAAAAAAAAAAAAAAAAAAACCCUAACCCUUAAAGGGGGGUAUUUAUAUGGUUUCCUAUUGGGUUUAAGUAACUUGAACCUAAUAAUGGCUUGAAUCACUUAAUCUACCCCAAAAAGGGUCCUAAUUAAUUGAUUAACUCAAUAGGAUCGGAUCAUCCAAUAAAUCAAUUAGCCCAAUCUAGAAAUAUGGUUCACUAACCCUGUGCAACCUUGAAAAAUUACCAAAAUGCCCUUAUGCACAUAAGUGAACCAAGAAUCGAUCCAAUGCUCUAACAUAAUCCUAACAAGGUAUAUGAGGUCGAAUGGGGACCACUAGGACCCUUAAGACAAUAUUAACUCUCUUAGAAUCCAAUUAUGAAGUUGAUUCAAUAUCCCACUAUAAAGAAUCAACUACAUUCUAGUACUCUAUGUAAAUGAUAAUGAGACACUAAGUUCUCAGGUCUAUAACCUCCAAUCCAUUGCGUACAAUUUCUCCAUGAAUUGGUGUCUAUAGCCUAAUGAGAUGACAACUAUCAACCUUUCAAGACUACCUCUACUAUCCUUCAGUUAUAAAUCAUCCUAUUGUGUGAUCAAUUGAUAGGUCUUAGCUCACAAAGAACUUACGUCAAAUUCCACUAAAGAAACUAUAAUUAUUAUAGUUUACAUUAACACAUCUCCUUAGGAUCACCUAAAAAGACACUUUAUCUCAAUCCUAUGUGAUAUCAUAGUGCCUUUAGAAUACCUAUUGCAUAUAUAUAUAUAUAUAUAUAUAUAUAUAUAUAUAUAUAUAUAUAUAUAUAUAUAUAUAUAAUCACUUUAAGAUCCCAUCCAUUGGUCAAAGCCACUGUUAAUUUUAGCAUAAUGUCACAGACUUAGUCUUUUCCUAAGCUUGUGCUCUACUUAGACAAACCAAACUCUUGAUCUUGCUAAGUCAGCCUUACUCCUGAUGUUUAGCUUCCUAAGUUAAGAUGCUCACGACUUAGAAACUUUAGAAGAUGUAGUAAGCAAUUCUUAAAUAAUGGAAGCUUUUAUUGCUCAAAGGAAGCUUUACAAGUGCUUUGGAGCUCACUUGCUUGGCUGGUGCCUUGGCCAAAUGAGGCCUUAACCUAUUUAUAGGCACCUUAGGAAGUCUCUAGAACCUUGAAGGGCUCCUUACAAAUCAAGAAUAAUCUAGAAGCUCUUACACUAGUCUAUGUACAGGGGUAUGUACAAGAUGACUUUCAAAGAUUUUAGAACAUCCCACACUAUUCCAAUGCUCUCUUAGCCAAGUGUAGAGAUGUGUGGACAUCUCUAGCCCUCUCUAGAAGUUUCCAUACUCUUCCACUUUGUAGCUAAAUGUAGAUGUCUCUAGGGGUCUCUAGAAGCUUCUCACCUCCUAUAUAAUCCCGUAGGGAGGGUCAUUUGAAGCAUCUUGUGAUAAUGAGCUCAAUAUUUUUUUUUAAGGUUGAGAGACAACACAAUGAAACAACUUGGUGAAGUCAUGACUACUUGAUAGUCUUAUAUCAUAACUUACCAUAGGCCUUAUCCAAUGUGAACCAUACACAUUAGUGCAACUCAUCUUGGAAGCCUAUCCCGAUGGCCAGGAUUAGUCAUCCCUCAAAUUAUGAAGUAGUGCAUUACAACCUUUAAUUGGUUGUUGAAGCCCAUGAACUAACUAUGGACAAUUCAUUAACUUGUAAAGAACCUAUGACUUAGAUCUUCCAUACAACUACUAAUGCACCUAAAUCACAUAUAAUGUAAGAGGUGUAGACCAGAAUGCUCAUAAGGUACAAUUAAUGUAUAGAAUGAAGAUAGAUGAAAGUGAAAUUGAAACUUUAUAAAAAAAUAAAAAUAAAUUUCACAUUCAUUAUAUCAUGUCAUGCUUUUAAGGGUUCUAUUCUUAAAAAAAAAAGAAUAUACAAUUGUAUAAUAUAUUUAAUACUAAUGCCAAAUGGGUAUAAAAAGACGCUUCUAACACUAAUAAUUUUAUUAUAAAUUUCAUGUACGAUACAAAUGCAUCACAUUUAUUGUAUAAUUAUAUCAACAUUACGAUGCACUACAGCAUGACUUAAUUAGGAAUAUGAUAAAACCCAAAAUUUCAAGAUUGAAUUAAAACAAAGGUACAACAUAAAGAUGAUGCUGGAACAAUAUUGAAAUAUAAGACCUAGACUCACAUCAGUAAAUGUAAAAAAUAAAUAGACUCAUUAAAUUGUCAAAACAAAGUUAGGGAUCUACUGCAAGUUUUUUUUCAAGUCUUAUCUUUCUUAUUCCUAAUGGGACAAGUUUGGGAUGAAAAUUAAUGAGUUAAUAAUAGGUUUAGAAUUUUUUGAAACCAGGGAUGGUUUGAUUAUUGUAUUGUCAAGCCUUGCUCUAUCUUGCUCGGGCCCACUUUACCCUAAACCAAUUAUAUAUAAAUUAAAUUAAAAUUAAAAAUUUAAUUUUCAGUAUUUUUCCAUUUUUAACAUAUAAAAUAAUUGAAAUACUACUUUAAAAAAAAUCAUAAAUUUUUUAAAUAUUUUAUUUAUUUAUAAAAUAUUUAUUUUUAAUGUAAAAAUAAAAUUAAAUUAAAUUCGCAUGCUUGCCUCAUUGUGUUUAAAAUUUUUAUUGAGUCAAGAAUGAUAAUAGGUUUACAUAAACGGGAUGGGGUGAAAAUUCGAAGAGUUUAAUUCAUACAAACGGAGCAUGGUGAAUGCGGCAUAUUGCCAUCCUUAGUUGAAUAAUGUUGAAUGGGUCUGACCCGAGUAACAGCUCGACCCGCUGGCUGCUUGGGGGCGUCCCAGCCACGUGUCCCUGUAGUGGAAUGGCCCCUUCACAUAAGCUACUUUCCGAGAAGGUCGAGACUCCUAACGGGUCCAUGCUAAAAUGUAUUCCUAUAAUUAAUAAUUGCCUGAGAAAUGGUGACAAAAGCUUUCCAUUUAAUUAUUAAUUUUUUGAGACUUUUAAUGAUAAGUGACAAAAAAAAAAAAAAAAAAAGAGAAGAUAGUACGAGAUAGUGGAAGUAGGGGCAACCCUCUAAAAACAAAAUAAUGAAUUCUACGUAGAACAGAAAUCCCAAUCCAUUGUGAUGGCAGCCGCACAAGGAUGGCAUUUUCUUUGGUAUCUUUGGUGCCAUCUAACCUGAUCUUGACCCCGAGGUGACAUAGGACCGUGAGGGGGAGCACCCCCAAAAUCAAUCUGUCUUGGAACAAAAUAUCUUUUAUAUCCACCUGCUUCAAUAUUAAUUCUCUUAAAAGUUAAAACUAGUUCCAUUGCAUCACUGGGGGACAAUCAAAUCGUUGAUCUUACUUUGAUUAAAAUUUAGUUACGGGCUUACAACCAAUUACCCCUCUCCCAUCUCCCCCAUCUUUCAAUUGUUUUGGUGUAUGCCAUAAGAGAGAAAGAUGUGGAGUUCAGAACUCACGGCAGUGAUAUUGUUGACGAUAGAGUGCUUGGAUGUGGGUUUAAUCACGUUGAGCAAAGCAGCCAUGAGGAGAGGAAUGAGCGACUACGUUUUUGUUGUCUACUCAAAUGCCCUUGCCGUUCCAGUGCUCUUUCUCUGUAGCCUCCUCUUUCACAGGUUCAUGUCUACUUCUUCUUCUUCUUCUUCUUCUUCUUCUUCUUGUUGAUUACCGUUUCUUUUUAAUUAUGGCUUUCUCAUGGUGAUGGAUAAACAGGAGAAGGUCCCCUCCUCCACUCACACCUUCCAUCCUGUGUAGAAUCUUUCUUCUCGGCCUGGUCAGGUAAUUUGAGUUGCAAAUUGUUAGUGGGUGGGGCCUCUUUUCAUUUUCAAAGUUAAAAUUAAUGGUAAAUAUGUGUGUAAAGCUGUUCAUUACAGAUGCUCAAGUUUAUAGGGAUAGGGUAUAGCUCUCCAACUCUUGCCUCCGCCAUGACUAAUCUCAUCCCUGCUUUUACCUACGUACUUGCCAUCGUCACCAGGUAUUCAUAUUUACACACCUCUCCUCUUUUUCAGCUCUGAUUAAUCUCUUUACAACAACUAUACAUCUGCCAAUUUCAAUUCAUGCGAUGUCCAAGUCCUGGAUCAAAUGGUAGAAUUUGAAUUAUAAUUUGAUGUGCUUGUGUGAUUUAUAUGAUUUGAAUCGUAUAUGUAUUAGUAUUUUUAAUAUUAUUUAUUUAUUAUUAUUAAAUUAUUAUCAACAGUUGCAUUGAUAUUAUCAUUUUUAAUAAUAAUAUUGAAUAUAAUUAUUAUCAUUCUUUUUAUCACUUCUUAUUAUUAUUAUCAUUGAAAAUAUUUAUUUAUUACUAAAGAAUAUUUAUAUUAACAUUAUAAAUAAUAACAAGAAUAAUAAAAUAUAAAAAAGAAAGGAGAAAAAAAAAUUACAAAAAGUUAGGUGAAAUGGUAGAAAAAGACAAAUAAUAAUAAUAAUAAUAAUAAUAAUAAUUUUAUUAUAUAUAUAUAUAUAUAUUUACAAUCAAAUGUGGUCAAAUAUCCUUAGAGAUAAUUUAAAUAGAACCCAUGCCUUAUGAGAAAUGUGAACCUUUCAAAUCCUUUAUGCCAGACCCCAAUGCCUUAAUUAAUUAAAUUAAUUUAAUGAAACAAAGUUAAAAUUGGGAUCUUAAUAAGUAAAUUAAAAUUUUCAAUUAAAAAAAUAAAAUUUAUCUAUUUUUUAUUCUUUUUAAAACUUAAAAUAGUUAUUCUUAAUCUUUUAAUUUUUAAUAUUUUUAAAUUUUUUUAAUUGACCAAUUUAGACUCAAAUUCUUAAAAGCCCAAAGCAUAUAAAAUUAAACAUGGAUGAAGGGAUAGUUAUAUUCAUUAGAAUUGCUUUUUCUUGGAAUAGAAAAGAUAUCAAAUGAUACAAAAUUAAUUUCAUGGAAUAACUAUGAUCUAUCCCUUCAUCCAUUUGGCAUUACCAAAUCACUUUCUCUAGCUACUUUCUACUGUCUAUGCCAUAAGCAGAUGGUAUAGCAGCAAUUCAGCAGUAAAAUUAUGUAUGUGUAAAUGAAGUAAAUGAAUGAUGAUUAGGAUGGAAAAGCUAGACUUGAAAGUCAAAAGCAGUCGUGCCAAAUGUCUUGGAACCCUAGUAUCAGUAGCAGGGGCACUCCUUAUAACUAUAUACAAAGGCCCCGGAAUUGAAUUUGCUUCAACUACUCCUUCCAUGCUUAACCACAAUCUUCUGCUGCCCCGAUCAAACUGGAUCAUUGGAGGCUUUCUCACUGCAGCUGCUGCCUUCAUGGUCGCAGUGUUGCUUGUUUUCCAGGUACGCUCUUUCUUUAAAAAAAUGAAAGCAUUAAAACUUCCUCUUAAAGCAGUUCUACUCCUCAUCUGUCAGAAUAUAUAUGUUUUUCUUUGUUACAUCUUCAGACCUCUAUCAUUAGAGACUACCCUGCAGAGCUGAUCGUAACCCUCAUUUCUCACAUAUUUGCAACCAUGCAAUCUUCUCUAGUCUCUCUGAUCGCAGAAAGAGAUCCAAGUGCUUGGAGGCUAAGGCUUGAUAUGGAGUUGAUAGCUGUUGGAUACUCGGUAAGCAGAUAGAACAAGCUGCUUGUUUUCAAAUACCAUUAUAAAGUUGUCCUUAUUCUUCAUAAUUUUCUUCUAUGGGAUGUGUAGUUUGGUUUGCUCUUUUAUGUAUAAAAUUGUAGUAACCUGGCAUGUUGCUUAUCCCCUAGGGAAUUUUUGUGGUUGCAUUGCGAGGUGCUGUUUAUGCAUGGGUUCUGCACCAAAAGGGACCUGUCUUUGUAGCCAUGUUUAAGCCAGC
Molecule: long non-coding RNA, 123675 nt
Filed under: Vitis vinifera (wine grape)
Lineage: Eukaryota; Viridiplantae; Streptophyta; Magnoliopsida; Vitales; Vitaceae
Description: long non-coding RNA (VVIN_LNC000144)
Source: RNAcentral